AAAAAGGAUGGCAAGUGAAUCUGAAGGGGCAAAAGGAGAAAACCAAGUAAUCUGUUGCUUCCUUUGGGAAUUUAUUAUAUUGGGAUAGAAACUAACUGUACAAAGUUCUGUAGAGCUGUAUUUGUACAUAAUUUAGACUUUAAAUUAAACAACCUUUAUCAACUGAAUUUUUAGAGUUCUAUUUCUUAACUGGCUACUCUACAGCUUUGUGAUUUGAUUAAUUCAAAACAGUUUUGAAGGUUGUUUAACAUUUUAAAGAGAAGAGAAAAAACUAAAUGUUACCUUAAUAAAUCUUACUCUGUAGUUACUUACAGCAAUGUCCCCUGGUUCAUAUUUUUUGCCAGCAUUAAUCAGAUAUUUUUACAUUUAAGUGUUUAAUGACCAUUCAUAUGUGGAUUAUAUAAAUCUUUGCUGAGUAAGAACAAAAUUAAUAAAGUACCCAAGAGGGGUGCCUGAGUGGCUGGGUCGGUUGAGCGUCCAACUCUUGAUUUCGGCUCAGGUCAUGAUCUCAUGGUUUGUGAUCUCCACACUGACAGUGCAGAGCCUGCUUGGAUUCUCUCUCUCUCUCUCUCUCUCUCUCUGCCAUUUGCCUGCUUGCGCUGUCUCUCUCCCUCUCUCAAAAAUAAAUACAUAAACUUAAAAAAAAAGUACCCAAUCUUCCUUUUUGAUCAUAGGCCUGCCCAACAAUUCAUAUUUAUGGGAAUCCAGCUCACAGAAGGUUACAAAAAAAUUAAUCUUGAUUCUUUCUCCUAGCCAUAGUCUACUAAAGAGAUAAAACAUUAUGUGAAAGCAUACAUAAUAAUAUACAUCACCAUAUUUCAUGUGGGGAAUUAACUAUUCAGGUUAAUAGGUGCAUAGGACUUUAGAGAAGGAAAAGUAUUAACUUGGUUAAAUGAGUGAAUGAUUAAAUAAAAUAGUCGAUGAAUAAAUUAUAUAUUAGGGUAAAAUUGGCCUAAUGUGAGCCAUCAUUUCUUUUUUAAAAAUUCUUAUUUAAUUUACAUCUAAGUUAGUUAGCAUAUAGUGCAACAAUGAUUUCAGGAGUAGAUUCCUUAGUGCCUGUUACCCAUUUAGCCCAUUCGCCCUCCCACAACCACUCCAGUAACCCUCUGUCUGUUCUUCAUAUUUAAGAGUCUCUUAUGUUUUUGUCCUCUCCCUGUUUUUAUAUUAUUUUUGCUUCCCUUCCCUUAUGUUCAUCUGUUUUGUAUCUUAAAGUCCUCAUAUGAGUGAAGUCAUAUGACAUUUGUCUUUCUCUGACUAAUUUCACUUAGCAUAAUACCCUCUAGUUCCAUCCAAGUAGUUGCAGAUGGCAAGAUUUCAUUCUUUUUUUUUUUUUUUUUUUCAACGUUUAUUUAUUUUUGGGACAGAGAGAGACAGAGCAUGAACGGGGGAGGGGCAGAGAGAGAGGGAGACACAGAAUCGGAAACAGGCUCCAGGCUCCGAGCCGUCAGCCCAGAGCCUGACGCGGGGCUCGAACUCACGGACCGCGAGAUCGUGACCUGGUUGAAGUCGGACGCUUAACCGACUGCGCCACCCAGGCGCCCCAAGAUUUCAUUCUUUUUGAUUGUCAAGUAAUACUUCAUUGUAUAUAUCACAUCUUCUUUAUCCAUUCAUCCAUCAGUGGACAUUUGGGCGUCUUCCAUACUUUGGCUAUUGUUGACAGUGUUGCUAUAAACAUUGGGGUGCAUGUGCCCCUUCAAAACAGCAUACUUGUAUCCCUUGGAUAAAUACCUAGUAGUGAAAUUGCUGAGUCGUAGGGUAGUUCUAUUUUUAAUUUUUUGAGGAAUCUCCAUACUGCUUCCCAGAGUGGCUGUACCAGUUUGCUUUCUCACCAGCAGUGCAAAAGAGAUCUCUUUCUCCGCAUCCUCGUGUUGGCCAUCAUUUCUAAUGAUUACUUAUUAUUAUUACUUAUCUAUACCCCUCAAAAUUGUGACAUAUAUGUUCUGAAAUGACAGGUAAGGACUCAAUUUUCAGGCCUGUAAUUUCCUUUUCAUUUAUUAUGAAAGCAAUUUUCAAACGAUUAAAUUGACUUCUCACACAUAUCAUUGAAGAAAAUAAAUGAUUCUAGCCUAUAGGUCUACAAACCAAUAAAUAAAACUUUUUCUUGUCCCUCCCAUCUUUCUAGUAAGCCUUCUAUCCUGUCUUUCUUUACCACUAGAUUUCUACAAAAUUGGUAUCUCCUACCACAUAUUUCCUCUUUUACUAUCCAUAUGUCAUCCAAGUUAAAAAAUGAACUUCAUACAGUUUCGUAUUCAUAAGGUCCUUUGCUCAUAAUCAAAUAAUCACAGAGUGGUGGUAAGAGAGCUCACUUUAUUCCAGCAGUACUACAAAAUAUGAAUGAUUGCCAGACUAGAUUAUAUACUUAUAAAUCCAUUAAUUAUCUUAGCUAUAUAUAGUUAUAUUUAUUAUAUAAAAAUAACAUUCAUCAUCCCAGCCUCCAUAUGGAAAAUUGGCAGGAUAAAGUGUAAUAUAUACUUCUUCCAAGGAGGAGUAAUAAAGUCCUAGAUCUAAAUAUAUAUCAUACCAAGGUUUUAAAGGUUAAGGUAGCAGAAUAAAAACCAACAAGAGCCUAUGGAAAAUUUUUCCCACAUAAGAGAAAAGCAGUAAUCCCAUAUGGGUUAUCUCCAUUCCUUAAAUAUAUUGAGCAAAUACAGUCUUCAUGCACUUGUAUGAGCUUUUGCUGGAGUUGUCUUCCCCUGGAAAUUCUCAUGGCUAGCUAUGUUUGUCAUUUGACGUUCAACUUAAAUAUCACUAAUAAACUAAAUAGAUAAACCUGAAUAAACAUUAUUUUAAAGCCAGUUCAACAGCUGUAACAUCCACAACAAAGUAUGUGUGUGCCUCCAGGUGCCUUCAUUUAUCAUCCAGAAGCUGGAGAAUCUUACUAGGAACUCUCUCUACUUUCCUUUAUUUGUAAUAUUUUAGAUUGGGAACAGUUUAAGUAACUAAUAAUAAGGGAAUAGCUCAAUAUGUUAUAGAAUGGAUGUGAUAGAGUAUUAUACAGUCAUUAAAAGCUGUUCAUAGAAUUUUUAGUAGCAUGCAUUAAAUUCUUAUGUUAACUGGGAAAAAAGCAGUAUAUUAAGAAAGAUAUUGGGGUGCCUGGGUGGCGCAGUCGGUUAAGCGUCCGACUUCAGCCAGGUCACGAUCUCGCGGUGCCUGAGUUCGAGCCCCGCGUCAGGCUCUGGGCUGAUGGCUCAGAGCCUGGAGCCUGUUUCCGAUUCUGUGUCUCCCUCUCUCUCUGCCCCUCCCCCGUUCAUGCUCUGUCUCUCUCUGUCCCAAAAAAUAAAUAAACGUUGAAAAAAAAAAAUUAAAAAAAAAAAAAAAAAGAAAGAUAUUACAUAUUAAAAUGUAUUCUUGAAUAAGAAGUAUUUGAAGAGAAAUAAAUGUUGUAAAUGUUAACCAAUGAUUGUAUUAAGGUGGGUGGUGGGUUUAUAGAGAAAUGGUUUUUAAAAUAUUUUCUGCAUUUUCUCUUCUCUAGUGUGGGAGGGAAAGCAUGUCCUACUUUGUAAACUUGAACAUUAAAUACUGUAUAAACAUGUAGAAGAAAAAUGGACAUGCUUGGACUAUGGCAUAAAUAAGUGUUUCUCAAAUUUUUGGUUCGGUCUUAGGAGCCCUUUGUACUUUUAUAAUUAUUGAGGAUCCUAAGUAAAGUUUAGUAGAUUAUAUUUAUUGAUAUUCACUAUUUUAGAAACUAAAACUAAGAAAUUUUUUGUUAUCAAUGAAUUGAAAAUAAUAAUAAUAUACCCAUUUUGUGUUAACACAAAUAGUGUAUUAUUAUGAAAAUAGCUAUACUUAACAGAACAACAAGCUAAUGAAAAGAGUGGCACUAUUUUACAUUUUUGCAAAUCUCUUUAUAUUCAGGCUUAAAAGCAAACAGCAUUAUUCUCAUAUUUACAUCUGAUUUCAAUCUGUUGCCAUUUGUUGUAAUGGUUAAAGUAUAUGAAAAAAUCUGGCCUCAUUUAUAUAUGUACUUGGAAAAGGGAAAACUUCACAGACUCACCGGUAAUACCCAAAAAAAGAAGAUCUUAUGAGCACCCAGGAAUGCUUAGACCUUCUGAAGUAGGGAUGAACUGGAAGUCAGAUCUGGGUUUUAGUCCUGCAUCCUUUACUUACUAGUUGUUUAACUUUUGCAUGUCAUUUAACCCUACUGCACUUAAUAUUAAUUACCUAUAAAAUGAGAUUCUUAUCCCACUAGAUGUUUGAGAAAAUUCAAUGGGGUGUAGUUGUGAAAGUCCUUUGCAGUAUCAAAACAAAGAUCUGGGAAUCCACACAGGUCAUUUUUGUGUUUUCUCUAUGUAACCAAAUAAAAUCUCUUAUAGAUAGUUGUGUUUGAAACUCUCAUAGUCAUAGAUAGUAAAGGAAUAAUAUUUCGUUAUGUACAUUACUUUUAGGCAAAUGGAAAGUCUGGUUUUUUUUUUCAGGAGGAUAUCAGACACUUUCAUUAUUCUUUCCCAUCUUUUCUCUACAAGCACUCUCCUUUUAGUUCAUUCUAUUUGAUCAGCGCUCAGAUGGAAGUUCUUUCUGAGUUCAGGCAGUCUGAAGGGAACCCUGCCAAACUAAGGGAUUGCUCACUUGUCUUGUCCUUUUACCCACUGAAAAUAUGUUUUUAAUGGCUAAAAAUAACUGCAGGAUCCCACACUGUCCAUUAUUAAGCAAAGAAUUGAAUAAGGUUCUUCUCAAACAGUCUGCUUGUAAGAAUAAUGAUAGCUUAUAUUUCAUUAAUUUUUAGAAUUUAUAAAACUCAUUCAUGAAUGGUUCCUGUAGUAAUACUUUGGAAUAUGAAGGGGCUUUCACUUGCUCAUUUCCCAAACAAGGAACUGGGCUUUGCUGAUGUAUGGAGCUCUCCUUAGGUCAAGUGGUUAGUCAGAGGCUGCCCCAGGACCAGAGCACAUAUUUCCCAUGGCCCAGUAUUGCCAGAGAGAAUAUUCGGUAGAACAGUCCUUUCAGAGAAAUCACACUUCAAAUUCUUAAUGAAAAUAAAGGAGUUUUUGUUAGGUUCCUUUUUUUUUUUAACCUAAAAUUAGUUAGAUUAUACUUGCAAUUCAUUCCCUUUCUUCAGGAUUUGGAAUUUGGAAUGGUAUUUAUCUCUCUAAAUACUUUAAAGGGCUAGUAACACUCACAGACUUGCAUCAGAGAGGGACUUAAAGAUACGUUUUCCAUUUCUCUUUUCUGUGUUGACUCUCAGGCUGCUGAAAAACCACUUUGGAGUGAACCUAGGAAAGGAGAUGAGGUUGCUAUGUGAAAAACAGAAUUCAAAUCUAUGUAUGGUUACUGAUUCAUGCACAUUUUUUCUUGAGCUAUGUCUUCUUUUGGAAGCAGAGAUAUGGGUGUGGUUCUACAAGGAAACCACACAGAAUAUUAGAAAUACAUUUUUUUUUCUACAAGAAUAAAGAUGUAGGCAUGUUAUUGAUGUCUUUCUGCACCUCUCUAUUGACAGAGGGUUCUGGAGAAUAUAGUCCAGUAGUAUAUUAGUUUAGUGAAAUCAUUUAAAAAAAACCAUAGUACCUUGAAAUAGAAUAAUUAGCAUAGAUAUUAUCUUGAAAUACUGACUAGGCUAUUAAAAGAUGAAAGUAUUAUUAAAGUUGGGAUUUAUUGUAAUUGGCUUUUAAAUAUUUCCUGGCCCCUCUUCCCACCUCCUUUACUGUAAAUACUUUAAGCUUUUAAAAUAUUGUGUUUUACUUAAGAAGAUUUUAAGUAUUAAAAUAUAAAAUAUAAAUAUGCUUUUUAAAAUAUUGUUUUAUUCCCCCACUUUGUACUAUUGAGUGACCCAUGACUUAACUCUGCUAGGCUACUAACAAUUUCUUUAAGCCAUUUGAAUGUUUUCCUCUCUGUCUUUGCUAAGUUCCCUUCAGCUGAUCUUUGUUGGAGUGCCAUCUAUUCUUUGAAGGUCUGCUUAAAGUCUACCACAUCCAUAAGCUCUUUUCAGAUUCCUUAUGACUCUAUGUCCUUUUACCCUACCCUGUUUAUCUGUUGUUGUGUGCAUUUCUAUAAUAGAACUCAUCCUGGUAUUAUGUGGAUUUUAGAUAUCAGUGCUUGUAUCUAUUACCACCAAAUCAGGUGAGCCCUUGGAGGGCAAUGACUAUGUCUUAUAUACGUUUGCAUCCUGGGAGUAAUAUCUCAGUAAAUGUGCAUUGUGUUGGAUUGCAUAUAACUUUUGAAACCAGAAUCCUCACUUCCUUAAGUAGGUAGGAUGGAUAUAUUAGGAUGAGCCAAGUACAUUUGAAACAAGGGUGCAGUGGCCAAUGCUCGUGCCUGAGGAGCACAAUAACUUCUUAAUUCUUUCUUUAACAGAUGAUUUUCAUGUCCCAAAUAAUUGAAAUAAUUUGGAGAGUGUUUAAUAGAUUCAUUAAAAAAUGAACAGAAUCCAGAACAAAUUUAGUAAAUUAAGUGCACCGUAGCUUCUGGAGCCAACUAAUGGGCCUUAGAGAUCGAUUAUAAGAUGCAAAUUAAUAAAGAAUCUCUUUUUAUAAUUAAAUGUGUAUACAUUUAAUUGUAGUUAAGGUAACAGGGAGAGAAAUUGCCAAAGUUUUAAGUGUCCCUUGAUUGUUUUAGCUAGGUAUAAUAUUUGUGGAAAAAGAGAUUACAGAUGUUCCAGGGAUAAUUCUCCAGAUUCCUCUCAUUCCAAAAUCAUGGAAGUGGAGAUGAUGCUGAAAGGGAAGACAAGGCACAUUUAUAAAAUCUCACUCAUCGAAUAAUAUCUUAUGCUUGCAAUUAUUCCAGAGAAAACAAAAGUAAGUCUGUGUAAAACAAGGAAAUGAGGUCCAUGUGUUGUUCCAAAUCUCAGGAGACGAUAUCAUUCACAUACUUAAAAAAAAAUUAAAAUAAUAUACUCUCCAACUAGUGAGUGAAGCCUGUGUUAGUAUUUUCUAUGCAUUAGGAAUAAUGACCCAAUUUUUGUAGUAAGUUUUCACAGGAGGCUUUGAUUUUCCCAUCUUUAGGUGCCAAGGAGGACUCAGAUUUAUAUGAGUGUAGUAACUUCAUAUCAUACGCAAAAUGAAAUUUAUAAGUUGACUUUUCACCAACUCUCUUUGUAUGGGUGUAUAUUUUUAUGUAUGAAUAUGUACAUAUUUUACUUAAAUAGUAAUUAUGGCAAUAUGAUCUAAAUGUACAGGAUGUUUCUGAUUUCAAAGCAGUAUAAUCAAUGAGCCAUGGGGUACUUGUGGUGUUUAGAACAUUGGAAAGAGCCCAAAUAUCCUUCAACUUAUGAAUGAAUAAAGAAGAUGUGGUAUAUAAUGGAAUAUUACUCAGCCAUCUAAAAGAAUGAAAUCUUGCCAUUUGUUAGAGUGUAUCAUGCUAAGUGAAAUAAGUCAGUCAGAGAACACAAAUACCAUAUGAUUUCACUGAUAUGUGGAAUUUAAGCAAUGGAACAUGAAUAUAAGGGAAAAAAAGAGAUGGAGGCAUUCCAUAAGAGACUCUUCACUAUAGAGAACAAAGUGAGGAUUGCUGGAGGGGAGGUGGGUGGGGAGAUGGGCUAGAUGGGUGAUGGAUUAAGGAGGGCACUUGUUGUAUUGAGCACUGGGUGUUAUGUGUAAGUGAUGAAUCACUAAAUUCUACUCCUGAAACUAUAUGUUAACUAACUAAAUUUUAACUGACUAAACUAAAAUUUAAAUAAAAAAUUGUAACAGGAAAUAAAAGAACAUUGAAAAACUUGGAUACAUAGUGACACAUUUUUAAUAUUUAAUUAAGACUUCAAUUACUGUGGUCAGAGCUUAUCUGAAUUCAUAAUUAUAUACAGUAAAACAUUGGUUUGUGAGCAUAAUUAAUUCCAGAAACAUGCUUGUAAUCCAAAGCACUUGUAUAUCAAAGUUAAUUUCCACAUAAGAAAUAGUGGAAACUCAAAUGAUUCUUUCCACAACCCAAAAAUAUUUAUAGGAAAAUGAUUACAAUACUAUAAUACAAUACAAAGUAACAAAGAAAAUACAAAAUGUAAAGAAAAACAAAUUAACCUGCACUUACCUUUGAAAACCUUCCUGGUUUUCACUAUCACUGACAGAAUCACUGCUAUCUAUUGACUCAAUGGAAUCUUUUCCUGCAUGGGGGCCAUUGUAUAUGUUCGCACAGAUGUUGACUACAGUGCAGUAUUAGUAAACUCUUGUCAUAAACCAUAUUUAAUGUAACUGGCAAUAAGGCAGCAGAGGAAAGGAUCUAUAUCUGUAGGCAGCCUGACCUAGAAUGAAACAAAGCAUUCCCAAACUUACUUUUGAAUGGAAAAGCAAAGGACUGUAUUUUUUGAAGUGACAAAAAAUACACUAGUGCCACUUGUGGGCACCUUCCAAGUUUCAGAAAAAUCACUGAUUUCUGCCAAACACCAUGGUCUGAGACUGAGUAUUCGGGCAGGGGAGAUGAUCACCCACAAUCCUGCAGUGAGAGAGAGAGAGAGAGAGAGAGAGGGAGGAACCAUUGGCUCAAAUGUGAUCAUGUGACAUUCAGCAUCACAUACUACUUGUAUGUAUUGCAACACAUCGCUUAUUUAUCAAGUUAAAAUUUAUUAGAAAUGUUGGCUCGUUUUGCAGAACACUCACAAGAAUAAGUUAACCCAAUUCAAGGUUUUACUGUAUUUACACAAAAAUGAGCUCACUGUUACUUGAAGAUAUUUAAAUAAAAAUUAUAAUCCAAGUGCAUCAUAUAUUUUUUUUAAAUUUCUUUUAAACAUUUAUUCAUUUUUGAGAGACAGAGACAGAGCGUGAGUGGGGGAGGGGCAAAGAAAGAGGGAAACACACAACCCAAAGCAGGCUCCAGGCUCCGAGCUGUCAGCACAGAGCCCAACUCAGGGCUUGAACCGACGGACUGUGAGAUCAUGACCUGAUCUGAAGUCGGACGCCCACCAAACUGAGCCACCCAGGCGCCCCUAUAUUUUUUAUUCAAUAAUGUCAUCUUAUCUUAUUAAUGAUUAUUAAAGUACUUGCAUACUAUAAAUAAUUUUGAUAGUAGGGAUUGUGAAAUUCCUGCUUUUCAACAUUGAUUUAAGACUUACUACUGAUGGUCAUUUCCCAUUUGAUGUAUCUACACUGGGGAGAGAGAGAUGGGAUGAAUUUUUUUAUUACUCACAGAUUAUCUAAAAAAGUAUUUAAAAAAUCAUUUUGAGGGGCCCCUGGGUGGUUCAGUCAGUUGAGCAUCUGACUUUUCAUUAGUUUGAGUCCUGCAUCCGGCUCACUGCUGUCAGCACAGAACCCACUUCAGAUCUUCUGUCUCCCUCACUAUCUGCCCCUCCCCGGCUUGUGCUCGCUCUGUCAAAAAUAAAUACUUAAAAGAUAUUGGUUGGAAUGCUUCUGACAUAUUGAUAACUGGUAUAUUUUUUUUAUUCAAACACUGGACACAAAUAUGAAAUGUAAAACAAAACUACAGCAUAAAUGAACUUCAAAUGGCAAUUUUAUAUAGAAUGCUAUUCUUUCCUAAGAGCCAAUUUACAAAAACUUCUUGCAUAUUUUCUCAAAGGCAGAGAACUCCACAGCUCAGCAGAUAGCACUGAAUUUACUAAAGGGGCUGAAGUAGUAGUUUGCCCCAAUACACAGGAAAAUUUUAAAUAUUAAACAAAGUGCUGAUGGACUUGGGAAAGGUGAUAAAAUAUGUUACAUUAAUUUCCUUGCCCUCUACUUCCCUCUCCAUCCCAAGGACACAAUUCCCAGACCUCUGACGGCCAGAUAAUUGUCAACUGAACAAUGUAAGAACUGAGUCUGAUGGACUGAAUGACUCCUUAUUUUGUUGAGAAGCAACUUGACUCUGAGGCUUUUAAUUUUUUAAAAGGAGUAUAUGGAACAUAACAAGCUCAUUUGGUAUAAAUGGCCUUUGGUGUCAUUGAGUUUCUGGACAAUUUCUCCUUUGUAGCCUGUACCUAGCCCUGCCAUCUAAAAAGUUUCCCUCAGGGGAAGCCCUGACUCAUGGACUCUCAUUUUAGCUACAGAGAAUUGUCUAUUCCAAUACAAACAAUUAUCCAUGUUUUAGGAUUUAUUAGGCUUAGUAAACAAUGGAUUAAUGGUUAAGAAUGAAGGAAUAAACUUAAAAAUAUAAACAUAGAAAUUUAAGAAAAGGAAUGAACAGCUGAUACAUGCUAAGCAUGGAUGAAAUCACAGAACCAGACAAAAAAGGCUACCCACUGUGUAAUUUCAUUUAUAUAAUAUUCUGGAAAGUCAAAGCUAUAGGGACGGAAAUCAGAUCAGUGGUUCCCAGAUGCGGAUGGGAAAAGAUUGACUCCAAAUGGAAGGACUUUUGGGGGUAAUAAAAUAUCCUCUAGAUUGUGAAGAUGGUUACAUGAUUGUAUGCAUUUGUCAAAACUCAAGGAAAUGUACACCUAAAAAGGUGAAUCUUGCUCUAUUUAAAGCAUGCCUUGGGGCACCUGGCUGGCUCAAUAGAGCAUGUGACUCUUAAUCUUGGGAUUGUGGGUUCAAACCCCACGUUGGGUGUAGAGAUACUUAAAAAUAAAAAAUCUUUAAAAAAUUUUAAAAAUUUUAAAAAAUAAAUCAUGCCUUAAUAAACAUAAUAUAAAAGAAAAAAAGAAUGAGGAUUGAAUUAGUGGAGCAUACUGUUGUGGAUAAUUAAACUUCCUUCUAUUUACCUUAGGUUUUCAUCUUUAUAUAAAUGUUAACAAUUAAGUGUUAUUUUAUCAAGAAUUUUUAAAAUGUUUAUUUAUUUUUAGAGAGAGAGAGAGAGAGAGAGAGAGAGAGAGCUAGUAGGGAGGGGCAGAUAAAGAAGGAGAGAGAAAAUCCCAAGUAGGCUCUGUGCUUAGCACAGAGCCUGAUGCGGGCUCAAUCAAGAGUUGGAUGCUUAAUUGACUAAGUCACCCAGGUGCCCCUGUUUUUGUUUUUUUUUUCAGAUUCCACAUGUAAGUGAAAUGAUAUGGUCUUUGUCUUUCUCUGUCUGACUUAUUUCACUUAGCAUAGUAUCUUCGAGUUCUAUCCAUGCUGUCCUAAAUGACAAGAUUUCAUUUUUUAUGGUUGAGUAAUAUUCCAUUAUAUAUAUAUUAACAGUUAAAUUUUAUUAAAAAAAUUUUUUUAACACUUAUUUAGUUUUGAGACAGAGAUAGAGACAGACAGAGCACGAGUGGGGAAGGGGCAGAGAGAGAGAGGGAGACACAGAAUAUGAAGCAGGCUCCAGGCUUUGACCUGUCAGCACAGAGCCCGAGGCGGGGCUCAAACCCCUGGACCAUGAGAUCGUGACCUGAGCUGAAGUAGGAUGCUCAACUGACUGAGCCAUCCAGGCUCCCCAAUAGUUAAAUUUUAAACUAUUGUAAUGAGAAAUUAAAUGAGAAUAGAAUGAGAAAUUAUGCGUGUUUUUUUUUAAAGAAGCACUAAUGAGGUUAUGUGUUUUUAUUUAACUGGCACUUAGAUAUUACUUUUAUGCCAGACAUUAUCUAAGCUUUACAAAUAUCAACUAUUUAAUCCUCCUAACAACCCAGUGAGGUAGGCAAUAUUAUAUUUUCAUUAUGCAGACAAGGAAACUAUGCAGAGAAGAUAUGCAAUGUUUUCAUGGUCACCUAGCCGGUAAGUAGUGGGCCAGGAUUUGGACACCGUCAGUCCAGCUUCAGAGUCUGUGCUCAUAACCACUACACUUCUGCAGAAUUUAUUGUUACUACUGUUAUUAUUUUAUAUAACAAAAUAUAUUAUAUAUUUUUUACCUUUAUUGAAGUAUAAGUGAUAAAAUUAUGUAUCUUUAAGGUGUAGAAAGUGAUGAUUAUAUAUAUAUAUAUAUACACAUAUAUGUAUAUAUAUAUACACACACAUUGUGAAAUAACAACUAUAAUCAAGUUAAUUAACACAUCCAUCAUCUCAUAUAAUUAUCUUUUUGUGUGUGUGGUGAGAACAUUUAAGACCUACUCUUUUAGCAAAUUUCAAGUAUACAUAGUCACUAUGCUGUACAUCAGAUCUCAUUUCUGCAGACUUUUUUGAUACUGCCUUUCCAGUUAGUAAAAAUCUGAAUUAUAGUUUAAUUAUCAUGAGGUACAAUGGAUAGAGUGCUAGGACUCGGAAGCCUAUGUUUGAGACUGUUUGCAUUGUGUAACUUCUGAAAAGUCACUAAUCUCUCUGAAUCCCAGUAUAAAAUGUGAUUACCCUGACCAUAUUACUUUACUGGGUUAUUGUGAGUCUCAAAGAAUAUGUAUGUACUCAAAUGGUAUGUAAAGAGUAGGAUGCCACACAAGCCAACAUUAUUUAUCAGGUCACUUACAAUUUUGGCACACAGAACGCUCCAUAACUUCUAAAUGUGACUAUUGAUUGCCUCAGGAGAUAAGACUGUAUUUUGGAAUGUAAAAUUGCAAACUUUUCUCAAAAUAUGACUUACUCUGAAACAUAUUUACAUAAAAAUGAAAGUUCAUAACAUAAGAAGUUAACAAUUUCCAAUACAAAAAAAUUAUUUCUAAUUAUGCCUAGGUGUAGGAAGAUGUAUUUUUAUUACAAAUACUCAGCUAGAGGUAACCUAUAUUUAUAAAGUUUGGAUACGGAUAGCAUUCGUGACUAAAUACGUUGGUUCAUAUAUUUGUUUACUUGGAAAAAUGUGGUGCUAAAUACAUUUCAAGGGAUUCUCCCAGUGUUGUCAUUUGUUUAAAAAAAAAUCAGUGAUGGAGUUUAAGCUAAGGAAAUAAACAUCAUAUAAUGUCUUUGAACCUCAGCUCCUUAUUAUGAAAAGACUGUGCAGCCAGAGUUCUACACCUGGAUCUGGUAAUUUCUUGAUGUAUGACACGCCAUGAGUUAUUUAGUUUCUAUGAGCCUCAGUUUCCUUUCUUCAUAUGUAAAACAGGGAAAAUAAUAGCACUUACCCCAUAGCAUUGAUUUAAGGAUUAAGUUAAUACGUAUAAAAUGCUUACAUAGUUUUUGCAACAAGUACUUAAUACAUUUUACCAUUAUUACUAUUGUUAUGGUUAUUAUUUUCAGUGACUUUCUGCCAGAAAGAGAGUAUAUUCAUAAUAUGCAGGCUUUUUCUGUUCAGAAAUUAUGGUUAUGGUAUUUCAUAGCAUAUAUGUGCAGAGAUCCACCUAAUCAGUUCUGUGCCGUUCUUCUACUUUGUUACCCAUUGCUCUUCCUAGCUGAGCUAUUCCUUUCACCAGGACCAUCAUUUUCCUAGUGCUCUGUGUUGACAUCUUAGAAUCAUUUUCAUUUGUUUCACUGCCACUUCUGUCAUGGCCUUUCAAUCAUCAAGUUCUACUGAUUGUUUACCAAACAAUAUGGGUUCAACAAAUAAUCAUUGGGCAAAUAUAAAUAACCAAACAAUAUCUAUAAUAUCAGGGAGCUUUCAAUUUGAUAGGGGAAACAGACAUGUAAAUAUAAUGUGGUGUUAGAGUAGUCUGUACAGAACAUGGUGGCCAGUUCUAUGAAGGAACAGGCUGGUUUGUCCGCGCGGAGGGAGGUGGUAAAAUUUGAGCUUUGCCGGCUCUAUCAUCCUCUUCGUUGGCAGAGGUGUCCUUUCAACUUUCUUUAUCUAAUUUCUCAGUGAUUUUAUUUCCAAAAUACAUCUUGAAUCCCUCUGCUUCUUUCUAUUUUCACUGCAUUUCCCUAGUCCAAGAAACCAUCAUGUUUCAUUUGGUGUAAAAGUACUUCCUAACUUGUGUCCUCACUUCCAUUCUCGACUUGCUAAAAUAUAUUUCUCAUAAGUCAUUUAGAUUUAAAAAAAAAAAAACAGUACUAAUACUAGAGCACGUUAUUCCUCUGUUUAAAACUCUUUAAUAGGGGUGCCUGGGUGGCUCAGUCGGUUGACUGUCUGGCUUUGGCUCAGGUCAUGAUCUCACAGUUUGUGGGUUUGAGCCCCGCAUUGGGCUCUGUGCUGACAGCUUAGAGCCUGGAGCCUGCUUCAAAUUUUGUGUCUCCUCUCUCUCUCUGCUCCUCCCCCGCUCAUGCUCUGUCUCUCUCUCUCCUUCAAAAGUAAAUAAAAACAUUAAAAAAAAUUAAAAAAAAAAAAACCUCUUUAAUAGAUUCUCAUUGCAUUUAGAAAAAAAUCUAAACUCCUCUUCAUGACCUGUGAGACUUUACCAACAGACUAUAGCCAUAAAGGCUUUCUUUUUAUUUUUGCAUAUUCAAAGUUUAUUCCUAUGUUUGAUAGGAGCAAUAAUGGCCUUCCAAAGAUGUCCAUGUCUUAAUCUCCAGAAGCUGUGAAUAUGUUACCUUUCAUGUCAAAAGGACUUUGCAGAUGUGAUUAAGGAUCUUAAGAUGGGAGAAAUUAUCCUGGAUGAUAUAGGUGGAAACAGUAUAGUCACAUGUGUCCUAAGAGCCAGAGAACCUUUCUUGCCUGUGGUCAGAGAAAAAUGUGGUCACAAAAAUAGUGUCAGAGUGAUGCUAUGUUGCUGGCUUUGAAGAUGGAGGAAGAGGCUGUGGGAACGUGAGUGACCCCUAGAAUGUUGAAAAGGCAAGGAAAUGGAUUCUCUGCCAGAACCUCUAAAAAGGAAUGCAGGCCUGCUGACACCUUGAUUUUGGCCCAAUGAGACCCAGACUUCUGACCUACAGAACUAUAAGAUGGUACAUUGUAUUGUUUUAAGCCACUAAGUUUGUGAUAAUUUUUAUGGCAGCCAUAGAAAAUUAAUAUAUAAUUCCAAGCCACAUACACCUGCUGUUACCUCUGUUUAGAAUGCCAUUUUCCCCCCCGUUCCCUAGUGAUAGAGCCUUUUUCAAAUUUUAGGUCUCAGAUUCCCUGUUACUUCUUUCAGAUGGCCCUAAUCUUCAGCAUUCUUCCCACCACCACCUCCUGAACAACUCUAAAACAACACACUCUUUAUUUCCUUCAUGGCAUAUCAUUGUCUGGAAUUACCUAUUUUCAUAUUUACUCAUUUAUUAUUGUUUUUCCACUCAAGGUUGUAAGCUCUCCAGCAUCAGGGACUUUGUUUGUGUUGUUCACAGAUAUAUCCUCAGUUCCUGGAGUAGAACCUGGCAAAUAAUAGGUAUUCAACAAAUAUUUGUUGAAUGAGGGAAUGAACUAGACAAGGGAAAUGGUUAUUUCAGGCAAAGGUCAGAGCCUGAGCAAAAUUCUGAGGUGUGAAACUGCUUAUGUGCCUGGGAAAAUUUAUGUUUCCAAUGGCUGAAGCCAAAAGAGGAAAACAGAAAGAGAUGGGAACCAAGAAGUAGGCAUUUUCCUCCUCCCUGUGCCCUCCUUUCUCCCCUCCUCCUCCUUCCCUCUUCUUUUAAAAUAUUAUGUCACUAUAUCUUGUAAGUACUUGGGAGUUAAUGUAGUUUAGGGUUUUUUUGUGUGUUUUUUUUUUUUGUUUGUUUUUUUUAGAAGGGGGAAAUAAUUGAGUGAAGAAACAUGUAAUAAAGCCAACAAGACUUGGCAAUCAAUUGGAUGUAUGUUGAGGGAGAAGGAAGGGUGUCUUCCUAUGUUCCUGAUCUUUGGGACUAUAAUAAUGGUGGCAGUGUUAAUGGGUACAAAGAACAAUGAGAGAUAAUGGUUUCAUUUUGGACUCUUUGAGCUUGGUGAACUUGUUCACAGGAAGAUGUUCAGUGCAGACACUUAGAAAUACAAGUCUGCAAGAGCACCUGGUUGGCUCAAUAGGUUGAGCAUCAGACUUUGGCUCAGGUCAUGAUCUCAUUGUUUAUGAGUUCAAGGCCCACAUAGGGCUCACUGCUGUCAGCGAUGAGCCCCUUCGGAUCCUCUGUCUUCCUCUCUCUGCCCCUACCCCCACUUGUGUAUGCAGCACCAUCUUAAAAUAAAAAAUAAAAAUUAAAAAAAAGAAAUACAAGUCUGCAGAUCUGUAAUUCAGGAAGAAAGCCUUGACUGGAAGUUGUUAGCAUGUAAAUGAAAAUGAACUCCAGGGAGCUAAUAAUUAAUAUAGCCCAAGAGAAUGGGCAGCAUGGGUAACAUGCUGAUGGGACAUUGUUGGAAAAACACAAUAACUCUCUGAAAGGAAUUAGAAAAAGAUGUUUGACCAGAAAAGCAAGGAAUAUAAGAGGAGUAUGUAGGACCAGGGAGUCUUGAGAGGAAGGAGUUUCAGUAAGAAGGGAAUAGUCAGAGUAUCAAAUACUAUAGGGAAGGAAGAUGAAAAGUCUUUGGGUUUAUCAAUAGAGAUAUGGAUGUCUCUGGUACUGCUGGCGAUGAUAUUCUAAUGCAAAGGGUGAAGUAUGACUGAAGGGUGAGGGAGUAGAAGGGGAAAAAAGAGACUACACAAGAUGAGUACUUAAGGGAAAUCUUUGGGGUUUUUUGUUUCCUUUUUGAGGAUAGAGAUGACACAGAAAAAUGUCCUGCAGGAGAUGUGAAGGGAUGGGAUAAAGAGGACCAAGGGAGGGGUGCCUGGGUGGCUCAGUUGGUUAAGUGUCUGACACUUGGUUUUGGCUCAGGUCAUGAUCUCACAAUUUGUGAGUUCAAGCUGAACUGUACUGAAGGCAUGGAGCCUGCUUGGGAUUCUCUCUCUUUUCUUCUCUUCCUGUCCCUCCCCCUGCUCAUGCUUUCUCUUGCUGUCUCUCUCCCUCUCUUUCUCAAAAUAAGUAAACUAAAAAAAAAAGGAGUGUCAAGGGAAUGAUCAACUGUGAGGGUGCUGAGACAUCUUUUCUCUGGAGACUGGAAAUAUUGGUGUCAGGCAGAUCUAAGAUGUAGGAAGAAAUAAACAUACUCACUUGGGAGUCAGGCAUCUCUGAUAUAGAACCCUAAACCCUAAAUCUACCACUUAGUAGCUGAGCAAACUUGAGCAGGUAAAUUUCUUUGAAUCAUAAUUCCUUAUAUAUGAUUUGAGAAAAAUAAUAACUUUCAGGGUUGCUGUGGAAAUUGAAUUGGUAAAUGCUUACUCAAGAGGUGUGUAUUAUUAUCAUGUGUAUACUUGGGAAGGGCUUCACUGAAAUUGAGAUGGAUUUAUGAGCUCCCCACGUAAGCACUGAGGCCUAGAAUCAGUUCUUCAAGAACUAAGAAAUGGUUGAGUCCUCUAUCCUGAAUGCAACCACAUCUAUAAAACAGACACACCUGGUGAACACCUGUGUACAUUUUACUCUUGCAAAUUGUAAUGUAGGAUCCUAAUAGAUGAUAGAGGAAAAGCCUGAGUCACAAAGCUCCCAGAGAUGAGCUAAUUUAUCACAGCUGUCCUGAGAAUAUUUGCUGUGUCCCCAUCAUACCAUGUGCUUUUGGUUUGAUAGGAAGAAGAGGCUGAAGCUGGAGGGAACCGUGAGAGGCUGAAUUGCGUUUUUAAUCUUUCUUGUAAAAGUGAAAAAUUAAACUGAGACAUCCAGGGCUCAAGGUGCUUGGAGAGUUGAGCCCCUCUGGAAUAUUUCUCCAGAGAUUCUACCUCCCAGCUAAAAUUCAAAGGUUCUUGGAUUUCUUCUAUUAAAAGUGAUCAUGUAUUACUUAACUAAUUGCACUCUAUAAUCUGUCCUUUCUCUGAAUUUCUACUGGCCUUAAUGCACUCCCCAAUGUAUUUAUAUGCUCUGGCUUAUGUUUCUUUGUUUCAUGUAAAUUUAUCUUUUUUAGCAUCUACUUGUGUUCCUUGAUGACAAUGGGACAAGGCCUUCAGUUAUUUCGUGUCGUUUUCUCCCUCAGUGCUUCGUAUGGUGCAAGGUACCUGAUCACUGCGUAGUUACUAUAAGCAGUUGACUCACCUGUAUUGUAUAGGACAGCCAUUCUGGGUCUAGGUGUACUCAAGGCAGUGAAUGUAUUAGAUCAUGUACAACACUCAGAGAUCAUUAAGAUCUUGGCAAGCAAGAGGGGUGGCACAAAAAUUCGUGAAUAUCGCUCUUAAAGGGCAUAUGUAACUGGGACUACCACAGUCCCUGAAAGACUGGUGUAGGAAUAAUAACUCCACCAUCGACUCUUAUGUAGCUCUUUGCAAUUUGGAACUUAGUUAAUAAUACACUACUCAUUUUAGUGUCCCUAAACCUUAAACACUGGUCAAGGCAGUGCCCUUUUCUCAAAUGAGAAAAUGGGAGUGCCCAGAGAUAAAGGACUUUGUGUUUACGAAAUUGGUAAGUGGCAGAGCUGUUGUUGAAAAUGAGACUUGCUGGAUCCAAAUGCAGUAUACUUCCCAUUCCUCUACACUAACAUAGUCGACUAGUUUUCUACAUAAUAAAACUUUCUGGGCCAAGAGGGGUCUGCAGAUGUGUUCCACUAAACAAGAGAUGUGGAGAAAUGCGGAGAUCAUCUUAAUUCAAAGUAGGAUGCAUCACAAAUUCAUUCGUCUCAAGCAGCUUCCUUCACCUGAAGCUUACCUGGGCACAGUUUUAAUAGUCCCCUUCCAGAAUCUGGGAAAAGAAACUGAAUCUGGAAAAAGAAACACAGUCUGUCAAGGAGACAAGAAUACUUCCUCUUCAGUGAAAAGAAAGGGUUAAAAUUUGAUCCUUUGAAAGUUUAAGGUAGACAAGAGUCCUGAAUUAUCUAGACACCAAAGAGUAGGCAAAAAGGCUGUGUAGCUUAUAGGGAAAAAAGUGAAGGGGUGUGUGUCUGGGGGAAGGAUUAGGGAGGGGAGAAUAGGACUAUUUCCUUCUAACAGGCUUUCUGUUAAAAAACAAAAGAAAGAAAGAAAGAGAAAGAGAAAUAAACAUUUGUUCCUGUGAUUAAGCCCUCAUUUGUGUUUAAAACAUAAGUGAAGUAGGGACAGUUCAAGGCACAGAGGCGCGUGUUCUGAUUUGGUUGUUUACCAUCAAUCAGACCGUUGCUUGGCAGACACUGGAUGGUUAUGAGCCUGAACAAGCUGAAAAGGGGCAGGAAAAGAAGUGGAGGCAGCAUUCUUCCUAUUUAAAGCUGCAUCGCUUGAAAAAAGUUUUCUCAGACUGUGCUGGAGCUGGUGCUGAAAAAGGGGGUUUGCAAAGGCUGCCCUGGGGCUGGUGCUAAAAGAGCCCGCAGCUGACUUCAUGGUGCUACAAUAACCUUAGAAUCUACUUUUCACUCCCAGGAGGACCCACAUGUCUAAUAUUUAGACAUGAUGGCAAACUGGGUGGAAGCAAGACCUCUCCUCAUUCUUACUGUUUUAUUAGGGCAGUUUGUCUCAAUAAAAGCCCAGGAAGAAGGCGAGGAUGGUGAGUUUGCUGUUUGCUUUGCUUGUGGUGUUUACUGCACGGUUUGGGAAAUAGGUGGAAUGUUAAGCCUCGGGAAGGAAGAGCGUGAAGAGGAAGUUCUGGUUUGAAGUUGAGAAGGGGGCUGACAGAUUUGCACCUGGGAAACGGCUCUCUCUCGGAAGACAAUCAGGAUAUUUGUAAAUGCGGAGCUUCUCCAUCUGCCGUUGGGCUGCAUGUUUCUGGGAAACCCUAGGAGAAGUCCUUUUGCCUGAAUGUGGACAGUGGGAACUUUAAAAGAAAUGGAGAGUGCUUAAAACGGAGCACUAAAGGCACUUUUAGCCAGAGGAGUUCUGUUCUGUGGGCUGGAGUUUUCAGAGCAAGGAAAAGUCGCAGCAGGAGCUGGGUAGGGUGGAGUCUUUUUUGUACGGAACUUCAGCUGCUUCAUACAAUUCUUUGUUUAGAAAAACCUCUGCAGCCACUCUGAUAACUGAUUUUUCUUUGUCUUUGGCUCCUUAUUCUUUUCUCUUUACAGGCUUUUACUUCUUUCCCAUUUUCAUUUGUGAUCUUAAACCACUUUUGCUUACUGAGAGACAGUCUCGUUUACUUGUCCGUGACAGAGGCUGAUAGAAGCCAGAUUUCUUAAACAGUGGUAUUUUCCCACCCUACUGACUUGAUUAUCAGGACAGUGGUGGCUCCCUGCUGGAUGGCGGAAGGCUGCAAAUCGGCAUGCCUUAUAUAUAAUGUAUUUAUCAUGGAGUAUUUGCAUGGGCAUUAUCCUUUAGACACAAGUUUCAUUUCUUUUUAAUGAUUUAAGGCAAAUCUUGCCUGGUUACCGAUUUUUUUUUCCUAUGCAAUUUGCUCAUGGUUAGAGUUGGGUGGCAUGGUAUGGUUAAGCAAAAACGCAUGGCUGCUAUAGAAUAUAAGAAAACAUUUAAAUUGGUUCCACUGGUUAUUAAAUCCUUAUUCUCCAGACAUGUUUUUUUUCAUAAUAGACCAUAUACAUUUUCAUAACUAUUUAACAUCAAACUCAAGCUUUUAAAACUUAGCACAUUUAAACUUUUCUGUUAUUGUCUUUUAUAUAUAUUUUGAGUGUAUAUAUAUAUAUAUAUAUACAGAUAUAUGCAUAUGUGUGUGUAUAUUUUUUAAUACCUGCUUCUGUGUAUUUUUGCUCUGAAGAUGUUCAUAAAAUUAAUCUACAGGCCACAAGGUCUAAAAAUCAUUUAAAGAGUGAAAAUAAGAAUGUGAGAUGAAUACUCAACAAUCUGUCCAGAGUCCCAUAGAGGGGGCACUUUCUAAAAUCUUGUAACUUUUUACGUUACUUUUUAUGUUUUAAAAAACGAGGCAAUUCAUAAAAGGUAAAACUGUUGAGUUUCUUUGAAAUGGUGUGAAAAACAUUAGUUGUUUGGAGGGGAGGUGAAAAUAAUUGAAUAGGUACUAGGAGUCAGGAAAGGGGAGGAAAAAAUAUGGAAAAAUUACAAUAGAAAUAGCAAAUUUAAUUAUAAAAGGAACAGUUCACUCCCCUCCCCCACCAAAACAAUCAACAACUUUAGUUUAAAACUUAAUUAACACAAUUUUCCAUGUCAAUAUACUUUAAAAUAAACAACUUACUUUUAUAAAGUGUGGAAAUAAUUGAUCAUGUGAAUAAACGAAAAGAGUGUUUCAUAAGGUAUAUGGAAUAGGCAUAUGUUAAAAGACUUUCCCAAAUAAUUGUAAUUACUCUGUAGGUGUUAUUGAAAAAUAAGGAGAGUUUAAUGUUUUCUAAUAUUAAUUUACCUAAAUUUUAGAAAUUUUAUAUUUGGUGCAAAUCAGUCUCCAUCUCCAUACCAACCCCUCUUCCCCCUAUAUAACCAAACAGCACAGCAAUCGGAAUCCCAAACAUCAGAUUUUACAGAAAAAGUAUAAUUCCGUACAUACACAUGGUAAAACUUAAAUUCCUCUGUUUUAUUACUCAACCCAGGAGAAAAUAUGUGAUAAAAAUUCAAUAGCAAUAGAAAGUUGUAUGGCCCAAAUUAAAGGUAAUAUACACAAGAAUUCCAGAAUCUAGUAUAUUCAGAGUUUUGUAACUUGUAUUGUACUUACUUACUGUUCAUAUUUUGGUUUCAGUUAUAUUGAAUGGAUACUUGGCAAUACUUUAUUCCCCCUGUUCAGGCUUGACACAAGCUUAAUAAAAGUGUCAGAAUUUUGAAACUCCAUGUGAUUUUAAGUUUGGGGAAGAGUAAGUUCAAGUAAAUGCUUUAAACUAAAGAAAUAGCUAAGGUUCACAGGCAAAACAAGUAUAUUUUUCAAAUUUUGGCUAUAACUAAGUGAUAUAAUGUGGUAGUGAUUUUGUGUAAAAAUAUGUCCCCUUUGAAAUGUAGACACGUGUUAUCACAGGUAACUACAUGUUUACAAGCUUUUAUAGUUUUCAAGACUUCAAGGUAUAUUUUUUAUCUGUUUGACUGUGUUUAUUUACCAGAAAUGUCAACAUAAGCACAAUGUCUGCCUGAUAGAAAUACUUAUGAAUGAUGAGAUAAGAGUAAAUAAAUAAAGUUUUGGGACAUAUAGGCCCAGAUAAUUACUACCUAUCAAAAAUAUAAGAACUGAAUUCAUUUUUCACAUUCCUAAGAACUGAAGGGAAGUUGGGCUAACUUUGGUUGACACUAUUCAGUAACAAGAAGCAGAGUUAAGAAGACAAAAUCAGCUUUUCAUGAUUUUUGGGGUAUAUGUGUUUGUGAUGGUGGUGGUGGGAUGCUUUAAAAGGUUCCCCAUUUGUUUUUUCUAGGAGAAAAUACUAUGAAUUUAUAGUAAUUUUUAUACUCCUAAACAAAGGUCUAACACCUAUUGAGUUAUGCACAUUUUUGUUAUUAGAAAUGGACAGACUUAAUCUGAGAAUAUAAUCUUUGAUAUGAAUUGUUGAUUUCAACAACAGAGAAAGAAUGGGGAGAAGGAAAGGUGCAACAUUGUACCAUUUAUUUCCAGAGACCAGGUAGGUGACAUAAACAGGUGAAGCAAGUGAGUGUUUGUAUAUCAACAGGGGAUGAUGGGCCUGUGGAGAACUGAAGAUGCAUAUGCCCACUUUAAGGCAUUCAAAACCAGUGUUUUCCAGAAAGCAUUGCAUAAGCCAAAUACAAUAUCUCUGAGUGCCAAGUCUGGCUCAUGGACCAUAAAUUUGCAACCCUCUUGUUGCAACCCUACACUGAUAUCCUGGACCCAAGCCAGCUUCUGAUUACUAAGAGAUGAAGGGCUCAGAGUCCUUUUUAUAUCAUGGUUUCUUCCAUUUUUAUGUCACAUCUACCAUUUAUCUCAUUAUUAUAAUACAAACUUGAAGACACAAGUGCUCAUUACUUAGUACUACUUGGCCCAGAUCGUUUUAAAUGGUACUGAGUACAUUACUAAGUAGUACUUGGAUUGAAUCAUUUUAUAGGAAGUAGAGAAUAUGAAUACAUAGCUUAAGAUACUUGAAAACUCAUAAAUUGUUUUAAACUCAUUACUAUUGAAAUAGAUACUUUGGAUUAUGUAGGACAUACAACCUUUUCUUUCAUAGUGGAUGUUUUAAUCUAGAUUCAGCUGCAUAUACCAGAAUGCAAUUGUUUAAAUUUUUUUUAAAGUGCUUUUUUUUUUUUUUUAAUAAAAGAAAGUUUUAGUUAGGUAGUGAAAGGCUGGUAUAUUAGCUCUACAAAGUCAUCAAAGACCCCGUCUCUUUCUAGUUCUCUACUCUCAUAUUCCUGGGGUAUAAUCCUUGAUGUUGUGGUCUUAGAUGGCUGCUGAAUUUCCAGCCGUUACAUUUACUUUCCAGGCAUCUGGAUAGAGGAUGAGAGACGAAGGCUGUGAUUCUCUCUUUAUUCAUGGAGACUAUUAAGUCUUCAUCCCAUUUCAACUUACUUGUGGCCAGAAUUCGGUCAUAUGGUCACACAAAGCUACAAGGGUGGCUGGGAAAUGCAGUCUUUUAGGUGAGUAGCACUAGCAGUAUACUCUACUGAAUAGAAUUAUGUUACGAAAGAAAUAAAAGAGAGAAUAGCUGUUAGGAGGCAAAUAUAGUCCCAACCGCAAUGAGUGUAACUGUCACCCACUUUCAUUGGAAUAGAUCUAGUUUCACUGGGCAGGAUAUAGUUGUGUGACCAGAUGUACCCUUGUUAUUGGUCACUUCCAAGUAGUCCAUGAAGCCAAGAACAUUGGAUGGCACUUAAAUUAGACUGCAGCUUUUUGCUUUCUAAUUCUUUUAAAAUACAUUUAGAAGUACCUAUAACUUUUAUCCAAACUAAAGUGAGGCUUUAUUUUGAAGACUAUAUCUCUCUCUAUAGAUGUAGACUGGUAGAUUGAUAGAUACAGAUAAGUUUUUAUAUUGACAGAACAACAUGUGCUUUGACCAUGACUCUUUAGGUUAGUGGGUAAGCAAUCCACAGAUCCACGUUGAGCUGGCUGAAUAAUCAUCUGAAGAGCUUGUUACUCAUAUAGAUUCUAGGCUUCCCUCUUUUCCAGAUAUCUUGAUGUAGAUGGUUUGGAUGGGAUUUGGGAAUUCUCUAGGUGAUUCUGAUUCCUGUUGGUUAACCACUAUACUGCAUCUCUGCCUAACAUCCUUUUGAUAUUGACGUGGACCAGUUGGCUUCUUGUUCCAAGACUACACAACUGUGGUGUAGAAAUAACUUGCUAUUCUACUUAUUCCUUUCACUUACAAAGUUGCCUAAUUAAAGUUUGCAGAGAAACUGUGGCAAAUUCACCAUCAUUUCUGGAAAAAUAACUCAAUGCCCAAAUCUUCUUCACGGCAGUUAGGUAAAUCAUUCUACUAUGCAAUGAGUACAUCUUAUUAAAAUAUAUUUCCAGGUGGUUAUAUAAUUUUCAUUUUCUCUCUUGCUUCCUGUCUUCACAUUUUUAGCACACUUUUUCACCACAGGUCUAAAAUUCAUUGUAUUGGUCAGUCUAGAAAUGCACAUAAUGCUGACUGUGAGGUAAAAACACAAAGAGAAAUCUUUGUUUUGAGUAGCUGGGACUUACAAGUUUGGAAUAAUGUUAAUCUAUGGCCACAGAAAAAAAUCUUUUUUAAACAAUGUUCUCCUACUUGAAGGACAAUCCAUACAUCAUCAGUGGCCUUUUAUCACAUUCAUAAAAUGUUUAAAAAUCAGUCAUUUUUUGACCUACUAUGUUUUGUUUUGAAUCACAACAUUCAAAAAUUUAGAUUUACAUAUGAAAGAUGUAGUAAUGAUAGAGGAAAAGACUAAAAUUAUUAGUUAUUAAUUGAUUUUAUUAUAUAAAUUUGGGCAAGUUGUACAAGUUUGUAUAAAACAAUGGAGUUGGGAAGAUAUUGACAAUUCAGUUUUCCUCCUAAUUUCUUUCCAUGUAAAUUUUACAUGUAUUUCAUCUAAAUUUCCUUUAGGACUGUUGAGCUGUUAUAAUCAAUAUUUUUAAAACAAUAUUUUUAAUCUACUCUUGCAUUUGCUUGACGAGAGGAGCAGACUGUCUUAUGGAAUAUUUUGCCUUAAAAUUGUGGCCACAUUGGCAGCUUUGAUGUUUUUAUUAUAUUUUAUUGAUGUUCAAAACUAAGCCCUUCCAAAGAAAUCAAGUUGUUUUCAUCUUAUACAUAAUAUAUUCUCUAAGGAACAGUGUAUAAGAUAAAUCACAAUAAUGCAAGAUUUUUCUUAUCCCCAUGUUGCCUUCUACAGAGAAGGUAGUGAUAUUAACAAUAUUAAUAAAUUAAGAUUAAUGAAUUAAUGGAAACUUGUCCCUAUAGCUCUAUGGUAUAAUGUUCAAACUCGAAAAUGUUUGCAUCCUUUUUUUUUUUUUAAGUUUCUCCUAGGAAGGAGAAAAGACAGUCUCACAGUUCUCUCUCUCUCUCUCUCUCUUUUUUUUCUUUUUUUUUUUUUUCUUUUUUGGGUGUCUGCUCAAUCAGAGUUAUAAACCCAGUUUCAAGAGGCAACAAAUAUAUUUUCAGUGGAAAUGUUGCUUGCAACAUAAGCGUCAUAGACUUAUUGCAGUCUGCAUACUGUAGUAAGGAAAGGAAGCCCAGUCCAACAAUCACUGGGAAAACACAUGGGUUCUGGUCCAUCUCUGCUAUUUAGCUGUUUUGCAACCUGCAGAGAGUCCUUUAGUCUCACCAAGCCUUUGAGUCCUCAUCUAAAAUCAGGGAUAAUGUACACACCCCUGUCAAUCUGAUGGGACUCCUAGGCAGAUCAUUUGGGAAAAUUACCUGAAGGUAAUUUUAGAGCACUUAAAUGAGACACAGAGAGUGAUAUUACAAUCUGAUUUCAGUCAUCACCGAUACAAACCUUAGUGGUAUAUUUUUUACUUUACCUAAUCUUUGAAUUUAUUUUGAGAAAACUUCUGGAUUUGUUCCUCUUCUGUACUUUCUUUAUUCUCCAUUUCCCAGAGGAACUUGCUCCAUCAAUCAUGUUCUCUUUUCUAUAACUACAACCACUCUCUUUCUUUGGUGCUUUUCCCGCUAUCUUAUAAACAAUCUCAGCUCUCUCCCAGGGCCCCUGUGUGGCUCCCACCCUUUCUUAAUUCUUACCCUGCCUGCUUUAAAAGAGUAAUAUAGUUUUCUGUCUCUCCUUCCAUGCCCUCACUCAUCCCUAUGUACUCUGACUUUUGCCUGCUCCCUGCCCCAUUCCAGUGAAGCUAGUGGAGUAAGAUGAAGACGAAAAUGGCGAUGUUUCCAGUGGGCUCCUUUUACCUGUCUUAUCAGGUUUCGCCUUUAUUUGAUACAAUUAACCACUCCAGCUUUCCUGAAAGACUACUCUCUGAAAGCCCUUCCUCUAGCUACCUUACCUUUUCUUCUCAGCAUGGGCUCCUUCUCUCCUUUUUUCCCUUAGCACUUUGUUUUCUCAGAGGAUUUAGUUCACUGGUCUUCCCUGUAUAUUCUCUUCCUAGAUCCAUCUAGGAAUCAAUCACUCUCAGGGUUUUGCUUAACAACUAACUGCUGAUAAUUCUCAAAUCUCUUUCCAAUCCUGAACUUCUACAUGAACUUCAGAAUUCUCCACUGAUGGGCCAUAACCACUUCAAGUUCAGUGUAUCUAAAACUCAACUCAUUAUCUUUCCCCUAAGACAAGAUCAUUUUUCCUGUGUAUUCCUUAUAUCAGUUAAUGGCAACAUCAUCUUACCUGGUCACUCCAGCAAAAUUCCAAUCAGUUACUAAAUUCUUCCGUUUUAUCCACUAAAUAUUUCCUCAAUAUACCUCUUCUCCCUGCCUUCUCCAAACACCUCAGUUCAGGCCUACAUUAUAUCCCUGGAUAAUUGCAGUAGCAUUUAAAUUCCCUGCCUUGCCUCCUGUGUGGCCACUUCCCACUUGCAUGUGUAUAGACCUCUUCUGUUGCCACUGUGAUAUAAAAAUCUAAAUCAAAAAACCUAAAAUCUGAUCACAUCAUUACCUUCCCUAUAACCUUCCAUUGACUCCAAUAAUUUGGAGAAAGAAUAAUGUUCAAGCUCCUAAGCAUGGCACACAAGACCUUCUAAGAUCUGGCCUGUUUCUAGAAUGUGAGUCAGAUCAGCUGUAACUCCAUGUCUCAAAAUAAGAAAUUGCUUGUAGUUUUGACCUCCCACUGCACAUACACACAUGCACUUUUCCUUUUUUUACCUCUGCUUUUCAGAUUCCACUCCAUGUUAUGAAUUCAUUUUAUGUAUUAGGUACAUGAUAGUUAUUCCAUUAUUAAUUUAAUGGAAUAUUAAUUUUUAAAAUCUAAAAAAAAUUCCCACCAUUUAUUUUAUUUUACUUUAUGUUUAUUUUAUUUUUGAGAGAGAAAGAGAGAGAGAGAGACAGAGCACGAGCAGGGGAAGGGGCAGGGAGAGAGGGACACAUAGGAUCCGAAGCAGGCUUCAGGCUCUACACUGUCAGCAUAGAGCCUGAUGCGGGGCUCGAAGUCACCAACUGUGAGAUUAUCACCUGAGCCAAAGUCGGUGCUGAACCCACUGAGCCAUCCAGGUGCCCUUCUUUUUUUUUUUCCCCUUGCCAUUUAUUCAAGUAUCAGUGCACUUAUUUCAAACUCAGGUUUUGCAAAUUUGCAUAUUCUUGAGCAAUUUUUUUUAUUUCUCUGUCUUAGUUUAUUUAUGUAUACAAUUAGAAUGAUAAUGUUUACCUCAAAUAAUUAUUAUGAACACUAUCCCACAUAUAAACCACCUAUAUAGUAUGGCUCCUAGCAAAUAGCAGGAGCUCAUUAAAUGAUAGUUGAUAUUAUUAUUCCAUUACUACUUAAUAACAUAGAAAUAAUAAUAAAUGCUUAUUGGGUGAUUAUGACGAUGAAACUGUUAGUAUGGAAAAAUAAACAACUUUUGUUCUCAAAGAGAUGAACGUCUAGUGUAAAACUUAAAAUGCAAAUUUUACCUACCAUUGUAUUAUGGUCAUUUUGAUAAUACAUCGAUGUAUUUACCUGAUUUCUAAUUGGGCUAUAUUUUAAACCUAUUUAAAAUUUUUAUUCUUCAAACAGUAGAGUUUUACUGUAUUGGCUCCUUAUAUAGGUUUACUAUGGGAAAAAACAAAAGAAACAAAAACAUCUUUCCACUGGAGACUGGAGACUGUCUCAUGGCCAUGUGGUCUGAAGCAUCACCCCCCACUUCCUGUUUCACACCCCCCCACACACACAUUUCAUUCUGUGCAAUGGUUUCCAGUGUGUGAGCAAGCCAAGCACGAUUCAUUCCAUGCCCCAGUGCUACCUCAUGCCUGUCUACCAGCUAUGUCUAUUUCAGAGUUUAUUCCCUGAAAAUAUGAGAGUCAUAAAAAUCUCUAUUAAAAAUUGGAAGCUUAUUUUCCAAACUGCAUUGCUCUGGGUUGCAUUUGCAAUGAGAGGAAUUGCUUCACUGCACAGGGAUUUACAAGGCAGCUUCCAGGACUAUUUGGAUACAGAAGUGGGGUGACCCAUCUUUUCCCAGACUUCGCAGCAAGUCUCUUCAUUUUCCAAAGGUUGCUGGUUUCUUCACUCCUACUCCCAGGAGAUUUUUGUGAAGUUUACUCCAGAAAGCAGAAACUGUGUAGGAAGUAGGCACAUUAUUCACACUCAUGCUUUCCCUAGUUUGCUGCACUUUUCAUUCUUCCCAGUUUUUCACACUUUAAUAAAAUGAUGGUUUUGACUUAGAGGGAGGCGCACUUAUGGAAUUUUACCAGAUAAUUUGUAGCUAUGAAUUUCUUUAACUAAAUCUUUAUUAUCCAGUAUGGUUGUUCUGUGGCCAUCAGCUUUAGAUUUUUUUUUUUCAUUAUGGAAUUCUAAAAAUAUGGAUGGUUUCCAUAGCAAAUAAAUUCAUUUAUAGAGCUUUAAUCUUUUUAUUUAUCUUAAAUAGUAGUUGUAUGCUUAUUGCUCCUGAGGUAGAGGAACCUAUCCGAUUCAUUUAUGCUAGUUUGAAAUUAUUUUUUUAAUGUUUAUUUAUUUUUGAAAGAGAGACAGAACAUGAGUGGGGGAGGGGCAGAGAGAGAGGGAGACACAGAAUCAGAAGCAGGCUUCAGGCUCUGAGGUGUCAGCACAGAGCCCGAUGCGGGGCUCGAACUCAGGAACCACUAGAUCAUGAGCCAAAGUCGGACGCUUAACUGACUAAGUCACCCAGAUGCCCCUAGUUUGAAAUUACUUUUAAGACAUUUCUGUCUCAUUCUUUGCAGAGCUUUAUAUUGAAGAAAUGAUUAAGUUACAGUUUAAUUCAGAACACCAUGUUUUUCAUGUUAGUGCUAAUUUUUGAACUAGAAUUUCUGAUAGGAUGGGCUGGUGGACAGUGAAGUUAAUUGAUUGUCAUAGUAGAUGAACUGCAAAAAACCUGCCUAGUUUUCAGGUCUUUGGCUAUAAACACUAAAUCUCUGAAGCUUUAAAAACAAGCCUUAUACUUUAUUUUGAGAAGGCAGAAGGGUACUGGUCAUUCCAAGGUAAAUGAGUGAUUCUGAUAUAAGAACUUUCUUUUACACAAGUUUAUACUGGUAAAAAAAAAUAACCUUGGGCCCUUGAAGGAGGAACAACUGAACACUUCAUCAGAGUUCUUGUGUUCAGACCUUCAGGUGCUAUAAGUGUUAUGUCUUUCUGAGUAUUCAUACAAAAUGUCACUUCUUUCUCCAACCAUUUCCCAUAUCCCCUCAAGUCGUGGUGUCCACUGAUGAGAUUAGGCAAGGGUUUGUGCUUUUAUUUUUCUCCCUCAAGCAUCGUAAAACUGAACUGGAUUUUGCUGAGAAACAACUAAUAAAUUCCCGAACAAAUGGAAUUCUCAUUAGCCUGGGAAGAAUUCAGUCUUCUUGCAAUCUGCUUAUUUUAUUUUUUAAAAAAGUGGGGUAAUUCCUUUAUGUAGAGAAAGAGACAAAACUGAAACAGAAUUAGUGCUAUAGAGAUUAAUCAGUGAAUGCAUUUGAAGUUCCAUUGGCAAGGCUCGUGAUGGUUUGGUACACAGAGGAUGAUAAAAUAUUGAUAAUUAAACUUGUACUUUUAAAUGUUAUUUUGGCAUUUGCAGCAUAUAGAUAAGUAUGUUCCAUAAACUUGCCAAAGGAACACUUACCUGAGCUACCUUGUCUUCUUUCCACAUCUGUUCUAUGGAGGCAAUGUUGCAAAGUCCUAGAGGAAAGAGCAGGUUCAGUUCUAGAAAAACAACUUGGAAAUAGAUGACUUUUAUUUUAUUUUGCUUUGUUUUGUUUUAGGAAAAUAUGCUCUCAGCCUCCUUUCUGUUUGAAGGGAAAGCAUUCAGAAUUCUGCAUGAAAAUCAGGGUCUCACUGCAACUCCACCUGGAUGUCACCUUCCCAAAUUUUGCCUUAAAUUACAGACUUUUCCUUGGAGCCUGUUCUCCUAUCAGAACUUACUGUUUGUUGUCCUUUUCUUUCCUACUCCAUAGGAAACUAAUAUAUAAUACAUGCUCCCCUAGUUACUAUUCUUUUUUUUUUUUUAAUUUUUUUUUCAACGUUUAUUUAUUUUUGGGACAGAGAGAGACAGAGCAUGAACGGGCGAGGGGCAGAGAGAGAGGGAGACACAGAAUCGGAAACAGGCUCCAGGCUCUGAGCCAUCAGCCCAGAGCCCGACGCGGGGCUCGAACUCACAGACCGCGAGAUCGUGACCUGGCUGAAGUCGGACGCUUAACCGACUGCGCCACCCAGGUGCCCCCCUAGUUACUAUUCUAAUGCAUAGUGUUAGUAAUAUUACUCCCUUAUAAUGAGAGCCAUUAUAUGGUAAUUUGCCUUUUGCAACCUUUUUUUUCACUAUUCUCUGGCCAUCAGAAUCAGUGGACAUCAUGGCUGUGGAUGAAAACUCCAGUAUCAUCAGAUGGACUCUGAGACUCACGCUUUAGGUGGAUGAAACAUGGCUGUCCUGGACAUUCUGUACUUGCCCAUGGAAGGUUCCACAAUCAAGACAUUAAAAUCACUUCAGAUCCAUUCUAAUAGAAACUAAAAGUUGCCUUAGUAUAAUCAAAAUGGAAAUUUGCCCACCAGAUUCCCUUUGUUUCUGAAGAGGAACUUUGAGUUUCUUCAGGAUAGAACCCUAUGAUAGUGCAUCCUAUGGAAGGCAUAAAAGCAUGGAAGGAUGGGUUCUCUGUGGUUAUGUAAGGGUGCGAAUUAACUUCAUUGUAAUACACUGAAGUGUCAGGCACCAAGCUAACAUGAGACUUCAUGAUUGUAUCAUGUCUUGUGAGAUUUAUUUAGAAUUUUAAAGAGGUUGGGGAAGUUUGUGAUAUCUCUUAAUUUCUGUUCUUUAAUUCCUCUAUUUUUUUACUCUAUGUUCCUCAAAUGUAGCCAUUUUAGAAUAAAAUAAAUAAACACUACCACAAUACUAUAUCUAUUUUUUUUUUUUUUUUAGCCAAUAGCAUAUAUACUAUCAAACAAGCCUAUGGACAAAAAGGAAUAGGUCAUUGUUUCAUAGUGAGAUUUUUUUUGAUUCUGUGAAAUUCCCUCAAUUCCCGCGUAUUGCCAUUUUUCAAUACUUAGGGUUUUUAACAGUUAACAAUUUCUAUGCUUCGAAUUUCUCCUUUUCCACUCACUUUCAAUAAGCAGUUAAUAGGGCAUGGGUCUUUGGAGUCUGACAUUUGAGUCCUGACUUUGCCUGGUAACCUUGUGAACUUUAGCAGGUUGCUCAUCUUUGAGAUUCAGUUUUUUUCAUUUGCAUAUUGAAGAAUUGAGUUAAAAUUCAUGGCACUUUAUAGGCACUGAAGAAAAACAGAUAUUAUUAAUACUUUGGAUAGAUUCCCUGAUUAGGCCAUUGCAGACUGCCUUCUCCAUAACUGAAAUAAUUUCCAUCAAUCUGUUCCCAGUUACUAGGUUUGAUAGGAAAAAGUUUGGGGGGUGCAGGGGCAGAAGAGGUGGUUAGGAGGGAGAGGUAUAACUGGGAGGCUUGCAAGGGCAAUAAAGAAUUUUUAUUUAUCUCGUGUUUUUCCCUUGAGACAGGACUGUGCCCAACUCUUGAUUAUUCACAAAGCAAGUUAGGAAAAGCAAAGCAGUAAAAACCCUGAAAGUUAUACUUUGGUAUCAGGAUGCAUUUCACAAACUUGGCAGUAUACAUACUCAUUUAAUUUUAUUCUUUUUUUUCUAAUAUAAUGAUUUUGGCAACUGUUUGCAGAUUUGGUUCAGGUAGAGUUGUUCAAGAAAAGUGAAACUAUCCUUAAUAUAUAACAAUUCUGUUUACUUUCCUCAAAUUUUACUGAUGUCAAGACAUACUUAUUUGAACACUGGGCAAUGUUUUUGUGAGAGAAAGCAGGCGCCUCCACCUGGGUGGCCACUGAAGGGUAAGGAAGGCGCUGUGUGUGUGUCACUCAGCUUCUACUAACUCAACAUGGCAGUGGGACCUAGAGAGCUCUAGCCCUGAGCUGGAUGACUGGAAUAAAGUCCUGACUCUUUGCUUAUAAAUUUCUUAUAAAUACAACGUUUGGAGCCUUAAUUUCCUCAUUUAUAAAGCAGGAAUAAUAUUUUUUAUUUUAUCACUUCUCAGGUUCAAAAUAAAGAAUUCAUAGUAUGUGUGGAAAUUCUAUGGUUAGCUAGAAAGGCCAAUGUAAGGGUAGUGUUAUUAUCUUAGCAUGCCUUUGCUGUGAUGAACAGUUAGCUGAAUGCAGACUAAAUGUUUUCUUUUAAGCAAAUGAUCAUGUUAAUGCUCCAAAGGAAUAUAAGACUCUCCAUAGAAAUGAAAGAAAGCAAAGUUAGUGUUUUUUCUUUUUUUAAAUCUCGAAUUGAGGAAAGUGAAAUACCUGCUUAUGUAACUAUCUAGGAACCUCCCAAAGCCCCAGAAAAGGAGAAAAUAAGAACAGAGGCUUUGAUGUGAGGGUAAACAGAUCAGAUGGAAAAAAAAACCCACCAUGAUUCUUGUAAUAUAAUUGGACUGUAGUCUCUCUACAAGCAAAAAUGUAGCUUCCUGGCAGAAAGCUGAUUCCACUAUUAUCAUUACUUUUCCCCUAUUCAUCUCUCAUCAGGAAGCCUGUCUCAAAAUCAAAGUUAAGCUCUAAGGGCCUGUUUGUAGCAUGGUAUCUCUUUUCCCUAGGUCAGAAGGUGACUUUGAACUAAAAGUUUAAACUGGUGACAAAUAUCCACAACAAUCUGAGCCAAGUGUUUAGACAAAGGUUCCAUCAGCCCUCAGGCCUGUCUACUUUCUGGUAUAUUUUAAGACUCUCUACUUGUACAGAGAGAAACAUGCAGUUAAAGAGAUGAGGGCCUCAACUAAAUAGACUGUUACUUUCUUUCAUGAAUAAAUUGUUGAAGUAAUUUUAAAGAAAAGCUUCUAGAUUAAGACUGGAGCAGGACAGGAAACCUCAUUCUAAUUGCAGCUCUAUCAUGAACUAACUUGGUGAUUUUGUGGAAGUGACGUAAAUUCUCUGGGCCUCAGUUUCCUUCUUUGUAAAACCUGUGAUAUAUUACCCAGAGACACUUCCUGCCCUGAAAAUCUGUGACUGUAGAAGGUUUACAUAAAGUUACUUCACAUAGGUCAGGUUUGUGCUCUACUGUGAGGACUCUUGUGCAUUCUUUGGGUAGAUUGAGAUAUCACGCAUAGUCUCUGUAAACGAUGUGUUGCUGUACUUUUAAAUUAAGAUUUGAUAGUUCUUAUCCAGGUUUCUGGUUAUUCACCUAACUAUGGGUUCAUCUCAGGAGUACAACUUCCAAUUUAUAACUUUGGAAAAUGGUAUGCUUUUUAGUGAAUGGCUUUACAACAAAGUUUCUAGAGAAGUGUCUAAAAGCAAAGUUUCUAGGCAAAAUUUCUAAAAGGAGCUUAUGGAAAAAAAUUAUGGUACUAUGGCCUCAAAUUGUGUGGGUUUCGUAUAAUUUUGAGCUUUCCAACGACAGAGAAAAUAUGUAAAUGUGUCAUGCAUUGUAUUACACCAUUACAACCGUUAAGACUCCAUGUUCUUUAGAUAUUUUUUUGGCGGAAUAGGCGGUCAAAGUUAAGCAGCAUCGUAUACUCUCAAUCUCAUAACUGAUGGAUUUGUCUUUGUAGCGGGAAUGUUGUCUACUUUUCCUGACAAUUGAACCUACUAAAAUGCUAUUCUUUCCAGACUUUAAAAAAAACGAAAAAAAGGAGAAGAAGAAUUAAGAGGCUAUGGGAUUUCACCUGAGGAGUAGAUCAUGGGGUAGUCAUGCUUGUUCUUGAGUCCAUAUUUUAAACUUAUUCUGGAGUCCUUAUUAUUUUUUUGCAAUUAUGUUUGUUGGGAGAUAUGUACAUGUUUAGUUUGAAUAUCUAGAAGAUUUGAUUUGUCCCAUUGAUAUUUCUUACACACAGGACUUUUGGAACAUGCUGCAUGUCCUUUUUUUUCAGGGAAAACGAGACUCCAUUCCUAUGCUUCUUUUCCCAGUUUCCUUCCUUCAACAACACUGACUGAGUCUUGUAAACAUUUAUGUCCCCAAGUCCUGCUAGAAUUUUGCUCCCAGAUAUCCUAGGGGUAGAAAACAGCCCUUUUAAAAUUGUCUCUAUAAGAAGUAUGUGUCUAAUUCAGGUGCAUGAAAAAUUUAGGUUAAAAAUCUGAAAAGAUUAAAAUACUCACAAAUGCUCACCUCCAUGUUCAAAUCACAGAGGCCAGUGGGAAAGAACUGUCAGGUUCUAGAUGAAUGUACUCUUCGAUAAGUGAGAUCCACUUGGUCAUCUUAUAGCACUUGUCAUAAUUUACUUUUGGGGGGAAUAUAAAUCCCCCUCAAAGGCUAUUAUAAGUGUGUUAGUGACAUUAGAAUUUAAUUCAGAUGAUUCUGAAAUUUUUGACUUUUUUUAAAAAACAAAUAAUGCUGCUGGUGGUUUUGACUUGCUUUUCUCUACAGAAGAUAUUCUCACCACACACCGAUGAGGCAGUUACUUGCAUUCCUUCAUUUAUUUAUUAUUCAGUGAACAUUUACUGAGUACCUAUUGUUUACCAGACACUUUUCUGAAUGAUGCAGAAACAAAUAUUUAAUCUUUGUCCCCAGGGAGCUAAUCAUCUAAUGGGCACAAGGGAAAUAAAGGACAAUAUCAUGUGGUCUGUGCUGAGACAGAGAUAGACAGAGGAUACUAGGGGCACCAGGAAGACACCCCUACUAUUCAAUACCUCAGAGGUGGAGGGCUGGGAUGGGAGGUCAGGGAAGAUUUGAGAGGAGGGAACACCGGAGCAGAGUCAUUCCCCUGUGUUUCUUCCAUUAUCUCCUUCAUCUGCAUUCCAUCCUGUUUGUCAUACACACAAAUCCUUCAAAUCCUAAUCAGGUCUGAUGUGCAUUCUCUUAAAAACCUUUUUUUUAAAUAUUUAUUUAUUUUUGAGAGACAGAGAGAGACAGAGCAUGAGCAUGGGAAGGGCGGAGAGAGAGGGAGACACAGAAUCCGAAGCAGGCUCCAGGCUCUGAGCUGUCAGCACAGAGCCCGACGUGGGGCUCGAACUCACAAACCUUGAGAUCCUGACCUGAGCUGAAGUCGGAUGCUUAACCAACUGAGCCACCCAGGUGCCCCAUUGAAAACCUUUUUGAUUAUCCGAGAUAUCUUUGUUCUUUUUGUCUAAAUGACAGUAGUCAGCACUUCCCCUUUCUAUGACACCUUUAGCAUUCAAAAGAAACUUUUCUGUGUUGUCCAUUGUUUUAGUUUCAUUUAUCAAUAGAUGUUAUUGAUCUUUAGUUUUAUCAUCUGCUCCUUGAGAAUAAAGAUGGGUAUUAAGGAGGGCACUUGUUUUGAUGAGCAGCAGGUGUUGUAUGUAAAUAUUGAAUCACUAAAUUGUACACCUGAAUCUGAUACUACGCUGUGCAUUAACUAACUGGAAUUUAAAUAAAAACUUAAAAAAAAAAAAAAAAGAAGAAGAAGACAAUCUCUCAAAUCCCAGAAAGUUAAAUACAUUUUUUAUUAUUUUUUAAAGUUUUAUUUAUUUAUUUAUUUAUUUAUUGACUCUUAAUUAAUUAAUUAAUUUUUCAAUAUAUGAAAUUUAUUGUCAAAUUGGUUUCCAUACAAUACCCAGUGCUCAUCCCAAAAGAUGCCCUCUUCAAUACCCAUCACCUACCCCCCCCUCCCUCCCACCCCCCAUCAACCCUCAGUUUGUUCUCAGUUUUUAAGAGUCUCUUACGCUUUGGCUCUCUCCCACUCUAACCUCUUUAAAAGUUAAAUACAUUUCCAGUACUAUGCAUAUUGUAGAUACUCAAUAAAUAUUUGUGGUUAAUAAGUUAAGCAAAAUAGGGGCACCUUGGUGGCUCAGUCGGUUGAGUGUUCAAUUCUUGAUUUUGGCUCAGGUCAUGAUCCCAGAGUCUUGGGAUCUGGCUCUACACUGAAUGUGGAGCCCGCUUAAGAUUUUCUCUUUCUUGCUGUCUCCCUCCCUUCCCCACUGCCCCUCUCCCCAGCUCACAUGCUCUCUCUUUCUCUCCCUAAAAAAAAAUUAAAAAAAUAAUUCAAGCAAAAUAUAUUUUUUGAUGGUUCAAAAUCAAGUGGCUUCUCUCAGUUAAUUAUCAGAUUGUUUUCUAAUUAUAUUACUCAAUCUUGCCUAAGCUGUUAUAUAAAUAGUAAACUUAGGUGGAAUCAGCUUUUAUGUAUAGGUUAGCUAUCUUUGGUGGCUUUUUGUCUGAAGCCUCAUAUAAAUACAUACUUCAAAGCCUACAUAUUGUGUACAAAAUAGAAACAAAAGUUAAUUUUAUAAUUUAUCUAUUUAUAGUGACUUUAGUCAGGCUUUAGGGACACAAAGAUGAUUUAACACACUAGCUGGUAUUUAAGGAACAUCCAUGAUGAGGAGAAUCAACAUAUGAACAAAAAAGUGAAACAGAAUGUAAUAAAUUUGGUGAAAAAGAAUGGCAUAGAGGUAUCUACUCUAAUAUAGCAAGGGUUGGUUUCCUGGAGGAGAGAGACCCCAAACAUAAAUGAUGGAUGUGUGCUAACCAGCAGAAUGGAGACAAGAGAGGAGCAAGAGGGUGCAUCUAGUUGGGGAAAAAAGACAUGAAGAAAUACUAAGAAGUAUUAAUCAGCAUUUCUUUGCAGGAAAACUGCAGAAAACUGCAGCUACUUUCCUGUCUUGGUGCAUAGAAUGGAAGGCGUAAUCAUCUCAUUCAUUAUUAGAAAUAUGAUUUUGAGGCGGGGCACCUGGGUGCUUUAAUCGGUUAAGCAUCUGACUCUUGGUUUCAGCUCAGGUCAUGAUCUUAUGGUUUGUGAGAUCGAACCCCUGUGCUGACAGCAUGGAGCCUGCUUGGGAUUCUCACUUUCUCCCUCUCUCUCUACCCCUUUCCCACUCGUUCUCUCUCUCUCCCUCCCUCUCUCUCAAUAAAUAAAUAAACUUAAAAAAAAAGAAAUGUGAUUUUUUUAGACAAUUUAUUGAUUGAUUAUUUAUAAAUUCUGUAUUUAAUAGUAGUAGAGAUAACAGAUAAAGAUUAUUAUUUUUUUCCUUUAGCCAUUAAAAAGCUGACUUGUGGGCGCCUGGGUGGCGCAGUCGGUUAAGCGUCCGACUUCAGCCAGGUCACGAUCUCGCGGUCCAUGGGUUCGAGCCCCGCGUCAGGCUCUGGGCUGAUGGCUCAGAGCCUGGAGCCUGUUUCCGAUUCUGUGUGUGUCUCUCUCUCUCUGCCCCUCCCCCGUUCAUGCUCUGUCUCUCUCUGUCCCAAAAAUAAAUAAAAAACGUUGAAAAAAAAAUAAAAAAAUAAAAAAAAAGCUGACUUGUGAAGUGAUGAAGAAACAUAGAACCAUCGUUGAGAUAGGAGGUAGAGUCAAGUGAGGAUGUUUGUGUUAUUUUAUUUUCAAAUGACAGAAUGGGAUGUUUAUAGCCUGAAAGAAAGUGUCCCAGGGACAGAGAGAUCUUGAAAAUACAGAAAGAAAGGGCAAUGGUGAUUGACCAGCAUAUAGAAAGGCACAGUUUUGGUGUAAAGGUAGAGAUUAGCCUCGAAGAGAUGAGGGGAUAUUACAUCUUUGACACUAGAUGCAAGGAUGCAAAGAUACAGAUGUAACUUCAGGUGAAAGCAGUCUGUUGAGGGUCCCAGAGGUGGGAGUGGAAGGUUGGGAUAGUUCAUGCUUGAUACAUCAACUAUUUUUAUUGCCUCAAUUAUUUUAUUUUUUAAAUAUUUAUUUUUGAGAAAGAGAGAGACAAAGCAUGAGUGGGGGAGGGUCAGAGAGAGAGGUAGACAGAAUCUGAAACAGGCUCCAGGCUCUGAGCUGUCAGCACAGAGCCUGACGCAGGGCUUGAACCCACAAACCACAAGAUCAUGACCUGAGCCCAAGUAGGGCUCUCAAACAACUGAGCUGCCCAGGCGCCCCUAUUGCCUACAUUAUUUUAAUGCUUAGUUACUUGAAUGCAUCAAUGUAAUUCAAUACAAAAUUAAUUUAAUGUAAUGUAAUUAAUUAAAUUACAUAUCUUGGACUGUCCCUCGAGACUAUUCUAACUGUUGCUCUGUUUGUGCUAACAUGAUGAAGAUUAAAUUAUCAGUAAAUUAUUUGUUUUGAGAACGUUGGUUCAAUGUCAGAGAGUUGCUCAAAAUGCUUCUGCAUGAUGAUGCAUAAUGUUUCUUUUCCCAACUGGGUGACGUGCUGUUCUUUUGGGUAGUCAGCUUCAACUUUCUGUCAGUCCCUAACUACCCCUACCUGCCCUCACUGCAUGUUACUAGAUCCCAAUGAUAAAAGAGAUUCACUUUCUCAGAGGUAAGGCUAGGGUUUUCUGUACUGGCCAGUGAUCUAUAUUCAGUUGACAUUUGUUUGUAGAGUUUUCUGCUUCUAUAAGUAAUAUCACACUAUAGGUAGGACUGUACAGUUCACAAAGUACAUUUACUCAUUUGAUGCACACAUAAAACCCAAGUACCUUCGCUUGCAGAUGAGAAAACUGAGACUCACAACAGAUAACAGAUAAAUAAUGCAGUGGAUUUUGGACAGGGCUAUAGAACUUAGGUUUUCUCACUCCUGAUCCAUGGCUCUUUCAAUUGUAUCUUAUAGAAAGGAGAAAAGGAAGGGAGUGAGACAGCUUUAGUCAACAAGAAAAGCACCCCACCCUAUAUGGAAAUCAUUUUUGUUUAGUGCUGGAUUCUUAGAGACCUCAGUGAGACCAAACCUGUGGCAGGCAAUGAUUAGGGGAAGUAUUAUUCGAUCUUGAAGAAGUUUAGAUUUUUUUUUUUUUUUUUUUUUAGAUUUUAUUUUUUUCAGACAUGGAAGUUGGGGAUUUUCAUGGAGACCUAUAAUGAGGAAAUAACCAAGCGACUUUUAAUUUACCCAACUAAAAAUGUUACUUGAGAUGAAAUAGGAAACCUUGUAAGCAGGAGUCUGCAUAGAGAUGAAAACAGAUGUAAUCACAAGAUGUGCUAUCGGGUAAGAGCCAAAAAUGACUUUUGGAAAGAAAAAAAAUAUGCGGGUUUAGCACUCAGUGAGACACCUCUAAUUAUUAGGCUUUCUGUCCUGGCUUUAUAUACUCCAUUUAUUAUAAAAUUAAUUUUAAAAAGUCACUGGCCAGAUAUUAUUGUGUGCUCACUCCCUCAGAGUCUGGAUUCUAAGCGCCAGGUCAGACACUAGAAGUAGAAAGAAAAAUAAGAAAUGGUCUUCUUACUUACAGAGUCCCAAUAUGGGAGAUACAACCAGCUGUAAAACUUUGUAAAGAGAACUGAUAGAUAGGUAACAGCAUGCAUGCAUAUCUGCCUACGCUGGUAUAUAAAUUAGUUAAAAUCUAUAAAAACCAGACAUCUGCUAGGGGAGCUUGGGUAGCUCAGUCAGUUAAGCAUCUGACUUUGGCUCAGGUCUUGAUCUAACUGUUUGUGAGUUUGAGCACUACAUUGGGCUCUCCACUCUCAGUGUAGAGCCCGCUUUGGAUCUUUUGUCUCUCUCUCUCCCUGCCCCUAUGCUGCUCUCUCUCUCUCUCUCUGUCAAAAUAAAAACAAAGCAGAAUUUGCACCAAACGUUUUCGGUAGAAGGAUCUCCAGUGAAAAUGUUUAUUUGCUAAGAAAAUGUUUUCCUCCUUCUGGGUUGCCUAGGUGGCGUCUGGGUGGUGUCUGGGUGGCGUCUGACUCUUGAUUUUAGCUCAGGUCAUGAUCUCCUGGUUGUGAGAUUAACCACCUCCCCCCCCCCCCCCGCCACUCCCCAGUCUGGCUCUGUGCUGACAGUGAGGGAUUCUCUCUUUCCCUCUCUCUCUGCCACUCCCCACUCACACUCUCUCAGUCUCUCUCUCAAAAUAAAUAAAUAAACAUUAAAAAAGAAAGAAUUUGAAAAAUAAAGUUACUCAUGAGAGAUUUAGCAAUAAAAACUUGAUUUCUCCUUUAAAAAAAUGAAAAUAUUUUCUUCCUUCUGUAGUGACAUUUUUUAUCAUAAUAUUUUUUCACCAUUCCAUGAAGGUAGUUACAAAUCAGUUAAAAAUUUAAUCACCUGCAGAAAUGUUUUACAUUUGUGUAAAUGCUGCCCAUUGAUAAUCUAUAAUAACAAAUAUUUGACUUAUGUGUACUAAGCCAUGUACUAUAGUUACUUAAUCUAUGUAUUUAGUAACAAAUUCAGAACUAGAAGUGUAAAUGCUGCCCAUUGAUAAUUAAUCAAACUAUAGUAACAAAUAUUUGAUUUCUGUGUACCAAGUCAUGUGCUAUAUGGUGUACUCAACUUACAUAGUUAGUUAGUAGUAAAUUCAGAACUCGAAGCUGUGGUUCCUAACCUUAGGAAGUUUCUAAUGUAGUUUCAAAGUAAACAUUUGAAAUAAUUAAGCUAAGAAAUAGGAUAUAUAAGCACUGAACACAAAUACAUUAAUUUUUGAAAAUAAGCCUGGAGUAAAUUUAGGAAAGGGAAGUGUUGGCUAGAGCUUUUACAAAAUGAGAGGUUUCAGAGAGGAGGCAGGCAGGAGAAUAGGGUGUUGUGAAAGCCAACAGAAAGGUUCUUAGAGUAACUGUAAUUGUGUCACAGAGGUCCGAGGGAAGGGUGAAGGAAGAAAGGUAGGGAACCAGGCAGUAUGGAGUUUUCUGAUGACCUUUGAGAGAAUAGUUGUCCAAAUAGUUAGGAACCAAAACAAAAUUUGCAGAGGUUAGACUUCUUAUACAUUCUAAUAUAUUGAUUUCUGAACUAAUUUCAUAUAGUAGUUAUUUAAGUCAUAUAUUGAAAUAAAAUUCUAAUCAGCUAAUUUAUUUCUUUACCAUUUUCUUUCUGUUUUUUAAGUUCUAUACUUUUUCUAAAGGACUUACUGGAUAUUAUUAAUGAAAUGAAGUGUCCAGUCUGUUGGUGUUCCCAUAAUGUUAAUAUCUUUAGUGCUAAGAAAUAAUUUGUAGUGCUGAUGAGGUACUGUACAAAAGUAGAGGACUGUGAUCAAUGGGCUAUACUUGAAAAUUACAUAAAAUCCUUCUUGGGUUGAUGAUAUUUAAUCUAUAUGUGAUAAGAAUACUUGUUUUAAACUAACACAAAUUUCCAUAGAUUCGUCAAUAAAGUCAUUACUAUGGAGUAAGUCAAUGCACAUACCUUCAGUAUUACCAUGCAGAUUCUCAGAGAUCCUCCUAUUAAUUACUGACAUGAUUACCUAAAAACUGUGGCUUUCUAAUUAAAGUUCAACAAGCAUUUUGUUGGACAUGUGUUCAGGUAUUGUGCAAGGCUAUGGGAAUACCACAGUUUGAGACACAUUCGUUAUUCUCAUUGAAUUCAUAGUCAAGAGAGAGAGGGAAAACCAGCAUAUAGAAUGUGAAUGUUUUAAAAAUUAAGUUGUCACAAACUUUUUUUCUUAGUUAGAUAAAGAAAUAGUCACAUAUUAUAGUUAAUAUCAGAUGAAAAGUUUAUUAUUUCAGCGAUUUCAUUGAUGGUAGAAUGGUAAGUUGUUUCUUCAAACCAGGAUGUACCAGGGAGAAUAGGGCAUUUUGACCAAAGUCUUGGCAAAGUUUUAUUUCAGACAAGAAUACCACAAAACAUUUAGUUCACUGAAGAAUUAGCCCACAUUUUAUUUUUUGUCAUUAAAAGCACAUUACAUUCCAAAUUUUCUGUUACUGGUACAUGUGAAAUCCACUUUGAAGUAGACAAUAGUCUGGGUUGGGGUUCUAUGUUGCCUGUUCUGCCCAGUCAUUGUUGGCAAAGUGGUACAAGUGUCACUUCUAGUGGGAGAAGAUAGCAGAAUCCUGUGUGAUUAUUGUCCAGGAUGAAUGAUAAAAUUAUAUUUCUGUUCUUUUUGGACCUUUUUUCAAAUGUCUUUAACAUGCUCGAAUUAGUCAAUGAAUAUUUUAAAUUUUUCUGUACCACUGUUGCGGGCUUUUUUCCUUUUGUUUUGGGUUAAAUCUCUAGAUGUGUUAUUAUUUGCAUAUGCUUUGGUAAACACAGAAGAAACAAUUUUUUUUAAGUUACUAAAUUAGUACUGCUUUUAAUGUGAUUUAAUAGUUGUUUGUAUUUACAUCUUUAUAUACACACACUAUAUAUAUAUAUGGAGGAGAGAGAGAGAGAUCUGUAUAUAUUUGUAUAUAAUUUUCAUUAAACGGUACAGAAUGUUUAACUGCUUGCUUCAUUAUAGCCUGAGUGCUGAGUGCUGUCCACUGGGGAGAUGGAUGAAAAAUAUACAAGGUGGUCAGAGCCAUUACAUAGUCAUAUUAACAGUUGCCUCGGCUGAAUUUCCAUUUUGUUACCAGAUGUUAUAUUUUAGCUACCAUGGCAACUAAUCCUCAAUCAUAUUUUCACUAUUUUAUUGCAAAUUAUUAGAGUAACUUAAUAGAGCAUAUGCUUAUUAUAUUCCCUGGUGUAAAUUAAUACUGGAUUUUGUUCUAGCUGUUUUGGAAGUUUCAGAUGAUAAUGUAAUUUUACACUGUCAGUUUAAUGGAAUCUAUUCUUAGAUAACAGAUUGAAAUAUUUGGUACAAAAAUAUAGUUGGGACACAUCAAUAUAUAUCUUGGGAUAUACAAAAAUUACAUUAUUUUUUUCUAUUAAUGCAUCAAUGUGUGAUAACAUUCUGCUUAUUUAAUGCAUAUGUCUCACUGGGGCAGUCUCUAACAAAGCAAAAUAACCAGACUCUUACAGAAUUAAUAUAUGAGGGUGAGGCCAUCAAUACAUCUCAGAAAACUGAGCAUAUUUGAAAGUUCCAAGUCUUGACAAGUCCUUGUGAAAAGGAAAUAUGUUGAAAAGAAGACACAAUAUGUUGGCUUGUUUCCGAUAUAAUAUAUAUUAUAAUUUUAUGGUGUUUUUUAUUCUUUUAAAGUCCUAUGGUCUUCAAAAUCCAUAGCCAAAAAUUGUUUCCCUAAAAAAGGAAAGUUAAAAUUCAUUUAUUUAACAAAUAUUUAUUGAGUGUAAUGUGACAGACACAUUCCUGAGUUCCGGGGAUACAACAGUGAAUAGGCUUCUGACCACAUGGAACAGGAAUUCUCCUGCAGGGUAUGGCUGGCAAAUAAGAGCCGUCCAAAGAUGCCUGAGUUCUAAUCCCUGUAACCCAUGGAUGUGUUACCUCAGACAGCAAGGGAUAAUUAAGUUUACAGAUGGUAUUGUGGAGACUAAUUAGCUGACUUUAAGAGAGAGAGAUUAAGCUGCGUUAACUGGGUGGGCCCAAUGCAAUCAGAAGGAGGCGGAAAAGAUGCAGUUGCAAAAGAUGUGACGAUGAAAGCAGGGAUCAGAGUCAGAGAGAGAGAUUUGAAUAUGCUACUCGGCUGGUUAUGAAAAUUAAGGCUGGGUCCACGUGUCAAGGAAUGCAAGGAGCCUCUGGAAGCAGGAAAAGGCAAAGUGAAUGGAUUCCCUUCUAGGACGUCUAGAGAGAGAGCAGCCGUGAGGACACCUUGAUUUUAGCCCAUUGUAUCUCAUUUCAGACUUCUGACCUCUAGAACUGUAAGAUAACAAAUCUGUGUUGUUUGUCACAACCGCAGUAAGAAACUAAUACAACAUGAAAGAGGAAGAGGGAAUUGGCUGGAAGAACCAGAGAAACAGCAGUGCGAGAUGGACUGCCUAAUGUCACUGGCUUUGAAGCUGGGAUGCGACAAGGAGCCAAGGAAUGUAGGCCACCUCUAGAAGCUGACAAAAGCAAUGCAAUUAAUUACCCCACUAAAGCCCAUGGGAGGAAUGCCAACCCCUUGAUUUUAGCCAGUGAGACUCAUUUGGGACUUUUAACCUCCAGAACUUUAAGAUAAAAAAUCGGUGUUGUCUUUAAGCCACUAAGUCUGUGAUAGUUUGUUAAAAGAAACAAUUGAAAAUCAAGACAACAGGAUAAGACAAUAUAUAAACAAAAUAUUUCUUUAAAAAAUAGAUAAUUUUUGAUAAUAAUUGGCAUAAAGGAGUUAAAACAGAGUAGGGUUCUGGAGUUCUGUGGUCCAGUAUAAUAUAUACUAACCACUUGUAGCUAUUUAAAUUAAAUUAAACUAAAAUUAAUUAAAAUCUAAGGGCUAUCAGUGUGGCUAGUGACUACUGUAUGGGAUAGUGUAGAUGGUAGAACAUUUCCGUCAUCACAGAAGAUUCUCUUGGAUAGUGCUGUUCUGGAGAGUGGCACUACUUUGCAUAAGGCAGAUUCAGUUUGUGUGAAGAUCUGAAUGAUAAGAGGGAAUUGGGCAUGUGAAGGGCCAUGGGAGGGGCACUGCAGGUUGAAGGAGCAAAACGCAAAGCCAUAAGUGCCUGGUCAUUUUGUGGAACUGAUUAACCCGGGCAAAAACACAACUCACAUCAAUGGAAGAAGCGAAAGUAGGAGUCAUGAAUUGUGGUUCACCCAGCAAAUGAGGUUCAUCUCUAGUAAACUUUAAGUCCUGCUACUAAUAAGUCUUGAACUAGAACUUUAUCUUGAUAGUACAUGUUUUUUGUUGUUGCUAUAUAUUCAUUUCACUGUUCUUUUGCAGUUUACAUUAGUGUACUGACUUUCAAUGAUCAUGUCUUAUGUACUAAAAAAGAAAAGAGUUUCUGGGAUGGUUGUUUCCUUUAAGGAAUCCAGAGAAUUUGUGUGUGUGUGUGUGUGUGUGUGUGUGUGUGUGUGUGUGUGUGCGUGCGCGUGUGUGUGUGCUCACGCGUGUGCUUUUUUGAGUGUUUGAUCAUUUGUUUUAAUUUUUUCCUUUUAAACUCUUUUACUUCAGGAUGUUAUAACACUGAUCCAUAAAAUAUGUAAUUAUUAACGUGAUAGAAAGUGCCAGAGUUUGCAGUCAGUGGGUUCCAAUAUAACCAGGGAAUAUUGGAAAGCUGUUACUCAAAGGUAAUGUGGAAUCUCAGGGGGUCUAUAUGGGAACUACCUUUUAAGGCAAAUGCAUCUUACCGGUGAAAGUGAUGGAAGAUGAUUUCCAGAUGUUGAAAUGCUUGUUUUGGCAACUGCUACAGAAAACUGAAGCACGUCUUGCCAGAACAACCAGAAGGGAUGUGAAGCACUGAUGUAAGAGGGAUCAGGCACACAGCAAGCAAAGCAAGCAGAACCCAGAAAGUGUAGAUACAGGGAAGAUAGUUGAGCCAAGAAAACAAGAUCUGGAACUCCAGUUAGUUGCAUGUAGUGAAAGCAUGUUUGCUUCUGUCGUGGGAUCCACACACAUGCUUACCACUGCUAUACACUCCACUUACCCCUUCCUCUACCUUCAUUAUCUUUCCUGUAAAAAUUGAUGUUAAUAUUUUAAUCAGGGAAACUCUUCCCAGCUAAUUUGUUUGUUAGAUAUUAUGGGGUUCGUAAAGCAUGCAUGGCUGGAGUUAAACAUGUUUGUCUUCAAAUCCUGGGUUCAUUAUUUACUGCCAGGGUGACCUUGACUGAAUUGCUUAACCCCUAAACGGUCCAAUUUUUUCAUCUAUAGAAGGGAGGUUAUAAUUUCAUUGCCAAAGUCCUAUUGUGAGAAUCAAAUGAAAUAAUGUAUGUGAAGUACACACAUAAAUAAAUUUCUCCUCCUAUCUGCGCCCGCCCCCCCCACUGGCAACAAACCUCCAGAAUUCACAUGUUUUUGUCCAGUUAGGAAAAACAUUUUCAGAAGACAUCUGAGAAUUGAAUAUAAUGUUGGCAGACUCAUAGAUCAGAUAUUUUUAGCCAGGUUGGCUUUUUCUAAGCUCUUGUAAUAGAAUCACAUAGGCAGCCAGGUAUUCUGUCUACAUAUCAGGCAUUCCUUUGGGAUUGUUUCCUAAAAGGUGAAGAAAAUAGGAAAAUAAACAUCCAUCCUCAUUGGAGUAUUUCCUUUUACACACCAGAUGUCCAUUGUGCUUCUUUUACUCCAAUAUUUUUUUAACCUGUGUGUUGACUUUAAAAAGUAGACUGUUAAUUGUCAUCCCAAACUAGUCAACCAGUUCCAAGCAGUUCAAGAUAAUGAAAUUUGCCAUCUGCCACCAUAUCUUGGUGAGAUCUUGGACUUUCAUUUCUAAAUAAUUUUGAUUUCUCCCCUUCCCUCUAUCACAUUCUCUUCACUAGAUCUUUUCUGAAAUAGAGAUUUUUUUUUUUUCCCAAUCUCUGUGCUAAACCUGGUCCCAGACCAGAAAAGGCCAGAUUCUUCCAAAAGGCCAGCCUCUGCAAGAGUUGGAACCUAAAAACCUAAUUCAUACUCCAACUAUUUUCCCAAGGGGUGGAGUAACGGGAGCCAGGAUAACAGGAAGAGAUCCUGUGGGGAAUUAGCUCAUUCCACACCUGGACAUCUGGCCGUGUUCCACUGUGAAUUUGCUGGGGAAGCUUUGAAGUCUAAAUUUUGAAUUGAGCUACAUUGUGUUUUGAUCUGCUUGCCACUUCAAAUUAGCACAUUAGUUGCCCUGCCCUUUGUCAUCCUAAUUUCUCUGAAGAAGCAUCACAGAGAUACAAUUCAGAAUUUUUGGUAUCAUGACUUCAUCAUAGAAUGCUGACCUUGCCUAUUAUUAUACUUGGAAUUAGAAGUUUUUAGCAUAAAUCCUAGCUCCUCCACCUACUAGUUGCAUGAUCUUCUAUUUUGAAUCAUGCACAUUGACCUCAGGACCUCACAUCUAUAAAACAUAGAGGAUAUAAAAUACUUGUUCUGACUACUUUAUAGUGUAUGACGAUUGAAUGAAUCAUGUGCGUCAAAGUACAUAAAACAGAGUAGAUGACUCUCAUCUCAGUUCUCUGAAGUUUUGAAUUAAUCUGUCCACAUUGCAUUGUAAUUACUUGACUCUCUCUCCUUAGUGACUAAAGGAGAGAUAAUUUUUUUUUCUGUGUAUUUGUGUCAACCCCAAUACCUAGCAUAUGCUUGGUCCAGGAGAGGUAUAUGGAACAUUCUUAUGAGUGGGGUCCCUGAUGUCUUGCUGCAACAAAUCCACAUCUCAGGCUACCUCCUUGUAUGUAAUUUUGAGCAAGACAAUUAACCUUACUAAGUCUUAAUUCCUUCAUCUGUAAAAUGGGAUGAGGGUCACUGCUUACCUAAUUCCUUUAUCAGAGAACACCUAAAGCAUUUAACCCAAUUCAUGGUAUGGAUUAAACUUACAAAAUUUCUUAGCUUUUGUUUAUUUGUUUGCUUGUUUGUUGAGAGAGAGCAUUAGCAGGGCAGGGGCAGAGAGAGAGGGAGAGACAGAAUCUUAAGCAGGUUCCACACUCAAUGUGGAGCCCAACACAGGGCUUGAUCUCUUGACUGUGAGAUCAUGACUUGAGCCAAAAUCAAGAGUCAGGGACUUAACCAACUGAGCUACCCAGGCACCCAGGUUUAUUUUUAUUAUAGGUACUCAAUACUUAAAAAAAAAAUGUGACCAAUGAGAUUUUCUGUAACCUAAUACAAAUUUUCUUCUAUACUAGAUGAUUAUGCUUUUUUUUUCUCCUAGAAGUUUGAAAACAGUUUUAUGCCUUGAAUUAUAAGGUUUUAUCUUUUUAAGGCUCUUCAGUAAACACUGAAUGGCAUUGUUUUCUUUUUAAUGUAAAUACUAGGAUCAUAGACCCAAGGAUACAGUUUUCAGAUGAACUUCAUAGUUGCAUGUUUUUUUAAAAAAACAAAAUGGCUUUUAAAAUAAAAAUGGCUUUUACGUCGUUUCUUACUAGGAUAUAGUUUUAUCAAAGCUAUUAAGAAGCAUGUAAGAUGUGUGCAGUCAGUUGAAAAACUCAGUUAUAGCAGAGCUUUGAAAAUAAUAGUAGAGAAUAAAACUUGAGAAGGUACUCUAGUGGUUUUGAAGUUAAGAACGUAUGAAAAAGGGACACCCGGGUGGCUCAGUCGGUUAAGUGUCCGACUCUUGGUUUUGGCUCGGGUCAUGAUCUCAGGGUUGAUGGGUUCGAGCCCUGAAUUGGGCCUCUGUGCUGAUAGUGUGGAGCCUGCUUGGAAUUCUCUCUCUCUCUCUCUCUCUCUCUCUCUCUCUCUCUCUCUCUCUGCCCCUCCCCUGGCUUCAGCACUCUCUCUCUGUCUCUGUCUCUUUCUCUUUCUCAAAAUGGAUAAAUAAACUUAAAAAAAAGAAUGUAAGGAAAAGUUAUAGAGGAAUAUAUGUUUUUAUGGUCUUUUAAUUUAAUUAAAACACACCUUGAUUUUAAGAUUUUAAUUUAAAUACAUGUUGGCAAUCCAUUGUGGAAGGAGAGUAAGCUAAGUGAUAUGGCAUUUUAUAAAAGCAAUGGCUAUAUGUCAGGUUUUUAUUUAAUUUGCAGGUUAUCUAGACCAUCACUUCUCUUUAAGCAUUUUACAUGCAUUCAUGUCUUUAGUCAUGGAUAUAAUAGAAAAUAAGACAAUCAAAACACAAUUAUUUUCAUUAUUGCUUUUCUUGAGAGGAUCUGUUAUCUAGAUUAUAAGUGUCUUCAGUCUGAAGAUUGCUUCAUUUGUCAUUAUGCCUUUAUUAUAUAUAAACAUAAAAUAAUUUUGGGACUGACUACAAUACCAUUUUCCAUAGAGUUCAUUUUAGUUUAAAGAAAGUAUGUUUUGGAAGUAUGUCCAGGGAAGAAUAUGAUAAUUCUUUUGUAAUUCAAAGGGUGAAGUGAUUGAGUUCAUAUCAGAGAAGAUAAGAAGGGAAGAUAACAAGGUAGGGUCCCUGUUAGUGUGUCUUAUAAAAUAUUUGAAGGGAUCUUCUGUGUAGAAAUGAAUUAGAUUUAUUUCUUAUAACUCUAACAGACCAAGGUAGCUCCGUGUAGUAGAAAGUGUAGGUAGGUCAAUUUUGGCUGCCAGGUAGUGCAUACAAUGUCGAUUAAAUUACAUUAAAGAGGACUCUGCUCAGUAUUUAUAUAUAGAAACCCUCUCUAAAAUGACAUGUGGAAUUCCCUAGGAAGAUCUUGGUAAUGAGUUGACUUAACUAAAAAUAGAAUGGGCUCCAAUCAAGGUGGUAAAUUUUCCAUCUCUGGAAGCAACCAAGCAGAGGCUUUAUAGUAGCUUAGGGAUGCUCAGAAGGAAUUCCUAAGAAAUUGGACUAAGUAACUUCUUGUUCUCUUCUGAUGAUUUGUGUAAAUGAAUUCAUGUUCAAGAAGCCAAAGACAAGCUCCAUAAGUUCAUUCCAGAAAAAAGAAUGGACAAUAGAGUUUUCAACAAAAAUCAUGGAACAUUUAUUAAAUAUAUGAAACUCUUUAUCUUUUAAAGAUUUUUUUUUUAAUGGAAGUGAUGAAAUCCAAGCCUGGUUUAUUUAUUUUUUUUAAUUUUUUUUAACGUUUAUUUUAUUUUUGAGACAGAGGGAGACAGAGCAUGAACGGGGGAGGGUCAGAGAGAGGGAGACACAGAAUCCAAAACAGGCUCCAGGCUCUGAGCUGUCAGCACAGAGCCCGACACGGGGCUUGAACUCACGAACCGCGAGAUCAUGACCUGAGCCGAAGUAGGCCGCUUAACCGACUGAGUCACCCAGGUGCCCCCCCAAGCCUGGUUUAGAUUAAAGUGAAAAAUAAUGGUAAACCACAGAGACAACUUACAUUUCAAAUUAACAUUUUACUCUUUGAAACCUUUUAUUUAUUUAUUUUUUAAUGUUUAUUUAUUUUGAGAGAGAGAGAGAGAGAGAGAGCGCACGAGCAUGAGUGGGGGAGGGACAGAGAGAGAGGGAGACAUAGAAUCUGAAACAGGCUCAGGGCUCUGAGCUGUCAGCAUACAACCCAAUGUGAGGCUUGAACUCACAAACUGUGAGAUCAUGACCUGAGCCAAAGUUGGAUCCUUAGCCAACUGAGCCACCCAGGCACCCCUUAAUCUUUGAGAACUUUUAUGGGUCUUUAAAAUUUGCAUCUUCAAAUAUUGUCCCAAAGAAUUCUAGUUGACUAAAUUUCAAAUAGACACCCCUUCUGUGCACUGUGUCUCAAGGAUUUUUAUAUUGACCUAACAGAAUGAGAUUUGUGUUUGUGGCCUUAUAUGUGACAAUUAGCAUGAACUCUGUUCACUUCCUUUGCUGUUACUUGUCAUCUGAGAACAUUUUGGAUGUAAUUUAUUGCCUGUUAAGCCAUCUCCAAAGUACAAUUGUAAAAUAGGAAACAAUCACAACCGUUUAGUGGCUAAACAAUUGCUUGCUUUCAUUUGACCUUGCUGUGUUCUGUGAGUCUGUUAGUUUGAUUCCUGGAGGCACACAGAUUGUUCAGGAAUGUUUGCCAGUAAUGAGUGAGGGCUAGUUUUCCAUAUUGACCUCAUACAUAAUUACAUAAAUUAAAGCAAACCAUAACAACUGAGGAUACACAUAAAAUAUACUUCACAGAGGGAUUUUAAAGCCCUUGCUUUGCACUAAGCUUGAAAUUACAUAGCCAUAUAGGACAUAUAUCAUUUUUGAAAAGUGUAUGUUUUCAGUUUCUACUAAGACUUUACAAAGAACACUGAAUAAAAGGUUCUAUUUUAAUAAGUGUUACCAUGGAGUUUUUUUCUCUAGAAAAAUUGUUUAUGGAAAAAGAAUAUUGGUAUAGAAGGUCACAUUUUAUUCUGGAGGUUAAUGAUUUGAUAAUGGAAUUUUCUAAUGCUAACCUUCCAAACUAUCUUGAAACCACUAAAUACUUAAGAAGCAAAGGGGAAAUGUAGAGUGUAGAUCUUAACUCACUAAAAAAAUCAGUCAUUUUUAAGCAUUUAUAGUUUCUUCAUUUUCUGCAUUUUCAGAAUAUGUUGAUAUUUAGCCAAGUCUAAUUUAAUUUUGUAAUCAACCUUUAUCAUGUGUAAUUUGGGUUUUGUUUUUUUUUUUUUUUGGUUAAUAGUGUGGUGGAUUAUUAUUUUUUAACAUAAAGUAUUACAUUUGUUUUGAUUCUGUUAGACUUCUGCCAAUGAAAUUGCAUUUCAUGUGGCUAUUAAAAGUAUCAUAGACUUUCAGAAAUAAAUGGAAUUUAGAUCCAAUAUCAAGUAUAUUAGUAAAUAUUUCACAUUAGGGAAAGCCAAAAACUUUAGUAAUCAAUCAAAUAUUGUUACAAGGUUAUUAAUCAGCAAGUAUUACUGCAUUUAUUUCACUUCUAAAACAGUCUUGUUUGAAGUUUGUAGAAAUUUAGUUCUAGUUGUUUUCAUCACUAGCUUCUGAAGAUGUAACGGUGAGAAAAUCUUCACAAAAAUUUAGUAUCAACUUUUCUUUUUGAUAAAAAGAGAGUGAAAUUGCCUUGAUGGAGGGAUAACAUUUUCCAUUAUUUCCAACGUUUAUAGAGUGCAAUCAGUAUUUCUUAUAGAAAACCAUAUCACAAUUAAAAUUAGCUUAAUUAGCAUUCACAUAUCUUUGGUAUUUCAUCUUUGAUUAAGGCCAUGGUCUGUAUGAACUAGUAAUCUGUAUGUAGGAUCAAGUUUGUGCAGUGAAGAUUCUUUGCAAAAAAAUGAAGACUCAGCUAAAUCUAUGAUUCUAGAAUAUGUAAGGGUAAAAGACUUUUAAAAGUAUUCCUAAGUAUCUUACACCUUGUCUACUAUUCCUAGGUUUAGCUAAAUCUUGGUUUUUGCGGUAUUUUAUAAUUUUCUAGCAUCAUAUUGGAGAGUGGUAUGGAUUUUGUUUAAUACCAACUCUAUAAUGUUCUUUUCUUUUUAAUCCUCUAUUUACAUCUUUCCAGUCUCUGUUUACACCCUCCAAGACUUAGUAUAUUUUGCUGGCCUAUCACACUCUUCUUGAUCUCAUCUUCUCAGCCUGGAAGCCCCACAUCUUCUCUGUGGAUUUAUUCAGAUAGCUUACCUGCCUUGGAUCUGUGCCUGUCCCUCACUGGAUUCUUUCUUUAUUGAUAUUUCCUUAGAUGUGACAACCCAAGUCCCAUGACAUAUUCUACGCUCAGCUAUUUAUGACUGUAAAGUAUCAGAUACUACUUUACUUGUAUACUUUUCUCUCUUCACAAAUAUGUUGGCUUUUUAAACUAGCUUCUUGCUGGACUAUCUUAAGGAUGGACUAUGCAGAACUCAGAUUAUUUUUCUGAGUCUUUCCCAUCAUAAUGUAGCUUGUCAUCUAAGGGAAGUUUGGAUCUCCCAGCCCCCACAUGGAUAGAAAUUUAUUUUUGUGCAAAUAUAUUUUCCACAAAGAAGUUCAUUAGUCCUUUAUCUAUCUACCAAGAGCAUCAUGGAACUUUUUUAUGAUAAUCACUCACAAUUUGGUUUUUUAAUUCCUAGAAGAGUUUAGGAUUGUCCAGGAGUGAUUCUAAGGAUUUGUGAUAAAAUGUUCAAGAAAUUUCCUAGCAGCUCAUUUGAUAGAGGAACAGAAAGUACCAGAGAGGAGAUAAAUCUUCUCCUUCUCCUCCCCACUCCUUCCUCUUCUCCUCUCAUUGCCUUACUCAUGAGACAUUGCUGGGGUGCUGGAAUUUUGGGGGAGUCUUAUGGUCAGACUCAAAGGUAAAAAUCUCUCUGAUGUUAUCUAUAAGUCCAGAGAAUUUUGUAGGCACUGCUUUUUCUAGAGAAGUUAUAACACUCUACUCCCUGGAAGGUUCCAACAUUUGAACUUCUCUACGUGAAGAAGUACUUAAUUGGCCCUAUUUUUUGUUUCCUGACUCUAGGCUGACACCUUAUGCAUGUCAAAACAUCUUCCUAAAUCCCAUGGUGACUCAACAUUCAAGUAGUUUUGGUCUGACCUUGUCAGAGAACUUUUGAAAAUAUAAAUAAAUUAUAUUCACCAAUUGUCUUCUGUCUAAAUACUUACUUUGCUUGACAACUCUAAUAGGUUAGUCAAGCAUCAUUUCCUCUUUUAGGACCAUUCCCAGUGAGUUCUGUUGUAUUAAGAACAUAGUUAUCCCCCACUUUAUAACAGAGUCCAUUGAAUUGACUGGGUGAAAUGAGUCUUAGAUUUUCAAGGUCUUCAAUGGAUUCUGGAAUGAGGGUCAUGUUGACAAUUUACCUUUUCUGGCUUGGUGUAAUUUGUUAUUGACAGAUAACAUGCCUUGAUUCCCUAUUCACUUUUAAGUUCUUUCAUAAUUUUUUUUUGUAGAUGCUAUUGCCUCAUAGAUGUUUACCUGGGCCAGAUUUUCUAAGGAAUAAAACAAUGCAUUUUUGGCAAUUUGAAUUCAGUACCUGUGGCAUGCCUACUUCAAUAUACAGUAAAGUUUUGAAAUCUUCAAAUGAAUAAACCAAAAUAGAAAAUAACUAAACAUUAUUUGAGUAUUACUCCAAUGUAUGAUUUUAUAUUUAGGAUUCCUAUGUAUUCUGGACUUGGAUUCCUUCUUCUCUUUGACAUUUUUAAGGAUUCUUUUCAUUAUUGUCCUUGAAUUUUCUUAUAAGAUAGUUUCACAAAUAUUUUUCUGGUCGGCUUAAUUUCUAAUUGUAUCUGAUCUGUCACCUUUAAGAAGUUCCCCUUUUUCCCUUUGAUUUGGAAAUCUUUACAAUUUAUGCCUAUUACUCUCUGUGAAGUCAGCUUUUACUGUAACAUUUUGCUGUGAAAGCAUCUUUUUUUUUUUUUGCAUCUGGCUUGUUUUUAUGAUUCAUGACAAAAAAUUCAUCUUGGGCUUCUAAUGGUGUAUUUUAAAAUAGUCUCCAGAAUUUCUGUGGUUUAUUUUGUUUUAAACUAUUCCUUUUUACUUUUUUAUAAUGACCACAUUUUCCUAAGCUCCCUUUCCUAAAAUUAAAUGAUUUAUAUAGCAUUCCUUCUUUUACCCAAAUGCCAAGUUGAAUUGUUGUAAAUAAUUAGUAGACAGAAAUAAGCACCCAUGAUACAGCCGGCAUCAAUUCCUGCUCAAAUCUGUCUAGAUGCUUAAAAUUCAAUUUUAGCAAGCAGAUGUCUGUAAUGGCCUGUAUUUUUGCAUUCCAGUAUGCAUACCAUCUGCCUUUGAGAUAAUGACAAUAUAAAUCCACAUUUUUAUUACUGUGUUAGAUAUUUCCACUUUCUUAAUUGUUGUAUACUGUUCUGAUUAUUUUUCUUAAAAUGGUUCCCUAUAGCAUUGAAUAAGGUUCAUUUUCUUUAGUUAACAGCCAGGGCCUUUAAUAAUUUGGUUCCUAAUUAUGCUAUCUUCACUUACUGCCCACAUGAAUGCUUUCUUUUCUUUCCCAGCAUAGUUCUUAAGUGGUAUCAUUUCACAAUUUUGUAUCUUCUCCAAGACCUUCCUAGAAUACCUUUACCCAUCUUCUUCAUUGCCCAUACAUAUUCAAAUCAGAUCAAGAUGUCUUCACUAUAAUCAAAAUGUUAGCUGUAGGCCACUUUCCAGUUAAAUUGCAUGUAACUUCCCUAAAUCCAUGAUCCUUUGCCUUCUGUGUAAUUCUACUGUCUUGACACAUGUGAUUCCAGAUGUGAGAGUCAGCACUUCACUCAUACACAAUAAAGGGCAUUCAUGCCAAGCCUGUGAAGAUUUAAUAAUUGAAUUGAAGAUUUAGGGUUCUAGACAAAGAUCACAUUAUUAAGGAAUAAGAUUUCAAUAUUUUCUUUCUCCAUCCUUCCUCACUCUUCUCUCUCUCCCCAUCUCUCUCUCUUUUUUCUCUCUCUGCCUCUAUAUCUCUACUCUCUUUUUUCUUCCUUAUCUUCAUUCUCAGAAAAAAAAACAAAACUUUUCUUUAUCUUAUAUAUUUUUGUAGCUUGAACUCACCUUUCUUACAGAAUUUCUCUGAUAGGCAACUUAGCAAAUAUAUAUUAUAUAUUUACAUAUAUUUAUAUUAUAUAUACAAAAUUUUACUUAUUUUUGAAGAGAGAGAGAGAGAGUCAGAGAGAGGGAGACAGAGAAUCCCAAGCAGGCUCCACACUGUCAGUGCAGAGCCCAAUGCAGGGCUUGAACUCAAAAACCGUGAGAUCAUGACCUGAGCUGAAAUCAACAGUCAGCUGCUUACAGAUUGAGCCACCCAGGCACCCCAGAAAAUAUAUUCUUUUCUUUAAAAUAUUGUACUUUUUCCAUAGAAAUUCUACUGAAUGAAAUCUUCUUUAGCUCAUUUAAUUUUUUAAAUGCCUACAAUGAUCUAGGUAAUGUAGUAGGCACUGAUUAUACAGUAGUGUAAGUGCAGAUAAACAUUUUGCCUUCAUAGAGUUCCUAAUUUAGUAUGUUAUCCAAGAAACUGUACAUAAUUACAAAUUAUUUGAUUUUGAUCCCCAGUUUGAUUUUUAUUUGGAUGCCACUCCUCUGGCUACCACAGCAUCUAGUACAUACUUCUAUUUCACAUGUAACCAUGUACUAUUGUAACUGAUUAUUUGUGAAUUGAUCUCCUCUAUUAGUCUGUAAAUCUCAAAGGAGGGAUGAUGUCUUAAUUCACUUUGUUUUCUUGGAGUUCAGUAUAAAACCUACAUAGUAUGCUAUAAAUAUUCAAUAUAAGUAUUCAAUAAAUAUUUGGGGUUGUAUGAAUGAAUCUUUUGUAUUUUCAGCUUAGUUGCAUGAUUUUAGUGAGCUAUAAUAUAUCUGCAUUACCAUAUUUUUACUAUUAAAUAGGAAACUCAGUGAACACUGCCAUGAACCUAUGGAAAAAUAUUAAACAAGAAAAAGAUGCUCAAGGAAUAAGUUAUUCUUAAUUCCUGAUGUAAGUGAUUUUUUCACAUUAUUUUACUUAUUUAAGUAAGAUAUCUAUUAGAUGUAUGGUACCUGCAUAGUAUUGUAGUAUUUCUUUUUUUCCUUUCCUCUCCUCUCCUCUCCUCUCCUCUCCUCUCCUCUCCUCUUCUCUUCUCUUCUCUUCUCUUCUCUUCUCUUCUCUUCUCUUCUUUUUUCUUCUUUUUUCUUUUCUUUUCUUUUUUUCUGAGAGAGAGAGAAAGCACAAACAGGGGAGGGGCAGAGACAGAGAGAGAGAGAGAGAGAGAGGGAGAGAAUCCCAAGCAGGCUCCAUACUGUUAGUGCAGAGCUCAAAUGCACGAACUGUGAGAUCAUGACCUGAGCCGAAAUCAAGAGUCUGACACCCAACAGAUUGAGCCACUCAGGUGCUCCAAUAGUACCCAUGUAGUAUUUCUAAUGCUUUCUAUAUGCAAAAAUCCUUAUAUCCCCUUAUACACCACUUACUCAGAGUCUGGGGUAAGGAAGCACAUGGCUUCCAGUGUUCCAUAGUGUAGAGAUUUAAAAACAGUUCUACAAUGCUCUGAAGGUAAUGCUGUUUGUGGACUAGCAUUGAACUAGCAUUGAACACUAGCAAUGUGUUCAGCAUUCCAUGAGGUUCCAAACUCAAAGAAGAGCUAGUUCAGUAAGAGUAACAGUAGGGAAAUUGCGUGCUAAUGUACUCCAGGAGAUGAUGAAAUCUCUUAUCUUAUUAUUUUGGCAGUGCAGAGUUCCUCUUAUGUAGAAUGUAAUUUCCUUUCUAAAAGAAGAUGAGGCAUCUGUUCCUACUCAGAACCAAAUGGAGAAUUCUUCAUUCACAUCAGCAAGUCAGGGCUGCUCAGUACUCAAAUUGUACUUACCACUGAGGAUAUUCUACUCAUACAGACUAGAUAGUGUAUCUAGUGUUUCACAUUACUUGGAAUUUUAAGCACUUUCUCAUUUCUUAGGUUCAUUACAAUUAAAAAAAGCCUGAUAAAAAAUGUGUGUAUUUUUAAAAUUUAACAAGACGCCUCAUGGAAUUCAUCCAGUCAGAUUAUCUGAAAAAUGAUCAUAUAUAUUAUGUUUGGUCAUAUAUUUUCAUUUGGUCCCAAUCUUUCAGCACUGUGUAGUUACAACAAGGACAUUGCAGCCUACUGAGUCCUUAUGAAGCUAAGGAUAUAUUUAUAAAAUCACUGUACAGUUUUCUAAUUCAACAUUUAUAAUAAACAAGCACUGAUUAUUUGUUUUCCCUUCCUCUCCAUUAAGAAAACUGUUACUCAAAACAAAGCUUUUGCUGUCCUAACGAGGUGAACGUAAGCAAAUUCCCAACUAGGUACUUGCUUACUGAAACAGAGAUUCCUAUUUUUAAUCUGUAUCACAUUGCAUAUUCUUUAUUUAUCUAUCUUUUGAUUAUUUGAUUUGUUCAGAAAACCCUCAAGUGCUUUUGAGUUUACUGUUUUUAGAGGCUCAAGAGUCUUACAUCACAGCAACAUGCUUCAUACAGAGGAAGAAUGCCUUUGAGAGCCUGCACCCCUUUCCAUAACCAUCUGGUUUGCAGAUGAUAAAUACAAACACUAGGCUUUUUUUCUCUCCCCAAAGAUCUGGGAAACAGAUUGGACCUAAAAUUCUACCCUGUUGAUCCCUAAAAUAUUAAUCUUCAUUAUCAUGUCAAAUUUUUUAAGAAUUAAUUUCUUCAGCUAUAUGUUUUUAAAGAUUGAACACACAAUACAUGUGACAUUCCAUUUGUAGGACAUUUUCCAUGGUGCUGUAAUGUCUUCAUUCUUUUCUAUAGCCUAGCCACAUCUUACUCUAUUUUCAAAGGCUGGUUUAAGACUUGCUUCCCCUGUGAAGUUUUGGAGGGUUAAUCUAAUAUUCAUGCAUCUCUCUUUCAUUGCCUGGAGCACUGGUCUUCACACUGAAAUCAAAAUGUAUGUUGGUUUGAAUGUUUCAUGUGUGUGCUUUGGUUCUCCAAUAAGAGCUUAAGUCGUUUGAUAACAAGAUUUUUUUUUUUUUGUAAAGUAUAAGGCACAUAAUGGAUAUUCAGGCCCUAGUUGUUGAAUAAAGACUGCAUUAAUACCAUCAAAGAAGCCUCACUCUAAUACAGAAUGUGGAAGCGACUAUGUUAGGAAAAAAUUAAGUUAGGAAAAAUUCUACAUUGUGAAAUAUUAACCUCGACUACAGGGCCAAGUCUAGCCUUUACAUAGCUUUUGUAUGAAUUAGAGAAGGCAUCACCUCUCGGUGACCCUAGGCAAGUAGAUAGUAGUACAAGUUGUACAAGUAGUACACCUUGUGUACUACACCUUGCACCUUGUGCAAACAAAAAGGGCUUCCUUCUUCCAGUAGGUGCGGCCUUCAAACUAGGGCUUAUAGCGUGACAAGGGGAGCUUGGAAUGAAUGUCAGCUCCCACUGGCUCCCUCAGUUGGAGACUUUAUGAAGUGUACAAACUGCAAACAAUAUUCAGCAGCUCUCCAAAUAGUGGUACAGAUGAUGCAUGCAAGUAUAGGAAGCUUGGUAGUUUAGGAAGUACUUACUCUGUAUGGCAUACUCCAUGGCACAAAACUAGAGGCUAAGAACCCAGGGAAUAUUAUGGGUCACAAAUUGGGAGAGAGAUGUGAGAAAGAUUUAUGUAAGAAUCUAGGUUUUUAAUUAGCAUACAAAAUAACAUUUAAGAGAAUGAAUAGGCCAAUUCACAGACAGGUAAGGGGACAGCAGAUAAGGUCUGUAAGGUGUGAACAAUGAUCAGAAUGUAGAAAAUGACUCAAUUCUGAAGGUGUGGACAAAUUUGUUACUGGGACAGAGUGCAACUGAGGGCAACUGCUGAGGUUUGAGAAAGGUGACAUGGUUGGAGUGCCACUUAAGAAGACAGUUUUAGUAGCUGCAUUUAAAAUAGAUUUCAGGGUAGCAAUAGUAGAAAGAAAUCUGCCGGAUGUCUGUGAUCUUGAAAGUAGAAAGAAAGGGAAAUGAUCAAGGUGAAGUAUGGAGAGAAAUUUCUGGUUGACUCUAUGUGAGUAUAAAAUCUGAGGAUGAGUGCUCUGAAAGUUGAGGAAAUGGAUUGGAUAAUGAUUUAAGUUAUUAUUCCUUAAUGGAUAUUCAUGAACAUAACAAUUAUUAUUAUUAUUAUUUUGAGACUACAGUUUAUUGAGUUCUUAAUAAUAAGAACUCAAUUAUUAAACCUACAUACAGUGCAUCCUUACAAGUAAAGCAAGUACAUAGUGCUUAGGUGGCAUUCAAAAAUAUGAUCUCCUCAGCAUGGGUUUAAAGUAUUCUUUUUAGGAGCACCUGGGUGGCUCAGUCAGUUAAAGUAUCUGACUCUUGAUUUCAGCUCAGGUCAUGAUCUCAUGGUUCAUGAGUUCGAACCUUGCAUGGGGCUCUGCACUGACAGUGUGGAGCCUGCUUGGGAUUCUCUCUCUGCCUCUCUCUCUCUCUCCCACUCUCUAAAAAUAAAUAAACUUAAAAAGUAUUUUUUUAAUUGUAGGAUGAUUUAUUUUCCCUAAUUUAUAAACCAUUUAUGAUUAUAAGCUAACUUUAAAAAUUACAGUCUAAAGUUCUAUGAUCUAACAUAAGACAUUAGUCUUGAUGGUACAUGAGAUAAUUUUAGGUAGCAUAUAACAUUUUAUAUUUUGCAAGUUUUAUGUUUACAUGUAUAUUAGGAAAAACUAUAUAGUUUGUCAAAUCUCAGGUUUUUUUUAGAACUAAGUUUAAAGUUUUAAAGGUUAAAAAUGGAAGAGUCAACUUAAAAUAGAUUUUUUAAAAUUUUUUUUAUUUAAAAAUUUUUUAAAUGUUUUUAUUUAUUUUUGAGACAGAAAGAGACAGAGCAUGAGCAGGGGAGGGGCAAAGAGAGAAGGAGACACAGAAUCUGAAGCAGGCUCCAGGCUCUGAGCUGUCAGCACAGAGCCUGACACGGGGCUCGAACUCACGCACUGUGAGAUCAUGACCUGAGCUAAAGUCGGAUGCUUAACCGACUGAGCCACCCAGGUGCCCUAAAAUAGAUUUUAAUGGAAAAUACAUAGAAAUAAUGGUAUGUGGUAUGUACUAAUUUAGAAAAAUUAAAAUUAUGGUGAGCUUGCCAUAUGGAAAAUCCUAGUCUACAGUCUACUUGUGGAUUUUAGGCAUUUAUCUCAAAAAUCAGAAAAAAAGGAAUUUGCGAAUUAUAAAUGUUUAGACAUAUUUAGACAUAUUUAGUUGGAAAGUAGUAGAAAUAACUUUACUAUUUUGAAGAGAUUUUUGGUUUAAAGUUAUUUUCAACUAUCAAAAUGUAGUUGUUUUUUUUUUUAAUUUUUUUUAACGUUUAUUUAUUUUUGAGACAGAGAGAGACAGAGCAUGAACAGGGGAGGAGCAGAGAGAGAGGGAGACACAGAAUCGGAAACAGGCUCCAGGCUCUGAGCUGUCAGCACAGAGCCCGACGCGGGGCUCGAACUCACAGAGGGUGAGAUCAUGACCUGAGCCGAAGUCGGACGCUUAACCGACCAAGCCACCCAGGCGCCCCUCAAAAUGUAGUUUUAAUUUAAAUCUUAUAGAAGAGCUGUGGGUGGCUCAGUCGAUUGAGCAUCUGACUCUUUGAUUUUGUCUCAGGUCAUGAUCUCACAGUUUAUGAGUUCAAGUCCCAAGUAGGGCUCUGCAUUAACAGGUGGAGCCUGCUUGGGAUUCUGUCUCCCUCUCUCUCUCUGCCCUUCCCCUGCUCGCUCUCUCUCUCUCUCUCUCUCUCUCAAAAUAAAUAAAUAAACUUAAAAAGAUAAAUCUUUUAGACUAGUCUGCAUCUAUUCCAACUGCAGUUUGCCAAGUCUAUCCAAUGUUUUCAAUAUUUACAUAGGUAAGGGAAAAAUUACAUCAAAUUUAUAUUGUCACUUAGCAUAAGACCUAAGAGACUCCAGAAAAGAGUUCGAUAGUAUCUAUACAAUGAUUAUCCAUAAAACAUCUCAAUUUAUUUCCUUAGUAUCAUGAAGCUUAACUUUUGGUCUUUGAUUCUUGACAUAAACUUCAUUAUGAAAUUAAAUAACUAAAAUAUUACUGGACAACUGGAUCUUUAAAAAGAUUUUAAAAGAGAUAGCUUUACUACUAAAUCCUAUAAUCACUUUGAUCCAAUUAACUGGCCAGUUAACUUUAUUUACAGGUCAAAAUAUACCCUAAGAAUCCAGAAGAAAGUUAGCAGUGCAUUUCAGUCUUUCUCUGCAGCACUGGUAGAUUUCAAAAAUUCAGGGGAAAGUUGAGAGAUGAGAAUUUGUUAACUUUAAAUGUUGCUUUAACCAUGUGACCCAUGUGACUUUAUAAACUUACUUCAUUUAUUGGGCAAGAGGAAAUCUUUAACCAGAGCCACAAAUAAAUCAUCCUAGUCAGAAGGGCACUCUACUGUAUAUUAACAACAUAGCUGUUAGCUAAAGUAAUAUGAAGAACACACCUUCUGCAGUCACGUAAAUAAGGCUUUGAAAAGUGACUCUUUACUACUUUGGGGAAAUCAUAUGCCUCUGUGAGCUGCAGUCCUUCUAUCUACAAUAUGGGAAAAUAGGAAAAUAAUUUCUACCUCAAAUAAAAAUUUGAACACUUAUCAGAUAACAUCUGAAAAAUGCCUUGUAUAACGUAAACACUUAAUAAAUGAUUCUUAUUAUUACUGUGACCUUAUGCAUAUGAAUUAACCAAUGUCUUCAUUGGUCGGUUUCACACUAUAUUUCCAGCUAAUUUCCUUAGCUCAUGUUACUCAACUCCCAUCUCUCUGCCUGUCAAUCCUGCUUUAAUUCGCAAAAUGCCUUACUUCAGCACAUCUCUAUUAAAAGGAAUACACCUGGCUAUUUAAAAGUUCCUUUCAGGGGCGCCUGGGUGGCGCAGUCGGUUAAGCGUCCGACUUCAGCCAGGUCACGAUCUCACGGUCCGUGAGUUCGAGCCCCGCGUCAGGCUCUGGGCUGAUGGCUCGGAGCCUGGAGCCUGUUUCCGAUUCUGUGUCUCCCUCUCUCUCUGCCCCUCCCCCGUUCAUGCUCUGUCUCUCUCUGUCCCAAAAAUAAAUAAACGUUGAAAAAAAAAAUUAAAAAAAAAAAAAGAAAAAAAAAGUUCCUUUCAUAAAUAAUAAUUAUUUAUUAUUAAAAAUAUUUUUAAAUCUCAAAUGGGCAAGGUAUGAUUUUUUAGGACAUUUUAGGAUAGAAUAUUUGAAUUAUAUCAACUAACAAAAUAUUAAAGUAAGUCAUACUUAAUAGUUUACUCUUUUUAAUGUAAAUUAUCUCAUUUUAUUUGAGGUGAGAAUUAGUAAACCUAGUUUUUAAAUUAGAAAAAACUGAGCCUUAGGAAAAGAAAUAACUUACUCAAGGUGUAGUAAUUACUAAGCCUGGCUCUUUUGAUACAAGACACUGUUUUUCCUAGUGUGUACUAAAUUUCUACAGUGAAAAAUAAGACUUACUACAGAAAUCAGAAAGGGUAAAGAUAACAGCCUAAAAGGAAAGGACUAUGAAGAUUUAAAGCUCUGACAAUAUGGCAUUUUACAAUCUGAGCAAAGAUAAACUUCCCCAUUCUCUGUCUUCCUCUCUGUAUAUACAUACAUAUCCAUACAUUUUCUGUAUCCUUAUCAUUAGUUUUGCUGAAAUGCAGUGGUAUCUCUAUGUUUAGCUUUCCGUUCUAUAAACAUAUCUCUGUUUUAUGAUCAAAUGCUAAAUGUGCCUCCUGGCUUAAAAUGUACUGGUGUUCACAAUAGUUCUCUAAUCUAAGACUGAGUAAAGGAAAGAAGGCAACUUGUUCCCCAGGCAAGGGCUCUGGAGUGGGAGUCAGAGGACUGUGUUUAUCUUUGAAGCCUUGGGCAUGUUCUUUGUGUUUUAAUAUACUGGGAAACUUUUGUUUUGUUUUUUAUUCUAUAUAGUGUUGAAUGGAGUAUGUAUAUAUGUUAAAAUGAAUUCUCUUUCUUACUAUAAAUGAUUUUCUUAACUUUGAUGCUUAUUUUCAUUCUUGCUUGUUAUACUUGAUAAUUAUAGAAAUGCUAAACAGUUCUAUUUUGGCAUAAUUUAACUAUGUAUUAAAUGUAUUUUUUAAAAUACAUUUUUAUUUUAGAAGUUUUAGAUUUACAGAAAAAUUGUAGAGAUUCACUCCCGACUCAAUUUCCCCUCUUCUUACGAUCUUACAUUAACACAAAUUACCAAUAUUGACACUUUAUUAUUAACUAAAUUUCAUAUUUAUUCAGGUUUCCUUGGGGUUUACCUAAUGAGCUCUUUCUGUUCCAGGACUAUUCCACCCAGGAUACCAUAUGACAUUUAGUUGUCAUGUCUUCUUAGGCUCCUCUUGGCUGUGAGAGUUUCCUAGACUUACCUUGUUUUCCAGGACCUUGACAGUUUAGAAUGCUUCUUAAUUGGGAUUUGUCUAAGUUUUCUUUCAAUGAUUAGACUGGGGUUGUGGAUUUGGGGGAGGACAUCCUCAGAGGUAAAGUGCCAUUCUCAACCAUCAACAUGACUUGUUCUACUGAUGUUAAACUUCCUUCCCCGGCUGAGGUAGUGUCUGUCAGUUGUCUCUACUGUAAAUUUACUGUUGUUUUGGAAGAGAGUCGCUAUGUGCAGCCCACACCUAAGGAGUGAGAGUUAUGUUCCAUCUCCUUGAGGUGGAGUAUCUCCAUAAAUUAUUUGGAAUUCUGCACAUUCCAUUCACUCAUCCAUUCAUUCAUUUGUUCAUUUAUUUAUAUCAGUGUGUACUCAUGGGUAUUUAUUUUAAACUUUGGGUAAUAAUUUAAUGCUACUUUUCUUUUUUUGUUGUUGGUCAAAUUGUUCCCACUUUGGUCAUUGGGAAUUCUUCCAAGUGGCUGUGGUAUAUCUUUGUUAUACCCCCAUCAUUGUGGGGUUUUUUUCUUUUUUCUUUUGUUAGUGCUUACUUUUUAGCAUUAUAAGAUGCUGUUGGCAUAUAUUGUAUAUUUCCUAUUUCGGUCAUAGAAUCUGUGUUUUCUCCAAAGAGCCUUCUUUUAUUGGAGUAUGGUAUUAAAACCACAGUUUGGGACCUAGAUAUGUUCACUGCUACUGGGGAGUCAUUUUUUGUUUAUACCAUCUCAGUUGACAGAGCAAGGAAAUAUGUGUGUUUAUACAAACAGGUGUAUAUACAUAUACCUAUAAAUAUUUUAAUGAAUUAUGUUUCUAUUCAUUCACAGCAUUCACAGCGUUCCUUCCUAAACUUCCCAUGUGUGGGGUAUCAUAUAAAAUAGAUGCAAAUUAGAACAAAUUAAUGAAUAAUUAAAGGUAGAACUAAGUAAAGUCUGGAAAUAUAUCAUAAAAGUAUACCCUAAAACCAGAGAAUCCUACCUGGAGUUCAUAGGCUGAAUAAGGCCUGCACGUAUGUUUUGUUUCGUGCACACAGUGCUUUUAAAACGUUUUGAAUUACAUAACAUUAAAAAAAGUGAGAGAUGUCAAAAAACAAAAACAAAAAAAAACAAAAAAAAAACCCCAAAUAUUGAUUUCUAGGUUCUCUUUAAAAGUUUAUCAUAUCUGAGAAACUCUAGACCCUCAUUAUUCAUUCACCGAUCGCCUUGCAUUGAACAGCGGCUCAAAUCUUGGUGAGGACUGCACAAGCUGCUGUCCACCCCCACCGUUUUUUCUCCUGGAUACGGAAGAGCCAGCUCAGAUUCCGUCCCACAUGUACUGUUGUUUUUCCCAUGGUGAGGAGGAGAGGAAAAUGUUUUUUUAAUCCAUGGAUAACACAGUGGGAAAAAGAAAGAUAGCCUAUAACAUAUAUAUAUCUAUAGUCUGUAACAUAUAUAGAUACAGGUACAGAUAUAGAUACAUAGAUAUAGACACAGAUAUAGAUAUAGAUAUAGAUUUUUAAGUAAAAUGAGAGAACACAUAUUUCUCUAUGCAAGUAGGAAAUAUCCCUAUUUGCUUAAUAUGCAAAAUGUGACUGUAUCAAAGUAAUACUGCUUAAUAUUCCAAUGCAAAAUGAACCCUAACCAGUAAAUUCGUUCUCCAAUAAGAAUCAGAACAUAAAACUUCCUGCCACUUCACAAAGUGACUUCAUAAAGUAAUAUGAUCCAACACAGAGUUUGGAUUUUGAUGUGGAGUUGAUAUGUAUAUCAUUGUUAUGUGACCUAGUUUUAAAUCUUUAGAAGCCAUCUCUAUGUUCUUAUUUUCUAUGAAAGUUUUUAUAAAUCUUGAACCGCAUUAUUUUAUGUAAAAGGCCAAUAAAAAAUAAUUUACCCAAGAUCUAAAAACGACAUUUUACUGCUAUGUUGAAGUACUGUCUUUGUGAUUUUGUCUGUUCAUUCAGUCCAGUUGGUUUUAUUCAGUUAGUUUUAUUCAGAAGGGACAUGAAUAAAGAAAGAAGUUAUUAUAGAUUUCUAGUAUGCUAAAGAUGUGGAUGGAAUAUGGACUAAGCAUUUUAUUUGACAUUUGUCUUGUUUUCAAAAUGAUGACAUUAUGAGAAAAUAAAAUGUCUGAUCCAUUAGUGGCUAAAUGAAAAUAAAGUCUAGGCUACAAGUGGCUGGAAGCUUGAAGCUUGCCAUGUUUUACUGGUUGUACCAAAUUAAAUGUAUUUAUCAAGAAAGUGAACUUAUGGCAAGAAGGAAAAAAAGGUUAUACUUAUUGGAAUAAAAGUGAAUUUAGGUAGAAUUUUAAGUAUAAAAAUAAAUAUAGUGUAAAAUAAAAUUUAAGAGCGUAAAAAAAUAAACCAAGUUUGACAAUUUGACCACCUCCCUCUCCCCCCAGUAUCAUUGCGUAAUUGUUGGCAUCAUAAGUUUUAUCAUGUUUAUGCAUGUCUAUAUGCAUGUAUGGAUGAAUAUAUAAACACACAAUUUGAUAUUUAUAGAUACGUAAUAUUUUUGUCUAUAUAUGUAUUUAUUUUAAAGAUUUACAAGUGCCUAAUAUGAGGGUAUAUAACCAUUUCUAUAAAAGAAAAUAUCUAUAACCACAACACGUACAUACAAAACUAUAUUUCUUGGGGCGCCUGGGUGGCACAGUCGGUUAAGCGUCCGACUUCAGCCAGGUCACGAUCUCGCGGUCCGUGAGUUCGAGCCCCGCGUCAGGCUCUGGGCUGAUGGCUCAGAGCCUGGAGCCUGUUUCUGAUUCUGUGUCUCCCUCUCUCUCUGCCCCUCCCCCGUUCAUGCUGUGUCUCUCUCUGUCCCAAAAAUAAAUAAACGUUGAAAAAAAAUUCAAAACUAUAUUUCUUAUAUAUGUUUACAUAUAUAACAGUAAUGUUUCAAUUAGACUAUGAUAAUAAACUCAAUGGAAACUUCUGGUAUGCAGAAUAUGUUGAUUUUUCAUAUAAUUUCUUAGGAAUAUUUGCCAUAUAAAUUAACAUUAAAAAAUAAAUUUGAUGAAUACAGCUUGGAUGAAACAUUAAGAUUCUAGACUUUCAGUGCUGAGAAAUCAGAAAUUGAAUCAGGGCUCUGCCUCAGCAGAUUCCAUGCUAACAGUGAUUUUAUUAUAAUAUCUACCUGACCACUUCCCAUCUAGGGAGUGAAUGUGAUUGAUGAAGAAUGGAUGAUUAACAAAAUCUUACUUCUCUGUUGAUCUUCAUUCCUGAUGGAAAAGGUCACACCUACAAAUACUGUCUAGUUUCAGAUCUGGGCCUCUCACUUCUAAAGUGUGGCAAUCUUGACCCAGGACAAGCUGUUUAAUUGCCGUGAGCCACUACUGUCACCUCAUGGGAAUGACACUCUGUUGAAGAUUUCAUGAGAUCAAGUAUAUAAAACUUCUGGACAGUAUUAGCACAUAAAGUACUCAAUUCAAAGCCAUAUUCGAUGGCUACUUCAGCUACCACUACUAUGACAGCUAUCGAGUAAAGAAAGUCCUUUUAGACUGAAUUGUCUUCUAUUUUAAUAACUCUUACAAAAUAAAUUAAAAAAAAAGGCCAAUAUACAACUUCCGAGUCACUAGUUCAUUGUCAUCAGUCUGGAAACCUCCAUAAGUAUGUAGGUAUGGUCAUAAUGUUUGCAACUGUUUGAAAUGGAAACAAUGGAAACAAUUGAAACACUUUAGCCCUGCAGAUUAUCAUUAACAAUAAACUGCCUUUAGCUUUUCAGAUCACUGUUGGUAACCACUAUUUACGACACAAAUGAGUAGGAUUUGUUAGAAAUCAUUGCGUUAUUAUAUUUGCAAGCUUAGGUAGUGUUUCUCUUAGCAGAUAGGUACUCUACGGUUUCAUGGAGCACUGAAAAUGUGUGUGUUACUAUAAAUAACACACAGUUACCUGUGUGGCAAUAUUUGGUCAUAAAAUAUUUUCACUAUAAAUUACAUAUUACAUGUUAUUAUCCAUGUUAUUAUCCAAGAAAAAAAGUUGCUAAGGGGCUGAGAUAAUAAUCUAGAAAUCCAUGACUUGUCUGUGGUAGGUUUUGUUUUUGCUGUUUGGUUGGUUUGAAUGAGAAGUUAGUUGUUUUUAAAUCAAGCUAGUGCUUUUAUUAUUUGACUUCAGCCAUAAACGUAAGCUGAAAUGAAAAACUAAAGUAGAAGGAAAAUUGUGAAAUAAAUUGAAGAUCUAUUAUAUACAUUAUACAUAUUCCAGCUAACCCUAGGUUGUGGACCUGGAGAUAUGGGCAAGAUGGCUUUGAAAAUAAUCCCUCUUAUAACUUCUCAGGUUGUACUAAUUUCAUGUGGUUAAUAAGGCAUGUAGGAGGUAGUGUUUUCACUAAUGAUGGAUUAAUUGGAACUAGGGGGAUUUCAUUUUGUAAAUCUUAAAACUGGUUAUCCACCCCAUCUCCCUCAUUUGACCAGGCUUAAGAGAUAUAAAUAGAACUUUUUGCAUUGCCAUUUAUGAUACAAUUUGCCCUUUAUUUCUUGGUGUUUGGUAACUCCUAAAUUCCAAAAUCUUUUUUUAAGUAGUUUUUUUUUUACUUUAUAGUUCAUCAAAUUUGAAUUUGUUUUAUGUGAGACUGUUGAAAAUGAUGUAAUCCAAUGCAUUCCAGCAAAUUGCCAAGGGAUUGUUAUGUUUAUAUUUUCAGGUACUUUAAUAGAAUAAUUUUCAGGCUCAGGUUAUGAUUACUAUCAACUCUGUAAAAGCUUCCUUGCUGGUGACAGGAAAAGUUGCUACAGUGACUGACAUUGGAACAGAAUGGAGGUCUAGAGGUACUAAAUAACCCUCAGAAUGGCACGGAGAAGAUGUUAGAUCUAGGAAUCGGUCUCACUACAAAAGAACAUUGAUCAGCGUACCAUUUUUGACAUUUGUUUCUUUUUUUAUUGGCAAAAGAAGAGCUUUCUGGAAUGGUGAACCAAUUCUGUAUGGCUAUGUCCUUACUAGUCUGUAAGGUCUGUGAGGGCAAGGCAGUGAUUUCCUGCAUAUCUACCCAGUUGCUUGUUUGGAAAUAGACACCUGAAAGAAAACUGAAAGAAAUUGUCUUUCCACUCUUCAAAGCAGGACAAAUGCUCCAGAAAAUUUCCAUUUUGCAAGAAAUGGAACUUCUGAACUCCUCUGACUUUGUCACCAACAUCAGGCUUCACCUGCCUCUCUAACUUUUUUUCUUUUUUUUUUCCCCUUCUGUCCUUAGGCUGAACCCUCCUUGAUUCAUACUAGGACGAGAAUAAUGACUACUUAUCUGGUUUGCUGCGUGGAAUCUUUCUCUCCUCUAUGAUUCUCCCCACUUACUCUACAAUCUCAGAAGACUCAAUCUUCCUUCUUUCCUUUUGCUGCUCAAUGAAGGGAAAGACUUCAAUGCUAUCACAUUACCAUCAACCCAGUUAAACACAACACUGUUAGUUGGUGUUCAGGAUUUCUAUGAUUGGAGGCAACUGACACUUUCUGGCAUUUCUUCCACUUAUUCCCUAGAUGGAAUACUCAGUAUGAGACAAACCAAAUCUGAGUAUGCUCCCCAAGCACACCCCAUCUCUGAGUAAUUGCUUAAGUAUCUUCCCAGUUGUUAUUGCCAAAGCUCCUAGCCAGACAUUCAAAGGCAGUGAGUGCUCAACUAAUUUGUUUUAUUGAAGUCUGACAAUAAAUUAGAUGGAUAGUUAAAAUUAUACACCUUUUUUUCCUAUACAUUUUGAUUUGGUUAUUUGAAUUUCAUUCACUGUUUUUCAAUUCUAUUAUGCUUUUCUAAAAUUGACUUUGGUUUACAUAGAAGUACUGUCAAAUUAUUGAAAAGUUACGAUAGCUUUUACUAAAUAUUUGAAGCAAGGGCUAAUAAAUUUCUACAACUCCUUUAAGCACACAAAAUUAAUUUUAGUUAUUAACAAAAGCUGUUCUUUUUUUUACAAAGGUUUUUAAUAUAUAAUCAGGUUUGUAACCUUUUCUAAAACAAGUUCUCUUUUUUUUCUCAGAUUUUCUGAAGUUGUUUGUACUAAAAUGAUACUGUUAUUCUGGAAUGUUGAUGUGGUAGGAAACUUCUACUUAUGUCUCUAAAAAGUAGGCUAUGAUUACAUAUCAUAAAAAUAGAUGUAAAACGUGGCUAUUCUGGCCUCUUGAGGUCAGAGAACCUUGCCAUGAGCAUGUUUAAUCACAUGUCUGUACAUCUCAGUGACUUAAUAUUUCAAAUAACAGACAUUUUAAUAUAAGACAAGAAAACAUAAACCUCAGUGGAUGAACUGAUACUUCACAAUCAAAAUCUGUUAUGCUCUGAAUUAAUCAAAACUUCAGUAUUCCUUUUUAAAUUUUAUCAAUUACAUUACAUGGAACUAUUUUUUCAAAAUAGUAAAAUUUAGCAUGAGAAGUAUGUGAUUAUUAACACAUAGAAUUUCUCCUUUUCUUCUCUAAUUUGUACUCUAAUAAGUACAAGAAGUGAGUGUAGCUAAAGGCUACACACACACACACACACACACACACACACAUACACACACACAUAUAUGAUGAAAUACUCUGGAAGGAACAUUUGAAGCAUAGUUGAAUAUUUUUGUCAAUAAUUCAGUUGCUUUUUAAAGUUUUUAUUUUUCAUUUAUUUAAGUAAUCUUUACACCCAACAUGGGGCUCUAACUCAUGACCCUUGGUUCAAGAGCGACAUGUUCUUCUGACUGAGCCAGCCAGGCACCCUAACAAUUCAGUUCUUAAAUUCAUAUUUCAUUAGAGUUGCUAAAUUUUCACCUUUUUGGGCUAAGGAGGGUAUCAUCAUUGCGAUUUCCUGAAGCCAAAUUGCAUGGAGGAUCAUCAUAUAUUUUCCUUUCUCCAGGUCCAAAUAGGCUGAGUGUCUCAUCCGUGAGUUCCGAACCUAGUUGCUCACUGUUUCUGCCCAACAGAAACCCACUGGUCAUGAUGCAUACCUUUCUCUAUGGAUUAAGCAAAGUGUUUAUAGUGGCUGUCAAUGUCCAAUGGCAGCUCGAAGCCAACCUUUGAGUCAAAUCUUUUGCCCAAUAAAGUGUCCUAAGACUAUCUUGGUGUCUUAAGACCAUCUAAUUUAUUAAACAUUUUUUUUCUUUUUUAGCUGAGAACUCUAAGCAAAAGUUAAAUUUUUUCACUGAAUGAUUGCCAUAUUUUCAUGAAAUUUUGAAAUGGCAUGAAUGGUUUAAGGGCAAAAGGAAUACUUUUUGAUGCUUUGUGUUAUAUUUGCUGUUAAGUUACAUUGGAAAAGUAUCUCAUUACAUAAACUUUACAAUGCACGUAACUGUCAAAAUCAUUUCCUAUAACCGAAGAAAGAACUUGAAAUUGCUGUUCAUGAUGAUAAUACUUAAAGAUGACAUUUCUUCUAUUUAAAAAUAUUAUGCUAUUCUCUCCCUCCCUCUCUUUCUGCCCCUCCCCUACUUGCAUUCUCCCCCUCUCUCUCAAAUACAUAAAUAAAUAAAAAUAUACUAUUUCCAUCAGAUCUCUGCUCAGUCUGCUUUAUCUGUGAGAUUACCCUUGAUUAUUUAAAAUUAACCGUAGUCUCUCCUCCCCACUCAAUUCAUUUCUCUCCUAGCACUUUCUGCCUUUACCUUUCUGCAGUUUUCUUUGUGACAUUUGUGACUAUUAGACAUAUAUGAUUCUGUGUUUAUUUACUUAUUUUCUGUCUCCCUCUACUAGUGUGUAAACUCCUUAAAGACUAAACUUUUCCUGUUCUGUUCACAUUUACAUUCCUAACACUGACAUGGUGCCUAAUGUAUAGCAGGUACAUUGAUACAUUGAAUGAAUGAAUAAGAAUGAAAGAAUGAAUAAGAAAUAUAUUGAACUUCUUGAUGUGACUAGAGAUUUAAAAACUGGACUCAUAGUUCAUAGUUACUUGUGCAAAAGGCAGGAUUGUAGAUUGGUUUAUCUUCUGAGUAUUUAUUAAUCUAUAAAAUGAAAUGGACACUUAUCCCUGUAGAAGAGGUGAUAGAUACGUGUAAAAUCUUCUCAAAGCCAAAGUGGCUAUUUAAGUAUGGUAGCAAUCCUCUGAUUUUAUUUCCUUCCUUCCCUUACAGUUCACGCAGCUCUACAGUGAACAUCCACUAUGUCUCAGAUUCCCUGCUCGGUGUCAAUGAUAUAGCCUUGAACAAGACAAAGAUACCCUGCCAUGCUACCCAAGACAGAGUGGAGAGUGCAGUCUAGGAGGUGGUAGAACAAAAUUAGGGAUGAAUAUGGUCAGAUUUUUAUAGAAGUGAGCAUCCUUUUGAAAUUGAGCACAUAUUAGGUGCUCAAUAAUUGUUAGAUUAAUGAAGAAAAUGAAACUUUAAAGAAAUUCUAAAUCAAAAUUUAAUUUAUUUCUGUAAGUGAAAAGUCAAACUUUUUUUUCCAAUAGAUUCUCAUCUCACAAUUUCUCUGUGAUUAAUAGGAUUUGGGGUAAAUUGCCCAAAACAUACAACACAGAUUCUACCUAUAAAAUACUGCCAUCUUUCCAUGAAUUACCAGAGAAAGGAAAAUUCUCAUGCAAAAUCAGGUGAGACAAUUCCUUUCAGAAGUAAAAGUUCAGGAAUGUGUUGUCCAUGACUCUGCCACCAGUGUCCAGGGAAGUGUCUGGCACAGAGAAGACAAGAAAAUGCAUUUUGUCAAAUUGAACUGAAGGAAUAUAAGGAGGGAAAAAUACUUUAACUCUGUGGCCACAAUGAUCUCUAGAAUAUCACAAUACAGGCAUCUUCAGUUAACUGUUCAUUUCUUUAGAAGACUCUCUCUCUUUGCUUCAGGGUCAGUUCUGGGCAUAAAAUUCAUAACGGCCAUAGACAGAGCCAUUUAAAAGAGCACAAUUUGAAACAACUAAAGUGUUCAUGCCACAUGAGGCCAUGAACUUAUCACUAUAAACCUCCUAGCACACUGUCUUCUAUAUUGUAGCUGUACAAUGUGUUUAUUUAAUAAGUGGCUAACUUAUAAUCCAACCACUGUCUCCAAAUCUUAGCACAAAUGAAAUUUGAGUUGAUGCACAUAAUACAGUUAAAUCACCCUUCAAUUCCUAACUUGAAAAUAAUUUCCUAGGCCACAUACUAUAAUUUGUCCAUUUUUAGAUUAAAUAGGUGAUUUCUGAAAGUAAACAUCACCUAGUAGUUUUUGCAGAGAACAGAGUUUUAAAAGAUAAAAACAAAAAUGAUACUUGACAUAUAAACUAUUAUUUGGUCCACAUCAUUUUCUCUUGAUUCUUGCAUAUUUAAGGAAUGUCUCAAGAUCAUCUCUCAAAAGAAAAGAAACUAAAAGGUCAUUCUUCAAUCAUUUUACAUAUUUCAUAUUUGAAAUAUGGAUUUUUUUAUUUCUCUAGUGAAUUAUUUAUGCACUGGGCCCCUUUUGGUAAAAUGUAAUGGAUUUUUUUCCUGCCAAUUUAUAAAAGCACAGAAAACAGACUGAAGGCACAGCUAGCAGCCUCCAGCUUUGGUAACGCUACCCAUCUGUUUCCUAUAAGGUAGUUGUUGUUUUUCCUUGUUAAAUUCUCCCUGUGAAAUGUUUUUCUUGAGAUUUCUUUUUUUGGUCUGUGACUUCUACCCAGUGAUUCUACUCACUAGUGGAUCAUGAAGGCACAAAUGGAUUCUGGGGGAGCUUUGUAACUUCUGAUCCUUGCACCAGAAUCUCACUGUACUGAUCUAAUUUGGGCUAGAUCUAUUUCCAGGGAGAUAGAUUUCUGAAAUUACCAAGGAGUCAUGCUGUUCUUAAAGUGAUUUUAAUUUAAGGGUUUUUACACCUUAAAAAAAAGAUUAUUGAGAUUUCAGAUUUGUGGUAGUUUUUAGUGGUAAAUUUUCCUUUGGGGGUGGGGGGGGUGCCAUUUAGCUUUUAUCUGUGUUGUCUUAAGGAGCAGAAAAUAUAUUCUUUUCUAACCACAGGACAUAAGGAAGGCAAGUCCCCACAUAUGCAUGAUCUUUCUAAGAAACAAUAGUUUUCUUGCUGUUUCUUCCAUUUAAAGAAAGCAGUGCAUCACUGCAGGUGCUUCCCUUAAUGACUAAAGUAAUAUACCCAAAUCUGGCAUCAAAAUACUAGAGAAGCUUUUAAAAAAUACAGAUUUCCAGUUGCAAAACAAAAUCAGAAUCACAAGAGGUAGGGUCUAGGAGAUGAUAUUUUCAAAUAAUUUCUUUGAGGGAUUUUGAUGCACAGCCAGAUUUGAGAAGCAUGAAUUUAAAACAGAAUCAAGGCUGAAAUGUAAAAUUAAAUUAAAAUAAAAAUUUUUUAAAAUUAAAAAAAACUCUUCAAUUUGAGGAAUACAUAGCAUUUAAAGUCACAAAACACAUAUAAUUUUCAUGGGACUGAUUUGGGGUGAAAUCUUUGAAUGGAGGAAGAACUGAAAGAUCAUAAAAUAUGAUCAUAAAAAUAACCUGAAGCUUUCAAUGGCUCUGAAAGAUAAUACUGGGGUUUGCCUCCCAACCCUGCAGGCUCAAUGCCACCUACUUUAUAAAAACAUAACUUGCAAGGUGUGGAUAUAUUGGCUGAAAUCACUAAAUAUUCUGUGACAGCUUAAAAAGCCUCCUGUCAAGGAUACCAUAUACUUAGUCUCAAAAACUUUCCAUCUGUGUUUAUAUUAAACACAGGUGUAUUGCUGUGGGCAGGUAGCUCAGGUAUUGUGGCAUUAACAGGUCAUACUAAUUACUACAAUGGCUUUGUCUAAUAUGCUAACUCAGAAAAAUUCCUUUGCCCUAUUUCCUCUCUUCCCUAUGUGUUAUCACUGCUGUUCUUGAAAUCUGAUCACACUCCUAUGUUGGGAUGUUAUUUAUGUGGACAGACCCAAAGCCUGGCGAUUAAAUACUUGACCUCAGGGUGUUUUGUGGGAGAAACAGGAUUCCUCCACUGUCAUCAUAGCCCUAUACAAAUGGAUUUCUGCCAAUAUAAGGCAGUGCAUGAUUUAUCUCUCCUUCACCCUACUCCAGAUUCUGAUAGGUUCCCAUAGAGGGGAGAGAAGUGAGCAUGAAUUUGUUGUUGAUAUACAUGUAAGUGGGGUUGAGGCAGGCAAGAGAAGUCUGGGACCUCUGUGCUAAAUAAUAAUGGUUGUGUUUAAAUAACACACAAAAAAUGAUUUUUUCAAAGCACUUUCACAUCUAUUUGAUUCUCAAAACAACCUUGAAGGGGGAGUAUAUCACUCCCAUUUUUAGAUGAAAAAAUUUGAGGUUCAAAAAAGUUGCCAUUUGCCAAAUGUUGUAUAACAAGGGAUUUUCAGUGCCAGGGUUAAAAAAAGCAAAAUAAAACAAAACGCUUAGGUUUCCCUGACUCCUUAAUUUCCAUUUCCCCUACAUCACUUUGCCUUUUAGGAGUUCCCCGUAGCUAGCUUAAGAGUCAAAGUACAACUGAAAGGUGUCUGAGUUAGAGCUGCACGUUUGCCCUUUCAUUCUCAUUCUUCGUUCUCUUGAUGUAAAUGAGCAAGUGCUACUUACCCUGAAGCUGAAGGCAAAGUAAGAGGCCUGAAGUGCAUCAGAAAUCUGUGCUCCAAACCCCCAAUCUGCCAUUUCUUCUAGCUCGGUCCCUUUACCCACCACUCAGUCUCUUUCCCCUGCUUUCUGUUCUCUCUCUCUCUUCCUUCUAACAGUAGUGAAUUCCAUAUAGGUCCUGGAUACAUUCUACUUCUUUCUCAAUUCUCAGUUGACCCAACACUUCCACCUACCCAAGAAUAACCUACCCCUCCUGCAAAAUGCCUUAAACAAGGCUUAUGUAUGCUCUCUUGAAAUCCUAUAUUUAUUUCCAUCAAGGUACUUACUAUGGACUUUAAUUGCUUGAUUAUCUGUUUCCUUCUUUGGGCUAUAGCUACUUGGAAAUUGAAUGCUGUCCUUUAUUUUGUUCAACUCUAGUACCCAGUGGGGAAAUGGCACAUAGUAGGGACUCAACAUCUAUUGGAUGGAUAAAGAUCAUAUUCUCCCUGUUCAUGUCCCUAGGAUUCCUUGGAGUAUUUCUGUGGAUUAUUUCUUUGGAGACUCUAAAUCAUCCCUUUACCUUGCCAAGACCUUUCCAGGCCCCUACACAGCACACUGGGUUUUAUAUAGGUCAUUUAUUAAAUGGUCACUUAAUAGGGGAAAUGAUAUUUGAUUUGCAUUAUUUUGUUUAUACAUGCUUUACUAAAAAACAUGUUAUUCCUCCCGAGUUUUAGGAUUUCUUUGACCUUUUACUAUAAUUGCCAAAGAGCUGAUUUCCUCUUUCUUGUUAAGAAAUUCUGCAGAAUGUCCGACCUAAUGUGCUGUCGCUGCCAAAUUACUUUUCUUGAAAUCCACUCUUGUAUAGCAACAUGAAAAGAAAGAAAAUUUUAUAAUUUUUUUUGAUAUUAGGAAACAGAAGUACUUUCUUUUGGUAAUAAGAUACUUUUUAAGUAUUAAUAUUCAUAAAAGUAAGAAAUAAUAAUUUAAUUUAGCAAUGAUAACCGAGAAAAUUUGCCAUAGUCUCUUUCCAUCAUACAAAAUACUACCAUUAUAAAGAAUCUACCUAUACUGACUAUUAGAUUAUAGACACGUUGCUACCUUUUUGUCACAUUGGCUUUUUUCCUUUACUGAUAUUUUAAAUUAUUUAACUAUUAAGCUGGAAAAACUGAAUGAUUAAAUUAAUCCCAAAUAAUUUUAAAUAUAAUAUAGGUCCUGUAUAAAAAUAAAAUUUUAAAGAUGCUGACAUUUUUAGCAUGUUAAAUAGUGGAGUUUGUAGUUCAUCAUAUAUGGGCUGGCACAAAUUAGCCUAAAGUCCUGUCUGGAAGAGCAUUAUCACUGUAUACUUCAUAUUCCUAUAAGCUCUUGAUAAACUGUUUACUCACUCUUAGAUAGUUAAAGGAAUGCAAAGGUGGGGAGGUCCAUCAUUUUGUGAAUGAGGUAGAAUAAUGUUGAAUAUAUGAAUUCUGGUGUACAAGCUGCUUGUUAUGCAUAUGGAGAAUGAUUUUGUCUAUUCCUAGAAUUCCUAACUCCCAGAUAAUUGGUCAAUAUAGAUAGGCAUGAAAUAAUGCUUCUAAAUUUACUGUUCUGGUUAGCAAUGUUUUAAGUUUCUUUUUAAAGUUCAUUAAGUAUCUUCCCCAUCUUGUCAUCUCAUUUGGUCAUGUGGGCCAGUCAUGAAAAGUUUAGCUGAGCUCAUGAUAAAUUCCAUUAGCUUUUAUGGUUGAUACUUAACCUAUAGAGUUGCAUUAAAUAACUCUUAAAUCACAGCUAUUCCAUUAACAUCAUAAGAAUAUCUUUUCAUCCAGUUACCUCCCAUUAAAUCAGCAUGCAAAUGAUCAGGUUAAAUUUUUUUUUUUUAGAUCACAUGCCCUAUUUUAAAACAAAAUGAGCAGUCACACUUAUUCCAUUGUUUGCUUUUAUUUCUAAUCAUUACUGCCAUUCAGAUUAAUUGUGACUGAACAGAUCAUUACUGAACAGGAGAAAAUUGCAAUUGUACCUUGGUCCUUGGAGGGAGGUUUCUAUUUUCAAAGCUCUCAAUUAACAGAAGAUUAAAUUUCAAAAAAAGAAGAAAACAGUUAAGAACUUUUGUAAAGACUAUUUUAGACUUCAGAAAAAUGAAAGGAAAGGAAAACCUGAAUAAGGUAUAGCUAGUGGUUAUUGGUUUGUUUUAAAUUGUAUUUUUCAGUGUUGAAUUUUAUUGAAUUUUUCCCAUUUGGCCUUUUCAGCAUCACCUCUUUAGUUUAAAUAAAGUAGGUAGAAUGAAGUACAAUGUUUGUUAUUAGGGGAGUCAUAUUUAUACAGUGUAAGCUGAAUUUUCUGGGGGAAAAUUUCAUUUCCUGUGUCCUAUAAAAGAGUCUGAAAGGGACUAAGUAAUAUUGGUAUGCAGUCAUUUACUAUUCAUACUCAUCAAGAUGCCUGAAGGCUUAUUUGUGUCAUGGAGAUAGUUUUUCCCCAUCAAUAUCCUGUGAAGCCUCAGGAAAGCUAGGGGAAAUUUCACAGGAUAUUAGGAUGGUAACAUUUGGUGGCUACACAGACAUAACAUCAGGAAAUGAAAUAUUGACUGUUUAGAAUUGGGAACUGAAUAGAAAGAAUGGAGUUACAUUCUUAGUAUGUUUCACUUGCUUCCCUUUGAUAAAAAAUUCAGCUUAAAAAAAACCCCAAAACAUCGUGGUCUCUCUUUUCUUAUCUCUAAGGUAAACCAUGCUUUACUCUUUUUCUCCUUUCAAGUUAAUCCAGACUCCUCUUCCUCUUCAUUCUUCGUAUGGACUCUCAGUUUAUUACUCUUACUUAUGCAAAAUCCACAUUCAGAGUGUGAAUUUUAAGUUUUAUAUAUAAAAACUUGUGUUCCCUUUAUUUUCUCUCUAUGGUAGCAGUGCAACUGUCUUACUUAGAAUGUAGUCAUUAAGAGUGUGUGGUUGUUCAAAUCUUGGCUCUGUCACUCACUGACUUUGUGAUGAUCGACUCCAAGCCUCUCCCCAAGUGGUUGUAAGGAUUAAGUAUAAACUUUCCCUAUGACAUUUAGCAUAGCUCUCACAACACAGUACCCCAUAGCUAUUAGUAUUUACACUGGGUUGUUUUUCCUUACAUAUUCAUCCUAAUAUGCCUCAAUCGAAUUUAGAAUCUUUUCCAAUCAAGCUUCCAAUUUAUCUUCCAAAAACUUUUAUUUUAUUCUAUGUCUACACCAUUCUCCUUCCUGUAGGUAUCUGUAUUAGUUUUCUAGGCUGCUGUAGAACAAAGUAUGACAAACUGGGUGGCUUAAAACAACAGAAAUCUAUUGUCUCAAUUAGGAAGGUCAGAAGUUCAAAAUCAAGAUACUGGCAGGGCCAUGGUCUCUCUGAAACCUGUAGACAGAGAAUCCUUCCUUGCCUCUUCUUAGCUGCUGGUGGUCGCCCACAGUCCUUCACUGCCUUGGUUUGCAGCUGCACUUCAGCCCCUGCCUCCAUCACAUGUGUCUGUGUCUCUUUGUGUCUUCUCUUCUUAUAAGGACACCAGGCAUAUUGGAUUAAGCGACCACCCUAUUCUAAUGUGACCUCAUCUUAAGUAAUUACAUUUUCAAAGGACUUAUUUCCAAAUAAGGUCAACCUAUCUUUUUAGGGCACAUAAUUCAACUCACAACCAUAUCCAAUAGGUGUUACUUCCUCCAUUCAUUCUUGAACCUUGAAUGUCAUUUUUAAAUUUUUUCUAAUAUCUUGUCCCACCUAUAGUCAAUCAGACCUUGCAUAUUUCAUAUCUGGUGUUUCAUGGAUUUACCCCUCUUUCUUCAUUCCCAGAAUAACUAUUUCUAACUACAGUAUAACAUUUUCAACUGGUAGCCUUUACUUAAAAAAAUUUAAGUUUAUUUAUUGAUUUGGAGAGAGACAGUGAGAGCAGGGGAAAGGCAGAGAGAGAGAGAGAGAGAGAGAGAGAGAGAGAGAGAGAGAGAGAAUACCAAGCAGGCUCCACACCGUCAGCAUAGAGCCUGAUGUGGGGCUUGAACUCACAAAACUGUGAGAUCAUAUUCUGAGCUGAAAUCAAGAAUCCAACCGCUUAACCGACUGAACCACCCAGGUGCCUUUAGUCUCAUCUGCUUCCAGCUCAUCUUCAAUUCUGUUUAUAGAUUAAUGUUCCUGAAGGUUACUUCUAUUUUCUUCUAUUCAUUCACUUAUUUACCCAUCAAGCAUUUAUUGGACAUCUUCUAUGCAUCAGGCAUUGUUCUACACUAAUGAUACAGAGGUAAAAGAAAUGUUUAUCCGGGACAAAUGUAUACUCUGGUAGAGUUUACAUGUAAGCAAACAAGUAAGUUUGAUAGAUUGUUGCAGAUAUUUUGUUAGAUGUAUGGGCAAGGUGAAAUCAGAGCACAGAGAAGAGAAAUCACAUAUAGGGAAGGGGCAAGUCAUGGAAUCCUUCUAGAGGUAGAAGCAUUACUCUUCCCAGAAUUCACAUUACUCUAGAUGGAACCAUCCUUUUCUGAUAUCACAUGUUUGCCCUCCUCUCCAUGCUUUUUUUUAGGUGGCCCCUUCUCCCUUCUCAGGCAGUCUUCCUUACCUUCACCAUCUCAAACACCUUGCAUUUUUCAAGGCCUACUUUAAACCCAUUUCUGUUCAUCCUUUCUCAGAUAAUAUCAGCUCAUAGUGAUCCCAUCUUUUAAAACUUCUUAUACAUAAUUUUUCAAAGCUAGUAUUUUACAUAAAUUAUUUGCUACCUUAAGUAAAUCUGUGAAAAUGGAUAUGAAUGGGUUUGCCAGGAAUAACAUAAAGAACUUCUAGCAUAGAUAUUUGAUACCUUAUUUUUCACUGUUUUCUAAAUUAUAAACUUGCAUUCAUCCAUGGAUGAAAUUCAGUGUCUUUCAAACUAAAUGUUAGACAAUACAGCUAUGUUUGACUUCCUAAAAUGCCAAGGCCAUAUAAUUAAGAAUUCUGUAUCUAAAUUUUAAAAGUGGUAUUAAAUUUGGCUUUGCCCAAUUUCCAAAUGGUUGUAGAAUUGGACCUGGAAAAACGCAUUUCUACUUCAUCUCAGCAUUGCCAGGCUUAGUCAUUAGGGCAACUGGAUCCUCCCAUGUUGCUGUGCGCCAGUUCCUGGCUUCUGCACAGCUGGUUGGCUCUGCGACUGAUGACCUGUGCCUCCAGUCCUCUCCAAAGCACCUAGCUGUGGAGGCGCUAGGAGGUUUAGAAACAAGAGUGCUGUUGUUUUACCCUCAGGCAAGAGAAGAGGUGGCAAAAAUAAAUGAAAAUAGGAAGCAAUGAGGGAGAGGAAGUGCUGUACUCCUUCAGAUCCAUCCUGGCCAGUUGGCAAAGAGAAGGAGUCCAUUGCCAGUUACCAGCAAUGAGCCAGGAGUGACAAUAUUAUAUGGCUCGGAAGUGAGUUUUUGGAAGGAACCACUUUGGAUCUCAGUUUUCUCACUCAAAGAAAAAGAGAGAAGAAAAACAAUGCAUAUGUAUGCAUUUCAGCAGUACAUUCUGGAAAAUUUUCUUUGUAGUUAAUUUGUUUCAUUAUUUCUGAAUUCCCAAUAUUUGACAAAGUAACAGAUAGAUAAUGAGUAUUUGUUGAAUGAAUAAAUUUAUGUUAUCAAAAUGUAUUCAUUAUGUUAUUUUUAUGUUUGCUUCUAGAGUAAGUACAUUUACUUUAUCAUUUGAAAUCACUCUUAAUGCCAAAGAUUCUGGAAACUAAAACAUACAAAGAAGGCUGAAACCCACACAGGAGAUCUCAUAACUGGCCUUGGCAUAAGACUGCUAUAUUAUGAGAACUCAUUAGGUGGUAUGCAUGUGUGGGCUUCUGCUCUUUCACUGAUAUGUAUUCAGACUGCCCUAGAAUUUGAAAUACACUUUAUUACCAAAUAGGACACCGAAGGACAGUCAAAUAAAUGAUCAGUGUAUUCCUAAGAUAAUUUAAUGCUAUUUGGAAUUCUGUAUUCUUUUUACUCCUAGCUUACUUGAAGUCUGCUUUUAUAAACAUAACUUUCCCCCUUAUAUGAUUGAAGGUUAUUUUUGCUUCAGAUUCAAAAAAAUCCUCAGGUUGAUGUUCCUGAUAAUUAGUUCUGGUUAAUGAGAAUGAAUAGCAUUAGGCAAAGACCUUGCAAAACACAGAGGAAAAUAUCCAGAAUUGAGUUUAUAAAAUUUCAAUGUGUAUGCAAAUUUUCCAGAAUGUGCUGCUGGAAUACACAUAUACGCAAACUUAUUUUUCUCCUACAAGAAAGUUUCAUUACCUUUUGUAGCUUCUGUAUAUUUUGAUUGUUUUUGGCAAGGAAGCUGGGCUCCAAAUGUCUCAUUUCAUGAUCCACAGUGUACUCUUGUACUAGACAAGUAUUCAGUAAAAUUUGCCAUAUAAAUAAAUAUUGACUAAAUGGAUUAAAUAAUGCCUCCAUUCCUUGUGCCAGAUUGACUAAUUUAUUUAGAUUAACUUUUAGCAACAGUUGAAGGCAAACAUACUUGUGAUAUCCCAGAAUAUUUCAUUUCACCUAAAAGUGAAGGCUCAUAUUUUAUUUUUCCUAUACAUUGAUAAACAGAGACACCGAGUCUCCUUUUCCAUUUACUAAAGCAAAUAACCCAGUUACUCUUUUUGUACAACCUAAAUUUUACAUUCCAUAGGUUAGCAAACGUCCCACAUUUUUCUCUGAUCUUAACUCCUGUUAGUCACUGUUAGCACAAAAUAAGCGUUCCAUGGCUAUUUGGGAUUGAAUAAAUAAUUAAAAGUUUUGAAAACUCUAAAUCUCACUACAGAUAUUUUAAGAAGGUAAUGAGUGUUCUUUUCUUUUGCAUAUAUUCAUAGCCACCAUGUUUUAAGAAGUUAACAUAUGAAUUAAACAAUAAUGAUAAAAUUCAGAGUUUUAACAGAGCCAAAAGGAAUAAUUUUGAACAAUUAUAAAUAAUUUAAAGCUUUUAAAAUUUGAUAAAGCUUGUCAUGUUCAUGUUACCUCUACAAAAGAGUGUUUUAAUUUCGUCUCCAUUCAUUUACUUAUUAAGGGAAAUAACCUCUCAAAAGCACAUACAUCUACAGAUCAAAAUAUUGGAUUCCAUUUUUUUUUAAUUUUUCUUAUUCAAUCAUAAGACAAGAUAUUCCUAGCUGAGUUCUAUGUUUUGCUAAAGAAACUUGCAAAUCUUCCUUCUCAAUGUAGUAAAAGUAUAUAGGGGGGAAAUAUUGUCUUGUUUGGUCUCAGCCUCCUUCUCCGCUCCUUCUUCCUCCUCUUCUUCUUUCUUUGCUUUUCUUGUCUAUUGUUCCCCCUACAAACACAGAAAUUUCCCAGUGGAUAUAGAAAGUUAUUAAUAUAGUUUUCAGUAAAGCAGCAGUCUCUCUUUCUUCUCCUGAAUAUUACUGUGGUAUUUGUCUGGCAUUGAGAUUUGGUGCAUAUUGGGGCUUGAUCUUCAAACUGCAGCAAAUAAGAGGGCCAGCAUACAACCAUGAAUGUGCAUUAUAGAAGGUCAGUUGAACAUGAGGACGAAGAGAUGGAUUUAGAUUCAGAAUUAAUGGUUUUAGUCUUGUUUUAAAGAAUCUGUUACCUGCUCUGGAAGUGACUUGAGUAAGGAAUGCCAGAAAUAAGGAUAAAAUCCGUUUUCGUUUAUGUUCUUCAGUGAAAUCACCUAAUAUGUAAUGGCCACAAAAUAGACAUAAAUUAAACCUAGGUAGAUCAGGACAAAAGUAGGUAUUAUUAGGAUUAAUUCAAGUCCCUAAAUAUACCCAUGUGGAUAAAAUUAGAAAUUAUGCCUUCAGGAUGAAAGUGGGGGGGGGGCUUCCCCCAGAAAUGAACUCCCGAGAGAAGAGUGCGUCAAGAUAUUUUACAAUAUUUGAUAGUCAAAUGAAUGCGAUCAAAGAGCCAUUGAGAAUGUUGGGUUGAUUGUGAACGAAAUUUCAGUUUGGUCAGGGCAAGGGCAGUGAAUAAAGAAUAAGUCAGUCAAAAAUAAAUUAGAAGACAUAACCUGGCUACAACGUCUGGAGUUUCUCUGGAGGCCUAACUAUUCUUCUGUGUUAGGGAAGACAAGGAAAGAAAGCAAAAUUCAGCUGCAAAGAAAUCAUAAGAUAAAGAGUUGAAAUCAUUCUAAAAAUGUUUCAUCAUGUAAAGUACUUAAUUUUAUAGUCUUUUUUUUUUUUUUUUAGUAUAGUGGACACACAACAUUACAUUAGUUGCAGGUGUACAGGGUCGUGAUUCAACAACUCUAUACGUUAUUCUAUGUUCACUACAAGUAUAGCUACCAUUCAUCACCCAUCUGAGUCUCCCAGAUUCUCUCAAAAUAUAAAAAUAACUCUUUUUAGUUAUAAAAAUAUAUGUUCUUUUCAGGGCAUCAUAUCUGGAAUAAAUAACAUUAACACAUGAUAUUCCCACAAUGCCAGCUAUUUUAAAUCCCUGUAGAGAGGGCCCACAUCUGAAUAGUUGUGAAAAAUGAAGCUUUUUAAAAAAUUAUGUAAUAAUCCCAGGAUCAAAGCAAAUAAAUGUUUAGAUCUUUUCCUUGGUAUUCUUACAAUUGAAUAUUCAACAAAUUAAUUCAUCAAAUACUUAUUAAGCAUCUACUUGGAUCCUGAAACUAUUAUAAGAUAUUGAGAUAUAUCAAUGAACAAGCCAGAAUAAAUUAUAUCUGUGCUAAUAAAGCUAUUAUUCUAUCAUGGGGAGGCAAAUAAUAACCACAAAUACAGUAUUAUAGUAGGCUUAAAAGUGAUAAGAAAGAACUAUAUUAAAAGAAAAAAGAAGGAGUAGGAACUAGUGGAUUGAGAGUGACAUGUGUGUGGGAAUUUUUACAUUUUUUGUAAUGUGGUCAGAGUAAGCUUCAUGGAAAAGGUGACAUUUGAGCUAAGACUUGAAGGAAAUGAUGGGAAGCUGGAAUGUGAGUACUAUAUCUUGGCCAGAAUUUGCUGCUUAUUUACUUACUUUAUCUCCAGAUUGUAUAUAUAAAAGUCACGAUACCACUCAUUUGACAGAAAAAUAGCCAAGCAGAUUUUUGGUUCCCCUCUUCAUUGUAAGCAAUAUCAUGCUGGGGAGAGAUUAAGUAGACCAAAUUGAUUCAAAGCAAUUCAAAGCUGUUUAUGCAUUUAGGUCAGCAGACACAUUUGGCAUAGCACAAAUUGUGCUUGUUCAUGAGGAUUAACAUUUGAGAAAAGGACUAGGGUUUGUGAUAGAAGUUACUACCGAAAUUUCUAGUGUAUUCAACACAAGGCAGGCCUAAUUUUCUUUGUGGUGUCUUUACAGCUAUUCAAUAGUUUGAGCCAUGUUUGUGGAGACAAAAAAAAUCCAUGUCAAAUGCAUUAGCAGACUGUAAGUUGGUUUUCCAGACAGAACUGUAGAUGAGCAUUGCAUGUGCAUUAUGCGUAAUUGUAGUUUCACAUUUUGGCCACAAUCAUUUAGAUUUCCCAAUGAUACAUGGAAAGAAACUUAAGUAGUACCUAACAUGAGAGAUUUUCCUUUUUUUAAUUUUUUUCCAUUUUAACUCAAGUGAAAACAGCAGUUUUACUAGUUAACUGAGAAGCCUUUACAUAUGAGAUUGAGGAAUGUUUACUGGCUGCACUGAAGAAACUAAUCACCUUUUAGACAGUUUAUCUAAUUUCAUUUUAUCUGUAUUCUUCAUUGAAAUCCUGUGUAUGAAUUGUCUUCUUUUUACUUUCUCAGAUUUCAAGGUAGUUUUUCAAGAUUAUUGCUUUAGAAGGUAAAAUGUGAUUAUUCUUUGUAAUAUAGAAAUUUAACUCAGCUCAAAUAAUCAUUGAAUGUCUAUUCUUGUUCAGUUGGUGCAAUAAAAGAGUGGAGGUAGGUACAACAAAAGUAAAAAUUUAGAUAAUCAUCCUAAAAGGAGAUUUAAAUUUGGAGAGCUCUUUGGAAAGUCUGUAAUGGAUUGAAGAACAAAAGAUGAAAACUCCAUAGGUCUGCUCCAUAUUCACCUACCCCCUGACCCUCUCACUGACUUCAAGGCUGAGAUUAAAAAAAANNNNNNNNNNNNNNNNNNNNNNNNNNNNNNNNNNNNNNNNNNNNNNNNNNNNNNNNNNNNNNNNNNNNNNNNNNNNNNNNNNNNNNNNNNNNNNNNNNNNNNNNNNNNNNNNNCCUGCUCGCACUCUCUCUCUCUUAAAAAUAAAUACACGUUUGGGGCGCCUGGGUGGCGCAGUCGGUUAAGCGUCCGACUUCAGCCAGGUCACGAUCUCGCGGUCCGUGAGUUCGAGCCCCGCGUCGGGGUCUGGGCUGAUGGCUCAGAGCCUGGAGCCUGUUUCCGAUUCUGUGUCUCCCUCUCUCUCUGCCCCUCCCCCGUUCAUGCUCUGUCUCUCUCUGUCCCAAAAAUAAAUGAACGUUGAAAAAAAAAAUUAAAAAAAAAAUAAAUACACGUUUAAAAAAGUAAAGAAAGAAAAAUAUUGUCCAAAUAUGAGACAAAUACCCCUCAACUAUCCCCGAUGGCUUCAUAUGUAUCUAAUUUUUUAAAUGUUGGGGAUCAGAUGAAGAAAGGAAAAUGAUGAAUGUGGGCUUGUUGGCAUUUACUUAGAAAAGUCUGAAGGAAGGUCUCGAAUACUCUAACCUCUUUGUCUCUCUCUUAUGAUAAACAAUGCCCAAGAGCAGAAGGAAGAGGGGGGAGUUCCUUGGAAGAUUCUCUGGAACCAAAGCCAGCAGCUGGGGCUGUGCCGUGCACUGGAAAAGGCAGCAUCUGUGGUUUGGUCCAGGGGGACACGUGGGACAGCCCUGCGGCUACUUCAUUUGUUGCAUAAGGCAUUCUCUGCCCAUUUAAUGAGAGCAGCAGCCAACAGUGCUGUGAUUGUAGUGUUUUAAGGACUUGCGCAGUCAGAGAAACUUUAAAUAAUGUUAGCCCAGACCUUCAUAACCCCAGAAGGGGCCGUGGCCAGCUGGGUUAGGAAAGCUGAAAGACUGCUCUCACUUUCUGAAAAUUGUUCCAAAAUAUGAGCUGUUUUGACUGACACAGUCUUCUUCCUUUCUGGUCACACAGAGGUCUAGAUAUGAGGGACACACCUGACAGGAAGCAUCAAGUGACCUGUUUCCUUUUCAUUCAAAUAGAAGUCCCAAGUGCAUAUCUUCUCUGAGAAGUUUAGGGAAGGAUGAAGGAGAGCUUCCUGUGCUAUCUUUUUAAUAAGUACAUUACUGGACACUUCCUUCUUUCCUUCAUUCACUCAUCAUUCAUUCAUGCAGCAAACAUUUAUGAAAGGUGGAUUAGAUGACAUUGGGUGUGAAGGUUACUGAGAUGAAUGUAGCUCUAGCUCCCAAGGAGCUCAUAGUCCGGUGGGGGAAAUUAUCUGAACAAACGCUUGUCUGGAAAAGAGAUUCAAAAUUUUUGUGACAUGUGAGAACUCUACGUUAUUUCUGCAAGGAACAACUUCAGUUAAUGUCUAGGAAUAUUCCGCAUAGGCUUAGGGAUUUUUAUUCCAUAUAUUUUCCAGAGUUUUUAGGUAGACCCCAAUCAUUUAAUACACAAAGAGAAUCACAUCUUUCCUGAGCAGUCAAAGGUUUCAAUAUGGCCAUUCCUAUGCAUGCUUUUUUGUACAAUUAUAUAAAGGGAUAUAGACCUGGGGCAUAGCACAGAGGUCAGCCACAGCUCUGAUAACUGAAUUUCUAAUAAUCUGUUAUAAUAAGAUGGUGGGUUUGGUCUGCCAUCUAGUGAUUAAGAACUGAAUUCUUACAGCUACAUUUAAAAGCACACAAAAGCUUUAUGAGAAGACAAAUCUAUGAGGAUGUAGGAGAAACAGAGGACAAUUGAGUUACUCUUGAAUAAAAUGUGGAUAGAUAAAGUACAUCUCUUCUCUCUAAGAUAUCAGUGCCAGGACGUUUGUGGUAAUGACUUCACAGUGGAUUGGUUCAAUUUGUUGGAACAAUUGGUAAGGGUAAAAGAACCCCAUAGCUUAGAGACAAAAUUUUUGGAAGUUACGACACCACAGAAGAUUACAAAGUAAUGGCAAAAUUAUCAGACAUCCACCAGUCCUCUUCAAUUUUAGGAAAGUUAAAGAAACAUAAAUAGCAAAAUACAAGAGUCACAAUAUUGCAGUUUUGGAAUUUUUUUUCAGAUUUUAUAAAAAAAAAUGUUUACCCACGUACUCUAAGACCAAUAAUUGUUUAAGUUCUAGGCUUUAAAUCAAGGUUAAUGUUAGCAUGGGUAAAUUUUUAUGAUUUGGGUAAAGGAGUCAAGAUAGUAUUGAAUGUCUUGGAAUGUCAUAUGAAAAUUCCUAUUUGUUUUUUUUUUUUUAUAAUAUUGUCAUUUAUAAAAUAAUUGUGUCAUGACAACUCCACUGCAAAUUGUCUACAAUUUUGCUUUCCAUUUUACUUUUCUUUUCAUUUACGUGAACGUCUAUGUAGAAAGCAAAGGGGACAAACUAAUCAUAAGGUGCACAACUACCAUGUACAAACCCGAGAGCUGCAAGACACCCUGUAUUUUCUACUCAGUGUUUCUUUGUACAUGUCUUUCAUUCAGACAUGAACAAUGAGAGUUCACUGAGUUUUUGUGCCCUCUGUAAUGCGUAUGGAUUCUUGUGCGGGGGAAGAGAAGACAGGGUUUAGCAGCAAAUGUGGUUUUUCAUCUCCUUGCCAUUUAAAAGCAUUCCAACUAACUUUCCACAUCAUCUUAAAUUUAAUUAUAAAUUCUCUGGGGAAAAGGACCAGUGAUGACUCAGAGUAUAUAACUAACUUUUAACAUUGUCAUUUAAAGAAAGUAAUAUAGUGGCUCACUUCUUUGUCCCUUGGGUUGAGGUCAUGCUGUCUUAAACUUUCAGGAAGAAAGUGAUCUUCUAUGAGUUAACACAAAAGAGAGAAUGUAUCUUUUUAUUGCAACCUCAAAGAAGCCAUAGAGAACAGGAUAACUCACCCGGAAGAGGUCUCUCACACAUUUUAAUGAUAUCUAAUUGGCAACUUUAUUGCAUGUCAUUUUGAUUUUUGUUUGUUUUUCAUAUUCUCUGUUUCCACAUAUCUAAUUGUUUCAUAGGUGCAACUGAGGUCUACUUUACAGUAAUAAUAUAUAACUUUUGAAGACAGAACAUAUAUACUUUCAGUAUUUUGCACAUGCAAUAGGAAGCACAUACCCACUUAAAUCUCUCAGUAAAUAUGUGCAAACACUUUUGUCCCCUUAGGGUGGAGAAAGGAAGAACCAAGCUACUUGAUCUUAUGGUGAAUCUCAUUUUCAGCCAAUGGCAUUUAGUGUUAUUGGAUUAUUUCAUUGUUAAUCAUAAAACUUCAUGAAUAUUAAAUUCUACUCCUGAAACCAAUAUUACACUAUACGCUAACUAACCAGAAUUUAAAGAAACAACUUGAAAAAAAACUUAACGAACAAAAUUAUUCUUAAGGUAUUUACCUAAUUGAACUUUUCAGUAGACUAUAGAAAUAAGUCCAUUUCUAUAUAGCUACAUAUAGAAAUGUAACUUCCUGAUGAAACUGCAUUAUUUCAACGUGACUUUUCACCUAAAACUUAUAAGGCUUCUGACCCUCCAGUAGCUUGCUUUCGUUUGAGGCAGGCGGCAUCCCACACUGUGUCACACACAGAUGGGAGCGUCAGGUAGUUGGUACAAAUGGUCUGCAGCCUUUGUUCACCCUCUGUUGGCCCAUCUUCCUUCCCUGACUUUUUAAACUGGACCAAAGAUAAAGGGACUUUGUACCCUCUGAUGGCUUGGGGUGGGGACACCUAUUUCUUUGAAAGUUGCCAAAUGUGUUCUGUUGUAGUAUCCAAAAGUGUUGCUAUUUCUGUGAUUAUCUCUGGGAAAUGCCUUGACUGAAAUUUUGAUCGACGUUUGUUCGACGGUCUCUUCUUGGGUUCUAACCUUGGCAAACUUGCCUCGUAGCCAUGUCGGUGACCCCACACCAUUCCCGGUAGGGUGUAUGUGUUUGCUGGGCAGUCUGAGAACUCCCCGCGUCUCUGAGCCCACCCCUUACCAUCACUGCUAUCUGCAGAGUGCCAUGUCAUGGAGAAUAAACUCUUGUUUGACCAAGAAGGGGAAGAAAGCCCUCCUUUGGGCUGGGGCCGCAGACCUUGUGUCUUGACCUUCUCCCUGAGCUCUUGAGUCUUGGUGAGCAGUCACUGAACGCAAAGGACUGGAGAAUCCUGACUUCUCCUAGUGUGGCAAACGGCCCAGGGAAGGGAAAGGUGCCUCUGGGGAACGCUCCAUCUGUAACAGCCACUUUGCACCACUCACUCCUGGUUCCCUUCACAGUGAGGUUCUUUCUGCUCUAUAGCUCAGUGCUUAAGAGGUGGGUCUGGGGCCGCAACUUUUGGGCCUGACUUACAGACAGUGCUAAAUGCCUUUUGAGUCUGUAACCUGCCCAUGCGUAGACGGCCCCUCUUCUCCAGGGUUCACACUUUGACCUUAUCUCUGUGUGUGUAGAGCAGGAUAGAAAUGUGUGUACAGGGGUGUCUGCUGGUACGUGUGUGUCUACACACCAGCGUGAGUGUGCCUGUUGACAUGGGCACCUCAGAACUCUGGCCUGUGCCCACGAUUUCCACAGCUAUAAAAUGGUAGAGGAACUGCCCCCUACAGUAAAAGCAGUCACCUUCCAAAAAGGUCACAGGCAUCCUCCUAUGAUUGUUCGGAAAACACAAGAUUUGAGUGUAUCAGGGAAAAGCUGCUCUGACCUGGGGAGGACAGAGGACUUUGGAAGACAUGCUCGUUGGCCUAUUCAAAAAAGUCAUAUGUGACUCUAACGAGGGAAAGCAGCUUCAUUUGGGGCCUUGAGCCCAAUCAGAUCUGCUUUUCCCCUGGGGAAUGCCUGGUCCUCAGACUAUGCUCCCCAGCCUGCAGGAAGGAGUGAAGUGAGGUGGCCAGAGGGCAGCUGAGGGCAGGCCCCUCAGGAAUGCAUUGUUAUUCAUGUCUCUUUUCAGAGUCCUACAGUGGAUCCUGUAGAAAGGCUGCUGAGCCCCAUGCUGGGUGCUCUGAGAAACGAACAAACGAACGCAAGUGAUGUUUCUGCUCUGCUAGAGGGCUGGUUUUCUCCAGGUCUCCCUCCUCAAGGCAACCCAGUGACGAUUGUUCCAAUGCUCCUGAAUCUGAAGAUGAUUCAGUUCUUUUGUUUUUUAAAAAUUUUUAAUGCUUAUUUUUUGAGAGAGAGAGAGAGAGAGAGAGCGCGAGCGAACAAGAGAUAGAGGGAGGACACAGAAUCCGAAGCAGGCUCCAGGCUCAGAGCUGUCAGCACAGAGCCCAACGUGGGGCUCACUCACAAAUCUUGAGAUCAUGACCUAGGCCGAAGUUGGACGCUUAACCGACUGAGCUACCCAGGUGCCCCCAUGGAUGAUUCAGUUCUUAAGGUUUCUGGAAAAGUAUCCAUCCCAGCCCUUUAUGAACCAGAUCAUCUAUUUUACUGAAAGCCUUCUCCCCUUGGGAGAGAGAAUCCGGUUGAUGACUUUGGAGGGAGGUCUGGCCAUCGGUUUGGGGGUGUCACAUGGCCAGUGACCCACAAUCUCCAGCUUCCCUGUGCUGCCAGGUGGGGGAUGUGUUCUCUCUUCUGUGCUGGGGCUGAGGCCGGGGGCAAUGCAGGCCCAGCUGGGGAAGCAGCCUGGCCUCUCCUAGGAGAUGCUGUAAUAGCACGCUUCUGUCUUUCCUCAGAACCUGCUUUCUCCUUGGCAGUGAGUGCAGCCCAACCUCUAGAGCGGCUUCGUUUCUGCAGUGUUAACUGAUCUCAGGGGUGUCAGCGAGGUGCAGGGGAGGAAGGGACAGAGAUGCUGGGGCGGUGGCCAAGAGGACACCCACACCCUCCAGCAUGGCCUUUGACUCAGAGGUUAGGGACCAUGCCUAUCACUUGUGGGUACGGUUUGUGUAUCUGAAUAAAGUCUGAAGUGCUGUGACCUUUUUUUUUUUUUUGUCAAUAAAGACAUGAAACAAACAAAAUAAACAAAAGUAACAGGGCUUAUUUGAUGUACAAAUUUCUUAUUUUGUUUCAGAAUGGUCCUGUAUUACAUGUUAAGGCAGGAAUUCUAUUUUCUCCCUGGCUUAAAAUUCGUGAAACAGCACCAGGUACACAGAGCCAAUAUUGUUUUGUUGAUUAGCUGUGUGUUCUGUGAUAAACAUCUUUUGAUGAAAAUGAAACAGAUUAGAAACUUAGUGUCUUAGAAUCUCCUUGUGAAUGACACCGAAACCAGGAUGUGGUGUCACGCUUUGAAAGCAACUUUCCAUUUGCCAUAUAGCUGUGAUGAAGGGCUAGAUGUGUGAAGCCAAGUAUUCCAUGGAGCAGUGAAAAGAAUGUUAUCCAAGGAAAGCUUUCUAAAGUUAGGAAGAUGGAUAUAUGGGCCAAUGUCUUUAUCCUACACUGAAAUUUUUAUCUGUAGUCUGCAUUAUCAUUUGAGUAUAUUUAUAUGGCAAAUGAUAAAUUCUUUCCAUUGUAAUACUUUGGAUAGUGACAGAUGGUUACAUUUAUCGUGCUGAGCAUUUUAUAGUACAUAUAAUUGUCAAAUCACUAUGUCUUACACCUGAAAAUAUAUUGUAUAUCAACUAUACUUCAUUAAAAUAAAGAAAAAUGAUAAAUUAUCUUAUAAACUAAUGCAUUUUUAAAGUUUCAGUUUUAUUUUUGUAAAGUAUACAUUAAUGCUGGUGCAAUUAAGUUAGUGAACCAUAAUUCAGAUUCACUUACUCAUUCAUUCAUAUCUAUUUUGUUGAAUGUUGGCUCCCUGCAAGGUAUGGAGUCAAGCUUUAGAAAUACCAUGAUGAAAAAGAAAAACUAGUCCUUAUUUUCAUGGCAUUUAUGGUCUAGUGAAGGAGAUAAAAAAUAAAAAGUAAAAAUGGUAAAUUAAUAUUACUUGUGAUAGGUUUUAUGAGGGCUGUGAUUUUUGCCUGUCUGUUCACAUUUUAGAAACUGGUUAAUUAGCCGGCAUAUAAAACAAAAUUAAUGAAUGGAUGGGUGGACGACUGAGUUCUUCAAAAAGUACUGAGAGUCAUACUAGUUGGAUAAAGGAGGUCUCUUUAAAAAAAUGUUUAAUGUUUAUUUAUUUUUGAGAGAGAGAGAGAGAGCACGAGUGGGGGGAGGGAGAUCUACUUCUAUAGAGUAGUCAGAGAACUGUGGGGGCAGGUGACAGUAAGCAAAAUGUAAUAGUGAACUCUGUGUGCCUUCAAGGAGGGAGGGCAAAGUUGUGUAAGGACUGGGAGAGAGGAAUCUCUGGGCUUUAGAAUUUGAGUAGUUGGGAACAUUCUACAGGAGUUAAACUAGGAUGGUAUGAUAUGAUAUGAUCCACAUUGUGUUUUAAAAUACUAUAGUUUUGUUUCUUAAAAGUCACAAAGUUAAAUAUAUAUAUAUAUAUAUCUUAUAAUAAAUAAAUUAUAUUUAUCUUAUAAUUGUAUUGUUAUUGUUAUGUGUGUAAAUGUGUGUAUAUAUUUUCUAAAUCUGCAUUAAGGUUUUAUCUAAGUGUAGAAAAGUAUUUGGCAGAUAUUAUAUAAUAACUUACCAUAUUGUCGUGGUCAGGACUCCCCUUAAUUAAUUUUUAUGCAAAGAUAAUUACUGCAUUGCCUUUUUAAGCUUUGCUAUUCCUUGAGUAAACACCUUUAGUUUAGCAAAUACAGUCCAUGAAAUGGAACGCUAUUAUUCUUUUAAUAGCGUUCAAAAUAGCGUUCUUUUAAUAGCGUUUUCAAAAAACUAAUUUUUGAAAACCCAUACACUCUUUUUAAAGUUUUUCUUCACAGUGCAAGAAUAUAUAUCAUCUUCUGUUGUUGUGGGAUUUACUAAUCUAAAAUUUCUAGGGAAUUGAAAAUCACAUAAAAGUUCACCAAACCCGGAAGUUAUAUAUUCCCUUUUGAACUAUUCUUUUCCUCCCCCUUUCAAAUGGUUUGUUUUUAUCUCUUCUUACUAAUUUUCCUAUGUUUGGUUAUCUAUACCUUCACAAAUGAAAUCUUUUGGGAAGCAUUAUCUGAUUAAAUAUAUCUCCUUUGAUCACUUUUUUUUUCUUCCCCCGUCAUGCUGGGCUAGAAGUAUAAGCAUUUCAUUGUGAAUUGCAUUUUGCUUUGUAUGUAAAUACCAAAUAAAGUAAGUUCAUCUGUAUAUUGCCUCCUUGGUAGGUUACUGCUUAGCCCAGAAUUUUUAGAACCCACAAGAUGACUCCCCUUCUUAAGUAUUUCCCAGAUUCCAAAAUUUCAGAAUAUUACUAACCUCCUUCCCCCCCCCCCCGCCCUUCUUUUUUUUCUUAUUCUAGAAGGAUAUGGUGAAGAAAUAGCCUGCACUCAGAAUGGUCAGAUGUACUUAAACAGGGACAUUUGGAAACCUGCCCCUUGCCAAAUCUGUGUGUGUGACAAUGGAGCCAUCCUUUGUGACAAGAUACAGUGCCAGGAUGUACUUGAAUGUGCUGACCCUGUAACUCCCCCUGGAGAAUGCUGUCCUGUCUGUCCACACACAACUGGAGGUGGCAAUACCAAUUUUGGUAAGAAUGCUCAAGGCCAACUCAGAGCUGGUCCAGUGACUCAUCUUUAUAGUUGCGGUGGUUUCUGCUCUCAGAAUUCAGCAACCAGAGAGAAUAA
This 91647-nucleotide long non-coding RNA is filed under the name Lynx pardinus (Iberian lynx). The stretch from base 10326 to 10394 matches the Rfam family "tRNA". Lineage: Eukaryota; Metazoa; Chordata; Mammalia; Carnivora; Felidae. The record is from RNAcentral.